UUCUCUCCAGGUUCUUUUGGAGGUCUGCCUCUCUUUUUAGGUUGAAUAUCACCUGUUGUUUUGGGCACAGGUUGAAUAUCACCUGAUGUACUUCUAUCCUUUCGAGGCCUGCCCCUUUUCUUAGGUUGAUCACUAGGUUUCAGACAUACUAGAGCAUUUUCUCCUGCUGAUGCUGACGCCUGAAGCCACCCUGGUAGUGGUGGGUUGUUUGACUGUUGGCCAUGUACCGCUCUGACCACCAUCUGAUUGCUAGCAACAUAAGUUCUGUAGUCGGGAGCAAGAUUCUGAUGUCUGAAUUUGUCCAUCACAAGUGUGUUGAGUGGAAUGGUUAUGUCCAACGGUAGCAGGAUCUCCUCCAGUUCGUGCCACUCAAGAUCUUCCUGGUCUCCGUCUUCAUAGACAACGGUGUACCAAUUGUUUACACUGUCAUACCAGACAACGUUCCCUGCAUAGUACUUGUCUCCAAACCACUUCCUCACUUUCCGCUCUACUAGCCAUUCACCAAAGCGGUGAUCAACUCGAGACCGCGGAGCAUCUCUUACUGCAAGUUGUGAACCAGAUGCGAAAUCAGGAGGAAAGUUUGGGACACCAUUGAUAACGAUGGCAGGCUCUCUGGGUACUUGAACAACAGGUGCAGCGUCUGACUCUUGCAUGUCCUUCCUCCCCUCCAUGACCUGAUAUUGCAUCACUUCCUUGGAUUUAGCUAGAAACAUCCUGGAGGAGAAAGAAAAUGGUGUCAUCCACAAAAUGGGUCAUUGUAAGCAAGAAAACUCAAAGAACAAGCAAGCAUAAAUCAAACAGUUUCACAGAUACAAUGCAGUAUUUUGAUGAGUCAGGCAUGUCAAAAAAUAAGAGAUAGCAACCAACGCUUGUACUCCCUCUGUCUCAGUGUCAAAAAACAUCUUAUAUUUUGAGACUGAGGGAGUAAUUUAGGAAGCACUGCACAUCACAUUCGCAUCAGUACUGAUACUUGUGUCUCUACUUUCAUUUAGGGAACACUUGGAUAUUAACCAGUUACAGAUGCAUUUCUGUACUUCACGUAUGCGCCAGACUGCUGUAUUAGUGCGAUGUGUACAAUGUACUAGUGUAUCAAACGACAAAAACUCCAAUAAGCACUAUCUACAAACAACAGAGCAAUGCACACUAUCUCCACAAAUAUCAGCUGCCAAGUAAAAUGCCCACUGUGUACACAUGCUUCAAUUGAAAAAUUGACAAAUUUCCGAGAACAGCAGCCACUAGCAUCAGCACAACCACCAAUCCAUAACACAAGCAGCAGCACAACACCAGUAGCUUAAGCGGCAGCAGCUAGCGCACGCACGAGAGUGGAAGAGGAGCUCACUGUCCGGCGACGAGGCAGAUGCAGAUCCGCGGCGGCCGGCGUCGGAGAGGAGGCACAGUCGGGUCGUUGUCGAGGAGGGGGCGUCUAGGAGGGCGGUGGCGAGGAGGGCAUCGUCGAGGAAGAUGGAGGGCGUCGGCGUCCCGCCUGGAUGCUCUGCACCACGGGGGAGGUGGCGCGGCGUCCGGCGGAGGAUGCGUGCACUACGGAGGAAGCGAGGGGGCCGCGACGGCGGGAUCCGGGGGAGCGGCGACCGGCAACCGGCGGCUUGUGGCGGCGCUGGUGGGAUUUGGGAACCGCUAGCACGCGCAAGCAAGAGGGAAAUGAGUUUUUUUUUCUUGAAGAAGAAAGGAGUCGGAUGGGGAAAUGGGGAUGGGUUUAUUUAUUUUUCGCCAAUACGCAAUCAUUGCAUUGAUACAUGAAAACACAUGACACGGACGCAAGGGGCGUGAACAAUGAAGAACACGGCUAAACUCGUCAACUGAAGAAGCAAUCCAAUCAACAACUAGACGACCAAAACUCCGAAACCAGCACUGAGGAUGCCACGAGCAACCAAGACAACGCCUUCAUGAAGAAGAAUAGUGACACCUAGACACCAUCGUCAUCUGAUCCGAAAACCCGGACCUGGAGUUUCCCCUAAUGCUCGAAGAGGGCACAUAAAACGGCCAUGGCAGCGCCUUCAAGAAGGAGACGACAGCCGCGGGUGUCACUGCUACUAGCAUAAGAUGUAGGGUUUAGCCCUGGACAAUUCCAAGUUGGUGGAACAUUGUCGAAGAGGUGGUCGUCGGGCACAUGCCGGAGCUGCGACUGCGGGAAGGGGAACCACGCACGACGCUGAAGGAGGCACCGGGCAUCGCCGGACGUGAGAACUCCGAAGGAGGGGGAGGAUGUGUGGCUGCGCGGAAUGAGAGGCGGCGGGGAUGGGACGGUGACCGUAGCCCCGGAUAAGCCAAGAUCUGGAAGGAGGCACAGGUCCGGGCCACGGGGACCAGGGCAGCAUGAGUGCCGAUGGGCUAAAGGAGAUGGAAGGGGACACAACUCCGGAACGUGCCAGAGACGUAGAUGCACCGGGAUGGACGGCCAACCAAGGCACCCGCUGGGUGGUGGUGGUGCAGAGAGGUCGAGGAGCCAACGAGCCAAAAGAGCCAUCGAGCCGAAAAGAGCGCAUCUCCCGAGGCUCGUCCAAUCCGAAGCCGCACCGGCCGACCGUGAACGCAUGAAAUGGAUACAGGUCCAUGCCCAUCGGGCUGAAGACGCCCCUGGGAGGGGAUGGUGGUGGUGGUGGUGGUCGUCGAAGUGGUCUCGCACGCAGCCAAACUCCCAACCGGUCCAAAAGGCAACCACCGACGGGAACAACCGCAUCCAACAGCCUCCAUGGACGCCUCGCGAAGAGGCAGCCCUGAAGCUCAAGUAAAGGGUGGGUGGGGGACGGGAGGGGGUGGAGCCGCAGCUAGCAGGGCUCAACCGGCCACCAUGGCUGGCCGGACGGAGCAUUGCAAUCAGCUGGAAAAGGGCGUCCAAAUCGCAUCCGGGGCGGACAGUUAGCCACCACAGGGGAAGUUCGGCCGAGGCAGGCCACCCACUCCGCCAGGAAGCCGGGGGAGGCAGCCUCUGCCGCUGCCAAACCAGAUCUGGGGGGGGGGGGGGGAAGGAAAGACAGCCCCGCCGCGCCAUCCCAAGGCCGCCGUGGUUUCAUCGGCCAGCCCUCCGGCAGCAGCAACGCGGGGCAGGUGGAGGAUGGGUGCCGGCCGCCGGCGUCUAGGGUUUCCCCUGAGUCGCCCGACUCGGGCGAUGCGGGGGUCAAGGGCGGGCAGGGUAUUUAUUUUGCCAUUUUCAUUAAUAAUCAAUAAAUAAACAAGAAAUUAUUAGGUUAAUUAGCAGAAAAUUGGGCUAAAACCAACACGAUUCAACCCACACACAGUGCACAACAUCGACCAACUGGUCACCUGACGUGCAGAGUAGCAAAAAAAAAAAGCAACCAUCGAAGAGGCCGCAAGCACAUCAUCAUCAUUGUUUGCCCGUGAACAAACGAACCCAGUCGUAGUCUUCCUCAACAAACCACGCUGGUAAGAUACCCCUAAGCACCGGUUUUUCAGUCGUGGUCAGCUCCGAAACGAUGCCCCCAAAGGGGAAGAAAGACACGAAGACGCCUCCAUCACCCGAUCAAGAAUUUGAGGUUUACCUCGGGAGACAAGGCCGUAGGGAGAAGGAUGAGCACACCUCCAUGACAGAAGCUUUCAACAAAGAUUGCGACACUUGUGACCAUCAGGCACUUUCUGACGUGAAGAAUACCGAUGCUGUAAAUAAAUUGAUCAAGUGCCUGACAGGAAGCUCCAGCGUGAACGCUCCGAACAAAAUGGUUCUAAAUCGAAAUUAGAACAGAAAAUGGUUUCGUGGUGUAGUUGGUUAUCACGUCAGUCUAACACACUGAAGGUCUCCGGUUCGAACCCGGGCGAAGCCAUCGUUUUGUGGUGUGUCUUUUUUUCUUAACCUUUUCAUGUCAGCCGGGAGCUCCUUCAGUAGUGUUUUCUUGUAGUUUUAAUUAAUUCUCUGAACUCGCACUAGAAGGAUCACCGGCCGGCCUGUUCUUUUCCUUCCCCCUUUUUUCAUCUUCUUUUUCAACCAACCCUUCUUUCAUCUUCUUUUUCAACCAAAACUGUAUGUCAUGCUGUUCUGUUUUCCUUGUCAGGUAAAUAUGGAUGGGUUGACAAGGAAUCGUUCAGAGACGAGAGACACCAACCGGGUACAGAGCAAGUAGAUCUCCAUGUCCACCUGUACCACGCAGAUUGCUUUGCUCCUCCUCCCUUUCCUCGUGGCGAUUAGCCUCCUCUGCUCGCUCCGACACGGCCUACCUUGCAGCAUCUAUGAAUGAAGAAGCCGACGACGGUCAGCGGUGACUGUCGUAAAGACACAAAACCGCUCCGUGAAACUUGCUACUGUAUUUGUGGUCGUCGUAGAAGACAUAACUGCUUCUGAGCGCACGACACAAUGGUUUACAUGUGCUAGAUGAUACCUUGCGAACUCAAAACGCAGCUCGUGCUCAAAGUUGAACCGGCCAAACAGAAGCGCGGAUCCAAUGUCGAAUUCCGAAAAUUACAACCAGGCUAGACAUGGGUAGAAAUUCUGUUUGCAAAUACAGAAUGACUCCGUGUCUCGGUAGAUUCAUUCGUCAAACAAGUUGAUGGCGGCUAGACCGCAAAAUGCUAGAUGCCUAUCAUGGCCGUUGGGGAGCGGUGGCACGCCAGGGCAGCACACCGUGCCUUACUUGAUCUUUGGUGUCUGCUACGCUUUGGCAUCCUGAUGUCUCCUAUUCUGAAGUUCUCUACAUUUCUACUAGUAAGUAGCACAUGCUUUGCAUGCUUAGAAUCGGUCUCAUCUCAAAUUUAAAUUUCGGCAAAUUUCAAAACUUUAGUGUUGAUUAUCACAAUGUUGCAAAAUUAUAUAAUUUCCAAUAUAGUAAGCAAUAUAUUUCCAUAAAAAGUUUAUAUCCAUAUGUUAUCCAUAAAAAAGCUCCCUAUAAUCACGCCAUGAAAUCUUCCAACCACCUUUAUCUGUUGGCUACUUCUCACGCCAUUCCCUGGAUCCAUAUCUUGCACUAAAAAAUCGCUUCCAUUCCUCCAUUAAAAACACUCAAAAGACACAACCUCCCUGUCAACGCUAUUAUCGCGCGCGCUGCCGGCCCUCACGGUCUGGAUGCCAGUGCGUAUGCCAUGAGAUGUACGGUUGGCCCGGCCAGCUACGCACACGGAUGGACUGGGCAGCGGCAGUAAGUAGGUGAACUUUUCCUGCAUGGCCGCAUGGUAAUCUGUCGAUGGUUCUGGAAUACAACAGUAUCUUCGCUGGCACUGUAGCGUGUACUGUAGAUGCGAAUCCCAGCAUUUUUAACCAUUGGAUGGACUUUAUCAACGGCUAAGGUUGAUUCCUGGCCAUCAAGUUUAAAAGUUUGCAACUGGUACACUAUAUAGUACUCCCUCCGUUCCGAAUUACUUGUCUUGAAUUUGUCUAGAUACGGAUGUAUCUAGCAAGAUACAUCCGUAUCUAGACAAAUCCAAGACAAGUAAUUCAGAACGGAGGGAGUAGUAUAGAAAUGCGCAUACAUAUGCAUGUACGUUGCUACUACUUGCUAGCUAGCCUGCACUACCUUCGUCCAUUUCACUAGCUUGUUUUCUGCCAACAAGUCACAAGUUUUUAUAGGAGACAAGACUAGUGAAACACUUGAAACAAAGAGCGAGCUUUCUCCAUCAAUCGCAAAGAUCCAAAAAUUGAUUAGCGUGUCCUAUGCAUUGUGGUUGGUCGAGAGCCUUUAUCUACAUGGAAACCGUUCUAGGACAUAUUAUUUUCUAGAAGAUAUUCACAAAUAAAUUAUUGUCCACAUAGAGGCCAUUUCAUUCAUAUGUGAUGCUUUUGCGCAAUCCUUAGCGAUCAUUUUAAAAUUUGGUGAGCCAGCUCAACUCAUUAUUUUCCAUGUUCAUACUGUAGUAAAUUAAAUAACUAGCACUAUUCCCAAAGAAGAACUAACUAGAACUCGGAUAUGGAUGGAAAGCAAUGUAUGGUACAUGUAUAUGCCAUCAUGGGUAGAUAGGUGAUCAAAUAAAUGAUCAUAUGUUUGUCUCCUUGCUAAAAAAAGACUACGAAUUAAUUCAAACAUUAGUUGGGUAUGUUCUAAUUUUUGGGACAUUAGACAAUAAAAAAAGCUAAUCAUUGUAGGCAUAAAAUUCCCAUCUACUUGUCUUAUUAAGAAUUUUGGCAUAUUGAACCACCUGCGUGUUCGUAUUGACAAAAAGGACCACCCCUGAACGUAAUUGACAAAACUACCUGGCAUUAGGCCCGACAGCCAAUGCAUGGCACCUGUCGCCACAACUGGAGGUGGUAGGGCCUGCCGCCAUAGCAUGUGGCAGCAAGUUGAGCAGAACAGCUCCCAGCGUUAAUGGGGAACCGAAAACGGAAGAGAUGGGCCCUGCCGCCACAUGCUAUGGCGACACCCUAUGAUGUGGCGACAAUACUGUUGAGGUUGCUCGGGAUUGGACAGUGCAUUGCAGUCUUGUUAGUUGUUGGAAGGAUUGGCGUCGCCUUUUCUGUCGAAAAUGCUCCAGCCAACGACAUGGAUUGGUUCCCAUGUGAUGCUGAUUCCCAUGCAUGUUGAAUCUCUCUUCAUCAUUCCCGCUCAAUUUUUCUACCAUCGCACUCAUAAUCUAAGCCUAUAAAAUUAGCCAUCGAACCGCUCUUCACCCUUCAUCGAGAAACUGUCCUUACCCAUUUCUUUGUUCAUGUUUGGUGAUCCUUCCUGUCGUUUUACUCCAACGAUGUCUCAUUAGCUUUUGUCAGGUGCGGCAAGAAUGCCGAGUGUUAGUAGGGGAGGUGUGCAUUUUGAAGAACUAGAUAACCCCGCACGUUGUUACGGAAUUUUUCAGCAAUGAACUUACUAAAAAUAAAAUUACAAUAUAUGAGAGUAUUACCGCACCACAUUCAGCCUAGGAGUAAAUGAAAGGCCGAUGCAUGAAUUCACGUUCAAUUAUUUAUUUUCCCGCAAAAAAUAUUCAAUUAUUUAUUAUUGAAAAAAUCAAUCAUGUGAACCAUUUUCAUGUGCUUGAUGAUGUGGAGGGCUUGCAUGUGGUGGAAAUGGAAACAAAUGAAAAGUUGAAUGAUUGCAUGGCGCUUUAUGAUGUGGAGGGGGUGUGUGUGGUGGAAAGUAGAAAGUUAAAGGUUUAUUGGUUGCAUGCACUUGAUGAUAUAGAUGACUUUCAUGUGCAUUUAAUGGGAGAUGGUAUAUGUGGGACUUAGUAGUGUUUUACCUACAUAGACAUGCUGCUAGCUUGAUCUAUUAUAUUGAUAUUGAAGGAAGUAAAAACUGAGAUGUUAAAACAAAACUAGGUCUUGAUUUUGCCAUGGUCUUAUUACAUGGCCAUUUUUCUGUGACCAUGCAUGUUUUUUAAAAUGUUAGAGAUCAUUUCUAAUUACAUGCCCAAUUUUAGGUAUUUUUUGGUUUUUUCUCAUAUUUUUAGAGAAUAUAACUUAAUGCAUAGUUAACAUUGUGUAAUAUGGAUCGCACGCUGCUAGAUCUAGACUUAGUAGCGUUUCACUUCCUGUCACACGCUACUAACUAGAUUUUUAUACAUAUUGUCUCACUAUUAGUAUAUCAUAUUGAAAUUAUUUCUAUCUACAGGAUCGAUAUAUAACAUACAUAUAUGAAGAAGUACUGCUUUAAUAUCUGGAGUACAUGCAUAAUACAUAUUAAUUCGGAAAGAACUAGUUUUUGGUAGGUUCAAGAACUAAAAGCAAUACAUAACUGGCCAUUGCUACUCUCGAUAAUGCCUAAGCGGAAAACAUCACCAGUGCAAUGGAUGCCACCAGAAGAAAUCUUGCAACUGAUCCAGCAGGGAGUACGAAACAAAUCAUCACAACAAUGAGGAGUGCAUAUCGAAGCUUCUUAAAGUUUUCUAUCUUGGCUUGGAUCUUGUUUUUUUGGGUGUGCAUAACAUUCAUUUGUAUUCGUUGCUGAUCCAUCUUUACUUGCUUCUCAUGUGCGUCCGUCAAAGAAUCAUCCAACCGGAUCCACCAGACGGCGUGCUGUUGUGACGCGAUGAUACGCCCGACACAUCCAACAACAAUGGAGAGCUCAUGGUGGGCACCCCAUGUUGAGAGAAGAAAAGUACGAGGGGAAGAUCAAGGAAAAAUAGAUCUAUUAAUGAAAAUGUGGGGGUGGGUUAGAUGUAGUAGUGAUGUAUGUAGAUUUGGGGGAGAAAGAAGUAAAGAAAGAAAGGGGUGAAUAUCAGAAUGAAGGGGGGUGAGGGAAGAAGAGAGAGUGGAAGGACGGAAGAAUGGGUGGUCCAGCGUGUAGGGCAAGCGAACACUAUUAGUUUGUACUCCCUCCGUCCCAAAAUUCUUGUCUUACAUUUAUCUAGAUACGGAUGUACCUAAUACUAAAACGUGACUUGAUACAUCCGUAUUUGGACAAAUUCAAGACAAGAAUUUUGGGACGGAGGGAGUACCAAUUAGCAGCGUUCAGGCCAAGUAAACGCCGCUAAUUUAUAAGGCCCACAUGUAUGUCAGUGCUCAGUCUGUCAGACAUCCAAGUAGCAGCGUUUCGUAAAACAGCACACACUGCUACAAAGAGUGACACUGGCAGCCUGCACGUUUCUACUCCCUCCGUUCCGAAUUACUUGUCUUAGAUUUAUUUAGAUACAGAUGUAUCUAACACUAAAAUGAGUCUAGAUACAUCUGUAUCUAGACAAAUUCAAGACAAGUAAUUUGGAACGGAGGGAGUAGUAAUUUGUGGCACAACGGCUAGUUUCAGGCACCAAUCUUGCAGCGUUCUAUUUUUCCGAAUAUCGCUACUGUCUUCAUGUUUGCAGAUAGUUAGUGAAGUUAGUGAAGUUAGUUGUUCCGUCCUAUAAUGGUGGACGAAAUGUGAAUCGGAGACUUAAUCCUGAUAUACCUCAGAAUGAUACAUAUGCAUGUACAAAAUACCAAAUGCCUAUCAUGGCUGUUGGGGAGCGGUGGCACGCCACAGCAGCACACCGCGCCUUACUGGAUCUUCCGUUUGAGCUACGCUUUGGCAUCCUGAUAUCUCCUAUUCUCAAGUUCACUACAUUUCUAAAUGUGCAUAUAAGUUGCUACUUCCUUCAUCCGGAAAUACUUAUCAUCAAACUAGAUAAAAGGGGAUGUAUCUAGAUGUAUUUUAGUUCUAGAUACAUCUCUUUUUAUUCAUUUUGAUGACAAGUAUUUCUGGACGGAGGGAGUACUUGCUAGCUAUCCUGCACUACCUUGGUCCAUUUCACUAGCUUGUUUUCUGCCAACAAGUCACAAGUUUUUAUAGGAGACAAGACUAGUGAAACACUUGAAACAAAGAGCGAGCUUUCUCCAUCAAUCGGAAAGAUCCAAAAAUUGAUUAGCAUGUCCUAUACAUUGUGGUUGGUUGAGAGGGAGUACAAGAUAUCCACAAAUAAAUGAUUAUCCACAUGGAGGCCUUCUCAUUCAUAUGUGAUGCUUUUGCGCAGUACUUUAGCGGUCAUUUUAAAAUGAAAAAAGUAUGUUUUUGGUCUCUCAAGUUCCCAAAAAAUAUAGACGUGGUCUCUUAAGAUUUUUUGGUAUACAUUCGGUCCCUCAAGUCUUAAAACCGGAUAAGUUAGGUCCUAAACCAGAUUUUGAGCCUGUUAACCGGCUUUGACCGCCACAAAACUGCCCGAUGAGCAGUAAAUUAAGAAAAACAAAUAACUUCAAAAAAAAACUGAAAUUUGUUUGGGGCCAAUAUGCUUACAUGCAAAAGAUGCGACCAAAAAUUCAUGGCCUUUUGACACACGAGGAGGUCGUGGCAAAAUAUAAAAUAUCUACAUCAGAUGAACAGUACAUUUGAAAAAAAUCAUGGUCUUUCGACGCACGAGGAGCUUGUGGCAAAAACUACAAAAACAUCUACGUCCAAUGAACAGUACAUUCAAAAAAAAAAUCAAAAAAAAAUCUGAAAUUUGUUGGGGGCAAUAUGCUUACGUGCACAAGGUGCGACCAAAAAUUCAUGGUCAUUCGACACACGAGAAUUUUGGUCGCACCUUGCCCAUGUAAGCAUAUUGGACCAAAAAAAAUCAGAAUUUUUUGAAUUUACUAUUCAUCAAACAAUUUUUUUUUGCCACGAGUACCUCGAGUGUCAAAAGACCACGAAAUUUCGGUCGCACCUUGCACAUGUAAGCAUAUUGGACCCCAAAAAAUUCAUGGUCAUUCGACACACGAUCACCAUGUGCAAACGAUCACCAUGUGCCCACCACCGUCACCAAGCUGGACUCAUUCCACCACAGCUCCUACUUCACGACAAACCAGCGAACCACUGAAGUACUCAUUGGACCCACCGAAAAGAGCCAACUACCAGAUGAGCUCGAGCUGCAUCGCAAACUCAUCUUGAUGCCAUUUAUCAUCGCCAAACAGAUGUCGACACCCCUAAUACAACUGCCUCAACAAACCACGUGGAUUAGACACCCCCAACGCCUGUUUCCCAAUCGUAAUCAGCUCCCGGACGAUGCCCCCCAAAGAUGCCUCCAUCACCCUAUUCAAGAAUCUAAGGUUUCCCUCCGGAGCCAAAGCCGUAGGAAGAAGGAUGAGCACACCUCCAUGACGACGCUUUCAAAAACGAUUGCGACAACUGUGACUAUUAGCCACACCUGAAGAAUGCUGAUACUCUAAAUAAACUGAUUUAGUGCCUGAUUGGUUUCCGUAGGGAAGCUCUCGCGUGAGCUGCGCGAACAAAUAGAAUCCAAAUCGAAAUUAAACCCAGAUGGUUGGUUAUCACGUCAGUCUAACACACUGAAGGUCUCCGGUUCAAACCCGGGCGAAGCCAGUUACUGUUUUUUUUUUCAUACUUUCUUUUGGGUGUGUUCUUUUCUGAACUCUUUCAUGUCAGCCGAAGCUCCCCGACUAGUGUUUUCCGGUUGUUUACUUCUCUGAACUCGUACCUCAAGGAUCACUGUUAUUUUCCCUCCCCUGCUUUCAUUUGGUCACCGGUGUAUGUAUCGUACCAUCUUCUUAGAGCAACUCAACGCAGUUUGGAAACAGUCUUUUCCUGUCAGGUAAGUAGGGAAGGGUUGAGAAGGAACCAUUCAGCCUUCCCGUCUUAUCCCAUUCCGUUGCUGAUAACUUCUGUUGCAGAUUCAGACACAUUUUGCGAGACCUAACUGAAGAAAAAAAAAUAUUCAGACACAUUUUGCAAAACCUAAUUGGAGACAAGUGUUCUCUCGUUCACAAGAACUCUCAAUAUAGGUGACUACAUUCGCUAAACACCUUGUCGUGGCCAAUUCAUACGUACAUGAGUGUGUUUCCCAUCGAGGAUCUCCAACACUCACGAAACAACUAGCUCAAGGAUCUUUCAAAAGAAUUUAUUCAGCCAGACAACCACAACUUGUAUGUAUAGGGAGAACUUCUAAGGCCAAAUCUAACCGAUCUCCUGUAAAAUAGCGGAUGAUCCGGCCGGGCAAUUUUUUUUAUUCCAGUAACUUUAGGUCCGACCGAACUCCUAAAUUUACCUGGGUAAAACCAAAUUUGCAUAAGUUCAACCUAGAUUCGAUUUAAACAACCGAAAUUGGACACAUUAAUCAUUCGCCCUUUCUUUUUUUUGCGGUGGAUCUGCCCUGUCUUAACAUUCCACCGGACAUGUGGAUUUAAACAACUCUUUCAAACAACCGAAAUUGGACACAUUAAUCUUGCUAACUCAAAACGCAGCUCCUCUUCAAAGUCAAACUGGCCAAAUAGAAGCGCAGAUCGAAUGCUGAAUUCUGAAAAUUACAGCCCGAGUAGACAUGGGUAGAAAUUUUGUACCCAAAUACAGGAUGACUCCGUGUCUCAGUAGAUCCAUUAGUCAAACACGUUGAUGGCGGCUAGAACACAAAAUACCAAAUGCCUAUCAUGGCCGUUGGGGAGCGGUGGCACACCAGAGCAGCACACCGUGCCUUACUUGAUCUUCGGUUUAUGCUACGCUUUGGCAUCCUGAUGUCUCCUAUUCUCAAGUUCACUACAUUUCUAAAUGUGCAUACAUAUGCAUGUACGUUGCUACUUGCUAGCUAGCCUGCCCUAUCUUCCUUCAUUUCUCUAGCUUGUUUCCGCUAACAAGGCACACGGUUUUAUAGGAGAGAAGACUAGUGAAACACUUGAAACAAAGAGCGAGCUUUCUUCAUCAAUGGCAAAGAUCCAAACAUUGAUUGGCAUGUCCUAUACACUGUGGUUGGUCGAGAACCUUUAUCUACACUGAAACCGUUCUAGGACAUAUUAUUUUCUACUAGAAGAUAUUCAUAAAUAAAUGAUUGUCCACAUAGAGGCCUUUUCAUUCAUAUGCGAUGCUUUUGCGCGGUCCUUCAGCGGUCAUUUUAAAAUUUUGGUGAGCCAGCUCAACUCAUUAUUUCCAUGUCCAUACUGUAAUAAAUUAAAUAAAUAGCACUAUUCCCAAAGAAGGACCAACUAGCACUCGGAUGGAAAGCAAUGUAUGAUACAUGUGCAUGUCAUCAUGGGUAAAUAGGUGAUCAAAUAAAGGAUCAUAUAUUUGUCUCCUUGCAAAAAAAAAUGACUAGUACGAGUUUAUUCAAACAUUAGUUGGGCAUGUUCUAACUUUUGGGACAUUAGACAAUAAAAAAUAGCUAAUCAUUGUCGGCAUAAAAUUCCCAUCUACUUGUUUUAUUAAGAAUUUUGGCAUAUUGGACAAUCUGUGCGACCGUAAUGACAAAAAAACACCCCUGAACAUAAUUGACAAAACUACUAUGGCAUUAGGCCCAAUUGCCGACACAUGGCACCUGCCGCCACAGCUGGAGGUGGCAGGGCCUGCCGCCAUAACCCGUGACAGCAUGUUGAGCUGAACGGCUCCCUAUGCUGUUGGGGAAUGGAAAACGGAAGAGGCGGCCCCCUAUCGUCACAAGUUGUGGUGGCACACUGUGACGUGGAGCCUACUGGCAUGCACCAUGGCGGCAAUACUGCCGCUGCUGCUGCUGCUCAGGACUGGACAAUGCGUUGAAGUCCUAUCGCUUGUUGGCAUGGUAAGAGUCGCCUUUUGUGUCAAACUGCUCCAGCCAACGACAAGGAUUGGUUCCCAUGCGACGAUGAUGCGCAUACGCAACGAAUCUCUCCAUCAUUCCCGCUUAUUUUUCCCGCCAUCGCACUCAUUAUCCGAGCCUAUAAAAUAAGCCAUCGAACCUCUAUUCAUCCUUCAUCGAGCAACCUUUCUUAGCCAUUUCUCCUUUCAUGUCUGGUGACCCUUCCUAUCGUUUUACUCCAACAAUGUCUCAUUUACUUUUGUCAGGUGCGGCAAGAAUGCAGCGUGUUAGUAGGGGAAAUGUGCGUUAUGAAGAGCUAGAUAAUACCCCGCAUAUUGCUGUAGAAUUUUUAGCACUUAUUAAAAAUAAAAUUAGAAUAUAUGUAAGUAUUACCGAACCACAUUCAGCCUAGAGGUAAAUGAAGUGCGGAUACGUACAUUCAAAUUCAAUUACUUUUAUUAAAAAUAAAAAUAAAAAUCAAUAAUGUGGAGCAUUUUCAUGUGCUUGAUGAUGUGGAGGGUUUGCAUGUGGUGGAAGGUGAAAAAUGGAAAGUUGAAUGGUUGCAUAGUGCUUGAUGAUGUAAGGGUGUGUGUGUGUGAAAGUGCAACUAAUCUCUGGGUGGUUUGGUAAUUAAUAAAAACAUAUACAUCAUUGAACUAAUGCCUAUUCAAAGAUCAUUUCAGUACACUUCAAUGUAGGCAUGGCAAGGACAUGUGAUUGUGAACCCUAAAAAUGCUAAGGACAUACAUUGGCAAAAGCUUCAAGACUCUAAAUUUCUAGUUAAGUGAUCAAAGAUCACACUAGGUCCACUGGAAAGCCAAUACUAUUAAAAGGGAAUGAGGUUUUAAUUAUGGGUCAUUUGCUCAAGUGCUUGAAGAUAUUGCUCCAAAACCCUCGAGCACUUUCUCAAUAUCCAAUAUGUCCAAAACCCUAAGUCCAAUCUCGGCCCCACCGAAACAUACACACCCGGACCGACCGAAAUACUCCAGACAGAGCCAUAAGUCAAACCCUAGAAACUCGGUACCACCAUGAUGACAAUUCGGUCCCACCGAAGUGCAUUGACCAAGUUCCUGUACCCAAUCGACUUCAUUUCAGAAUUACCAAGUUGAACCGAUCGGAAUUACAAAAACAUGCAAGUGCUUAGGUCAUCACAUAUCGGAGUCACCGAGUGGAUUCAUCCGGCCUUAAUGAAACGUCUAACAUUCGAAUCUUUUACACUGGUCGCCGCUGCCAACAUAAGAUGUAGGGUUUAGCCAUGGCCAUUUCCAAGCAAUUCCAAGCCGUCGCAACACUGUCGAAGAUGAGGUUGUUGGGCAUAGGCGGAGCUGUGACUGCGGGAAGGGAAGCCGCACACGAUGCUGAAGGAGGCACCGGGUCUCGCCGGACGUGCAAACUCUGGAGGAGGGCGAUGAUGUGUGGUUGCGUGGAAUGAGAGGCGGCAGGGAUGGGACGGUGAUUGUAGCCCUCGACAAACCAAGAUCUGGAAGGAAGCGCAGAUCCGGGCCAUAGGGACCCGCAGCAGGGGCGUCGAUGGGCUCAAGGAGCUGGAAGGGGACGUAGCUUCCGGAGCAUGCCGGAGACGUAGAUACACAGGGAUGGCCAACCAACCAAGGCAACUGUAGGGUGGUGGUGGUGCGAAGACGCCGAGGAGCCAACGAGCCAAAGGAGGCGGGAAGAGCAACUCCCGAGGCUCGUCUGGUCCGAAGCCGCAACGGCUGGCCAUGAAAGCAGGAAAUAGAUGCAGGUCCAUGGGUGCCAGGCCGAAGCUACCCCUGGGGGCAUGGUGCUGGUGGUGUCGUCGAACUGGUCUCACACAUAGCCAAACUCCCAACCAGUGCAAAGAGGCAGCCACCGAUGGGCACAACCACAUCCAACAGCCUCCAUGGCCACCUCCUGAAGAGGCGGACCUAAAGCUCGAGCAGAGGGGUGGCUGGGGGUCGGGAGGGGGUGGAGCCGCAACAAGCAGGGCUCAUCGGCCGCCAUGGCCGGUCGGCCGGAGCACUGCAAUCACCCAAAAAGGGCAUCCAAAUUGUGUCCAGUACGGACAAGAAGCCACCGCAGCGGAAGUUUGGCCGAGGCAGGUCACUCGCGCGCCAGCGAGCAGAAGAAGCCAGGGGAGGUCACGCCGCCGCCUAACCAAGUCUGGCAUGGGGGGGGGGAGGGAAGACAGCCCUGCCGCCAUCCCAGGGCCCGAGUGGCUUCGCCAGCCAUUGAUGUCUACUACACAACCUUCUUCUUGUAGACGUUGUUGGGCCUGCAAGUGCACAGGUUUGUAGGACAGUAGCAAAUUUCCCUCAAGUGGAUGACCUAAGGUUUAUCAAUCCGUAGGAGGCGUAGGAUGAAGAUGGUCUCUCUCAAACAACCCUGCAACCAAAUAACAAAGAGUCUCUUGUGUCCCCAACACAGCCGAUACAAUGGUAAAUUGUAUAGGUGCACUAGUUCGGCGAAGAGAUGGUGAUACAAGUGCAAAAUAGAUAGUAGGUAUAGGUUUUUGUAAUCUGAAAUAAUAAAAACAGCAAGGUAAUUAAUGAUAAAAGUGAGCGUAAACGGUAUUGCAAUGGUAGGAAACAAGGCCUAGGGUUCAUACUUUCACUAGUGCAAGUUCUCUCAACAAUAAUAACAUAGAUAGAUCAUAUAACAAUCCCUCAACAUGCAACAAAGAGUCACUCCAAAGCCACUAAUAACGGAGAACAAACGUAUAGAUUAUGGUAGGGUACGAAACCACCUCAAAGUUAUUCUUUCGGAUCGAUCUAUAAAAGAGUUCGUACUAGAAUAACACCUUAAGAUACAAAUCAACCAAAACCCUAAUGUCACCUAGAUACUCCAUUGUCACCUCAAGUAUCCGUGGGCAUGAUUAUACGAUAUGCAUCACACAAUCUCAGAUUCAUCCAACCAACAUAAAAGUACUUCAAAGAGUGCCCCAAAGUUUCUACCGGGGAGUCAAGAAAACGUGUGCCAACCCCUAUGCAUAGGCUCAUGGGCGGAACCCGCAAGUUGGUCACCAAAACAUACAUCAAGUGGCACGUGAUAUCCCAUUGUCACCACAGAUAAAUACGACAAGACAUACAUCAAGUGUUCUCAAAUCAAAGACUCAAUCCGAUAAGAUAGCUUCAAGAGGGAAACUCAAUUUAUUACAAGAGAGUAGAGAGGGGGAGAAACAUCAUAAGAUCCAACUAUAAUAGCAAAGCUCGCGAUACAUCAAGAUCGUGUGAAGUCGAGAACAGGAGAGAGAGAGAGAGAGACCAAACACAUAGCUACUGGUACAUACCCUCAGCCCCAAGGGUGAACUACUCCCUCCUCGUUAUGGAGAGCGCCGGGAUGAUGAAGAUGGCCACCGGUGAUGGAUUCCCCCUCCGGCAGGGUGCCGGAACGGGCUCCCGAGAGGUUUUUGGUGGCUACAGAGGCUUGCGGCGGCGGAACUCCCGAUCUAUCUUGAUUUCUGAUGUUUUUAGGGUACGUAGGCAUAUAUAGGCGAAAGAAGUCAGCUGGGAGGUGCUCGAGGGGCCCAUGAGACAGGGGGGCACGCCUAGUUGGGGGGGGGGCCCUCCUAUCUUGUGGAGUCCUCGAGGAUCUUCUGACGUGCACUCCAAGUCUCCAGGAUCAUAUUCUUCCAAAAAAUCACGUUGCCGAAGGUUUCAUUCCGUUUGGACUCCGUUUGAUAUUCCUUUUCUUCGAAAUACUGAAACAGGCAAUAAAACAGCAAUACGGGUUGGGCCUCCGGUUAGUAGGUUAGUCCCAAAAAUGAUAUAAAUCUGUAAAAUAAAGCCUAUAAACAUCCAAAAGGGGUAAUAUAAUAGCAUGGAACAAUAAAAAAUUAUAGAUACGUUGGAGACGUAUCAAGCAUCCCCAAGCUUAAUUCCUGCUCGUCCUCGAGUAGGUAAAUGAUAAAAAAGAAAUUUUUGAUGUGGAAUACUACCUAGCAUAAUUCAUAAUGUAAUCUUCUUUAUUGUGGCAUGAAUGUUCAGAUCCAAAUGAAUACAAAAUAAAAGUUCAUAUUGACAUAAGAAAUAGUAAUACUUCAAGCAUACUAAUCAAAGUAAUCAUGUCUUCUCAAAAUAACAUGGCCUAAGAAAGUUAUCCCUACAAAAUCAUAUAGUCUGGCUGUUGCUCUAUCUUCAUCACACAAAGUAUUUAAUCAUGCACAACCCCGAUGACAAGCCAAGCAAUUGUUUCAUACUUUAAUAAUCUCAAACUUUUUCAACUUUCACGCAAUACAUGAGCGUGAGCCAUGGACAUAGCACUAUAUGUGGAAUAGAAUGGUGGUUGUGGAGAAGACAAAAAGGAGAAGAUAGUCUCACAUCAACUAGGCGUAUCAACGGGCUAUGGAGAUGCCCAUUAAUAGAUAUCAAUGUGAGUGAGUAGGGAUUGCCAUGCAACAGAUGCACUAGAGUUAUAAAUAUAUGAAAGCUCAACAAAAGAAACUAAGUGGGUGUGCAUCCAACUCGCUUGCUCACGAAGACCUAGGGCAUUUUGAGGAAGCCCAUCAUUGGAAUAUACAAGCCAAGUUCUAUAAUGAAAAAUUCCCACUAGUAAAUGAAAGUGACAACAUAUGAGACUCUCUAUCAUGAAGAUCAUGGUGCUAUUUUGAAGCACAAGUGUGGAAAAAGAGAUAGUAGCAUUGUCCCUUCUCUCUUUUUCACUCAUUUUAUUUUUUUUCUUUCUUUUCUUCUUCUUUUUUUCUUUUUUUUUCUUUUUUCUUUUUUCUUUCUUUGGCUUUCUUUUUUUCUUUUUGUCCUUUCUCUUUUUUUCUUUCUUUUUUUUCUUUUUGUAAAGUCCGAAGUCUCAUCGACUUGUGGGGGAAUCAUAGUCUUCAUCAUCCUUUCCUCACUAGGACAAUGCUCUAAUAAUGAAGAUCAUCACACUUUUAUGGAUUUACAACUCAAGAAUUACAACUCAAAGCUAGAACAAGAUAUGACUCUAUAUGAAUGCCUCCGGCGGUGUACCGGGAUAUGCAAUGAAUCAAGAGCAACAUGUAUGAAAAUUAUGAAGGUGGCCUUGCCACAAAUACAAUGUCAACUACAUGAUCAUGCAAAAAGUAAUAUGACAAAAGUAAUGCGUGUCAUAUGAACGGAACGGUGGAAAGUUGCAUGGCAAUAUAUCUCGGAAUGGCUAUGGAAAUGCCAUAAUAGGUAGGUAUGGUGGCUGUUUUGAGGAAGGUAAAUGGUGGGUGUAUGGUACCGGCGAAAGUUGCGUGGUACAAGAGAGGCUAGCAAUGGUGGAAGGGUGAAAGAGUGCGUAUAAUCCAUGGACUCAACAUUAAUCAAAAGAACUCAUAUACUUGUUGCAAAAAUUUAGAAGUCAUCAAAAACCAAAGCACUACGUGCAUGCUCCUAGGGGGAUAGAUUGGUAGGAAAAGACCAUCGCUCAUCCCCAACCGCCACUCAUAAGGAAGACAAUCAAUAAAUAAAAUUGUGCUCCAACUUCAUCACAAAGCGGUUCACCAUACGUGCAUGCUACGGGAAUCACAAGCUUCAACACAAGCAUUCUUUAAAUUCAUAAUCACCCAACUAGCAUAACUAUAAUAUUACUACCUCCAUAUCUCAAAACAAUUAUCAAGCAUCAAAUUGAUCAUAGCAUCCAAUUCACUUUCUAUGAUAGUUUUUAUUAUGCCCAACUUGGAUGCCUACCAUUCUAGGACCAACUUUAUAACCAUAGGAAAUACCAUGCUGUUAUAAAAGACUCUCAAAAUAAUAUAAGUGAAGCAUGAGAAACUAGCAAUUUCUACAAAAUAUAACCACCGCCGUGCUCUAAAAGAUAUAAGUGAUGCAUUAGAGCAACCGACAAACUACUCCGAAAGAUAUAAGUGAAGAUAAAUGAGUAGUCGAAUAAUUGUGCAACUAUGUGAAGACUCUCUAACAUUAAGGAUUUUCAGAUCUUGGUAUCUUAUUCAAACAGCAAGAAAAACAAAAUAAAAUGACAUUGCAAGGAUAGCACAACUCAUGUGAAGAAGCAAAAACUUAGGCUCAACCGAUACUAACCGAUAGUUGUUGAAGAAGAAAGGUGGGAUGCCUACUGGGGCAUCCCCAAGCUUAGAUGCUUGAGACUUUUUGAAAUAUUAUCUUGGGGUGCCUUGGGCAUCCCCAAGCUUGAACUUUUGUGUCUCCUUAAUUCCUCUCAUAUCAUGGUUUCUCUUCUUUUUAUCAAAAGCUUCAUUCACAACAAACUCAAUAAGAACUCGUGAGAUAGGUUAGUAUAAACCAAUGCAAAACCUUAUCAUUUUCUAUUGUAACAAAUCACUAAAAUUAUUAUUCAACAUUGAAUACUAAAUGCCUCUCCAUAUUUAAUACUCCUAUCCUCAAAUAGAAUCAUUAAACGAGCAAACAUAUGCAAACAAUGCAAACAUAACAGCAAUCUGCCGAAACAGUACAGUCUGUAAAGAAUGCAAGAGUAUCAAUACAUCCCUAACUCCAAGAAUUAUGGAAUAAAAUUCACACUGUAUUAAAUUUAUCAGAGCUCAUUAUGCAAAAAGUUUCAGCAUUAUAUCAUGCUCUGACUUUUCUAGGGAAUUUUUGCAACAGCGGUAAACUUUCUGUUUUCAAACAGCAACAUCUAUACUAGCAAAAUAAGCAUGGCAAAGGCUAUCCUUGACUUUUUUGUUGAAACUAAAAAUGCAAAACAUUAUUAUAAAUAAAAUCAAGCAAAUACUAACAAAAGAAAAUGACGCUCCAAGCAAAACACAUAUCAUGUGGUGAAUAAAAAUAUAGCUCCAAGUAAAGUUACCGAUGACCGAAGACGAAAGAGGGGAUGCCUUCCGGGGCAUCCCCAAGCUUAGGCUCUUGGUUGUCCUUGAAUAUUACCUUGGGGUGCCUUGGGCAUCCCCAAUCUUAGGCUCUUGCCACUUUUUACUCCAUAGUCCAUCGAAUCCUUACCCAAAACUUGAAAACUCCACAACACAAAACUCAACAGAAAACUCGUAAGCUCCGUUAGUAUAAGAAAAUAAAACCACCACUUAGGUGCUAUAAUGAACUCAUUCUAAAUUCAUAUUGGUGUAAUAUCUAAUGUACUCCAACUUAUCUAUAGUUCAUACAACUUAAUACUAGCCAUAGAUUCAUCAAAAUAAGCAAACAACACAUAGAAAACAGAAUCUGUCAAAAACAGAAAAGUCUGUAGUAAUCUGUAAUAAACGUAUACUUCUGAACUCCAAAAAUCCUACCAAAUUAGGAAGUCCUAAGCAAUUUGUGUACCAAUCCAGAGCAAAAAGAAUCAGAUCAAGAGCACGUCAAAACUAAUUUACUGGGUGCAAAAGUUUCUGAUUUUCAGCAGGAUCAACACAACUAUCACCGUAAGCUAUCCUAAAGGUCUUACUUGGCACUUUAUUGAAAUAAAAGCUAUAAAACAUGAUUACUACAGUAUCAUAAUCAUGUGAACACACAAAAACAGUAAGGAUAAAUAUUGGGUUGUCUCCCAACAAGCACUUUUCUUUAAUGCCUUCUAGCUAGGCAUGAUGAUGGCAAUGAUGCUCACAUAAAAGAUAAGAAUUGAAACAUAACGGGAGCAUCAUGAAGCAUAUGACUAGGACAUUUAAGCCUAACCCACUUCCUAUGCAUAGGGAUUUUGUGAUAAAACAACUUAUGGGAACAAUAAUCAACUAGCAUGGGAAGGUAAAACAAGCAUGGCUUCAAGAUUUUGAGCACAUAGGGAGGAAACUUGAUAUUAUUGCAAUUCCUACAAGCAUAUGUUCCUCCCUCAUAAUAAUUUUAAGUAGCAUCAUGAAUGAAUUCAACAAUAUAACCAGCACCUAAAGCAUUCUUUUCAUGAUCUACAAGCAUAGAAAAUUUACUACUCUCCACAUAAGCAAAAUUCUUCCCAUUCGGAAUAGUGGGAGUAUCAUAAGAGACUUGAACACUAAAAAUUGUUUCCACAUUAAAAGAGUAAUGUUCAGAAAAAGGGUAAUCAUAAUCAUGACAAGUUUUGUAAAUAUAAUCAUCACUACUUUUUAUAGCAUAAGUUUCAUCACAAUAAUCAUCAUAAGUAGCAACUUCGUUCUCAUCAUAAUCGAUUGAAACCUCUCCCAAGAUAGUGGAAUCACUAAAUAAAGUUGACACUCUUCCAAAUCCACUUUCAUAUUCAUCAUAAUAAAAUUCAACAUCCUCCAAAAUAGUGGGAUCACUACUUCCUAAAGUUGACACUCUUCCGAACCCACUUUCAUCAGUAUAAUCAUCAUAAGUAGGAGGCAUGCUAUCAUCAUAACAACUUUGCAUAUCAAAAUUUGGGAUGCUAAAAAUAUCAUCUUCAUUAAACAUAGCAUCCCCAAGCUUGGGACAAAUAAAUUCUCAAAUAUUUCAUCCUCAUCAAACAUAGCUUCCCCAAGCUUGGGCUCUUUCAUAUCAUAAGCAUAAUCACUCUCAUCAUUAAAAAUAUGGAUAGCACCAAUAGAAAGCAAUUUUCAUCAUCACAAUGAGUAGUAGGAGCAACAUCAUUUGGGAGGUAUACCUUUUUACCUUUGUUGCUCCUUCUUUUCUUUUUCUUCUUCAUAUUAUGUGUGGGUUCAACCUUCCUCUUUGAGCUCCUUAUUGAUGAGAUUGGUUGAAUAGAAAGCUCCUCCUCGUUACCUGAUUCAUCAUGAGAAAUAAUAGGAGGACAUUGGGAAGUCUCUUCCCUUUCAUUAGUAUUUUCAUCAUCUUCUAUUUGCUUUCUUUUCUUUAGGUAAUUGGCAAUAUAAGGAUUUUCAAUGCAAUUCUCCGCACAAAACAAAUAAAUCUUUUCUAGAUCAAUAUCAAGGAAUUUCUUAUGGGCAAAUUCUGGAAGGUCCUUAAGUAAACGUUUCAAUUCUUCAUAACCCAAAAGCAAACUAAGUUCAUUGUAGUGAGCAAUGGAGAUCAAAUCAUCACAAUUUUUGGACACGAUUCGAUCAUGAAACAAUUUGCAUAGGAGAUGUAAAUGACCACGUUCAUUGCAAAGUUCACAAGUACGGCAAAGGAAUUUUAAAUUUUGAGCACUCACACCUAGCCUUUCAUGCAACCAUUUAGUUUCUAAAUGCUUAUGCCUCUUGCAAUAAAUAUCUUGUCUAUUUGGUGUGUUCAUGGAAACAUGCACUCCACAAAAGUUGACAUGCUCAUAAGAUAUAUUUUCAUCAUGACUAGAGCAAUCAUCAUUAGUACUAAGGAUAUUCAAUGAGUUCAUACUAACAACAUUGCAAUCAUGCUCAUCAUUCAAAGAUUCAGUACCAAGCAUUUUAAUGCAUUCUUCUUCUAGCACUUGAGCACAAUUUUGUUUUCCAUCAUACUCACGAAAUAUAUUAAAAAGACGAAGCGUAUGAGACAAACUCAACUCCAUUUUUUUAUAGUUUUCUUUUAUAAACUAAACUAGUGAUAAAACAAGAAACAAAAAGAUUCGAUUACAAGAUCUAAAGAUAUACCUUCAAGCACUCACCUCCCCGACAAUGACGCUAGAAAAGAGCUUAGUUGACGGGGUGUGAGUGAGUGCCCUUUACCUAGCCUCCCCGGCAGCUGCGCCAGAAAAGAGCUUGAUGUCUACUACACAACCUUCUUCUUGUAGACGUUGUUGGGCCUGCAAGUGCACAGGUUUGUAGGACAGUAGCAAAUUUCCCUCAAGUGGAUGACCUAAGGUUUAUCAAUCCGUAGGAGCAGGCGUAGGAUGAAGAUGGUCUCUCUCAAACAACCCUGCAACCAAAUAACAAAGAGUCUCUUGUGUCCCCAACACACCCGAUACAAUGGUAAAUUGUAUAGGUGCACUAGUUCGGCGAAGAGAUGGUGAUACAAGUGCAAAAUAGAUAGUAGAUAUAGGUUUUUGUAAUCUGAAAUAAUAAAAACAGCAAGGUAAUUAAUGAUAAAAGUGAGCGUAAACGGUAUUGCAAUGGUAGGAAACAAGGCCAAGGGUUCAUACUUUCAGUAGAGCAAGUUCUCUCAACAAUAAUAACAUAGAUAGAUCAUAUAACAAUCCCUCAACAUGCAACAAAGAGUCACUCCAAAGCCACUAAUAGCGGAGAACAAACGUAGAGAUUAUGGUAGGGUACGAAACCACCUCAAAGUUAUUCUUUCGGAUCGAUCUAUAAAAGAGUUCGUACUAGAAUAACACCUUAAGAUACAAAUCAACCAAAACCCUAAUGUCACCUAGAUACUACAUUGUCACCUCAAGUAUCCAUGGGCAUGAUUAUACGAUAUGCAUCACACAAUCUCAGAUUCAUCCAACCAACAUAAAAGUACUUCAAAGAGUGCCCCAAAGUUUCUACCGGAGAGUCAAGAAAACGUGUGCCAACCCCUAUGCAUAGGCUCAUGGGCGGAACCCGCAAGUUGGUCACCAAAACAUACAUCAAGUGGCACGUGAUAUCCCAUUUUCACCACAGAUAAACACGGCAAGACAUACAUCAAGUGUUCUCAAAUCAAAGACUCAAUCCGAUAAGAUAACUUCAAGAGGGAAACUCAAUUCAUUACAAGAGAGUAGAGAGGGGGAGAAACAUCAUAAGAUCCAACUAUAAUAGCAAAGCUCGCGAUACAUCAAGAUCGUGUGAAGUCGAGAACACGAGAGAGAGAGAUCAAACACAUAGCUACUGGUACAUACCCUUAGCCCCGAGGGUGAACUACUCCCUCCUCGUCAUGGAGAGCGCCGGGAUGAUGAAGAUGGCCACCGGUGAUGGAUUCCCCCUCCGGCAGGGUGCCAGAACGGGCUCCCGAGAGGUUUUUGGUGGCUAUAGAGGCUUGCGGCGGUAGAACUCCCGAUCUAUCUUGAUUUCUGAUGUUUUUAGGGUAUGUAGGAGUAUAUAGGCGAAAGAAGUCAGCCGGGAGGUGCUCGAGGGGCCCACGAGACAGGGGGGCGCGCCCAGUAGGGUGGGGGGCGCCCUCCUAUCUUGUGGAGUCCUCGAGGAUCUUCUGACGUGCACUCCAAGUCUCCAGGAUCAUAUUCUUCCAAAAAAAUCACGCUGCCGAAGGUUUUAUUCGAUGUGGACUCCGUUUGAUAUUCCUUUUCUUCGAAAUACUGAAACAGGCAAUAAAACAGCAAUACGGGCUGGGCCUCCGGUUAGUAGUUUAGUCCCAAAAAUGAUAUAAAUGUGUAAAAUAAAGCCUAUAAACAUCCAAAAGGGGUAAUAUAAUAGCAUGGAACAAUCAAAAAUUAUAGAUACAUUGGAGACGUAUCAGCCAUCCCUCCGGCGACGGCAACGCGGGGGCGGGUGGAGGGUGGGUGUCGGGCCGCCAGCGGCUAGGGUUUCCACCGAGUCACCCGACGUGGGGGUCGAGGGUGAGAAGGGUAUUUAUUUUACCAUUUUCAUUAAUAAUCGAUAAAUAAACAAGAAUUAUCAGGUUAAGUAGCAGAAAUCAGGCUAUGAUACGUCUCCAACGUAUCUAUAAUGUUUGAUUGCUCCAUGCUACUUUAUCUACUGUUUUGGGCAAUAUUGGGCUUUAUUUUCCACUUUUAUAUUAUUUUUGGGACUAACCUAUUAACCGGAGGCCCAGCCCAGAUUUGUUGUUUUAUGCUAUUUCAGUAUUUCGAGGAAAAGGAAUAUCAAACGGGGUCAAAACGGAAUGAAAUCAACUGGAGAAGUUAUUUUUGGAAGGAAAGCCACCCGAUGGACUUGGAGUGCAUGUCAGGAAAAAAGGGAGGUGCUCACGAGGGUGGGGGCGCGCCCACCCCCCUAGGGCGCGCCCCUGCCUCGUGCCCCCCCCUUCGGUCCACCGACGUACCCCUUGCACCCAUAUAUACCUACGUAUCGUAAAACUUCCAGAACAGAAGAUAGAUCGGGAGUUCCGCCGCCACAAGCCUCUGUAGCCACCAAAAACCUCUCGGGAGCCCAUUCCGGCACCCUGCCGGAAGGGGAUCCCAUCACCGGUGGCCAUCUUCAUCAUCCCGGUGCUAUCCAUGACGAGGAGGGAGUAGUUCACCCUCGGGGCUGAGGGUAUGUACCAGUAGCUAUGUGGUUGAUCUCUCUCUCUCUCGUGUUCUCUCUCGUGUUCCCUCUAUGGCACGAUCUUGAUGUAUCCCGAGCUUUGUUAUUGUAGUUGGAUCUUAUGAUGUUUCUCCCCCUCUACUCUCUUGUGAUGAAUUGAGUUUCCCCUUUGAAGUUAUCUUAUCAGAUUGAGUCUUUUAUGAGAACACUUGAUGUAUGUCUUGUCGUGAUUACCUGUGGUGACAAUGGGAUAUCAUGUGCCACUUGAUGUAUGUUUUGGUGAUCAACUUGUGGGUUUCGUGACUUUGGGAACCUAUGCAUAGGGGUUGGCACACGUUCUUGACUCUCCGAUAAAAACUUUGGGGCACUCUUUGAAGUACUUUGUGUUGGUUGGAUGAAUCUGAGAUUGUGUGAUGCAUAUCGUAUAAUCAUGCCCACGGAUACUUGAGGUGACAAUGUAGUAUCUAGGUGACAUUAGGGUUUUUGUUGAUUUGUGUCUUAAGGUGUUAUUCUAGUACGAACUCUUUUAUAGAUUGAUCCGAAAGAAUAACUUUGAGGUGGUUUCGUACCCUACCAUAAUCUCUACAUUUGUUCUCCGCUAUUAGUGGCUUUGGAGUGACACUCUUUGUUGCAUGUUGAGGGAUUGUUAUAUGAUCUAUCUAUGUUAUUAUUGUUGAGAGAACUUGCACUAGUGAAAGUAUGAACCCUAGGCCUUGUUUCCUAUCAUUACAAUACCGUUUACGCUCACUUUUAUCAUUAGUUAGCUUGCUGUUUUUAUAUUUUCAGAUUACAAAUACCUAUAUCUACUAUCCAUAUUGCACUUGUAUCACCAUCUCUUCGCCGAACUAGUGCACCUAUACAAUUUACCAUUGUAUUGGGUGUGUUGGGGACACAAGAGACUCUUUGUUAUUUGGUUGCAGGGUUGUUUGAGAGAGACCAUCUUCAUCCUACGCCUCCCACGGAUUGAUAAACCUUAGGUCAUCCACUUGAGGGAAAUUUGCUACUGUCCUACAAACCUGUGCACUUGCAGGCCCAACAAUGUCUACAAGAAGAAGGUUGUGUAGUAGACAUCAAGCUCUUUUCUGGCGCCGUUGCCGGGGAGGCUAGGUAAAGGGCACUCACUCACACCCCGUCAACUAAGCUCUUUUCUGGCGCCGUUGCCGGGGAGGUGAGUGCUUGAGGGUAUAUCUUUAGAUCUUGCAAUCGAAUCUUUUUGUUUCUUGUUUUAUCACUAGUUUAGUUUAUAAAAGAAAACUACAAAAAAAUGGAAUUGAGUUUGUCUCAUACGCUUCAUCUUUUUAAUAUCUUUCGUGAGAAUGAUGGAAAGGAAAAUUGUGCUCAAGUGCUAGAAGAAGAAUGCAUUAAAAUGCUUGGUACUAGAUCUUUGUAUGAUGAGCAUGAUUGCAAUGUUGUUAGUAUGAAUUCCUUGAAUAUCCAUGAUGCUAAUGAUAUGCAAAGCCACAAGCUUGGGGAAGCUAUGUUUGAUGAAGAUGAUAUUUUUAGCAUCCCAAGUUUUGAUAUGCAAAGUUGUUAUGAUGAUAGCAUGCCUCCUACCUAUGAUGAUUAUAUUGAUGAAAGUGGGUUCGGAAGAGUGUCAACUUUAGGAAGUAGUGAUCCCACUAUUUUGGAGGAUGUUGAAUUUUAUUGUGAUGAAUACGAAAGUGGAUUUGGAAGAGUGUCAACUUUAUUUAGUGAUUCCACUAUCUUGGGAGAGGUUUCAAUCGAUUAUGAUGAGAACGAAGUUGCUACUUAUGAUGAUUAUUGUGAUGAAACUUAUGCUAUAAAAAGUAGUGAUGAUUAUAUUUACAAAUCCUUGUCAUGAUUAUGAUUACCCUUUUUCUGAACAUUACUCUUUUAAUGUGGAAACAAUUUUUAGUGUUCAAGUCUCUUAUGAUACUCCCACUAUUCCGAAUGAGAAGAAUUUUGCUUAUGUGGAGAGUAGUAAAUUUUCUAUGCUUGUAGAUCAUGAAAGGAAUGAUUUAGGUGCUGGUUAUAUUGUUGAAUUAAUUCAUGAUGCUACUGAAAAUUAUUAUGAGGGAUGAACAUAUGCUUGUAGGAGUUGCAAUAAUGCAAAGUUUCCUCUCUAUGUGUUGAAAAUCUUGAAGUUAUGCUUGUUUUACGUUCCUAUGCUAGUUGAUUAUUGUUCCCAUAAGUUAUUUGCUCGCAAAAUCCCUAUGCAUAGUAAGUGGGUUAGACUUAAAUGCGCUAGUCAUAUGCUUCAUGAUGCUCGCGUUAUGUUUCAAUUCUUAUCUUUUAUGUGAGCAUCAUUGUCAUCAUCAUGCCUAGCUAGAAAGGCAUUGAAGAAAAGCGCUUGUUGGUUGACAAACCAAUAUUUAUCCUUACUGUUUUUGUGUGUUCACAUGAUUAUGCUACUGUAGUAAUCAUGUUUUAUAGCUUUUGUUUCAAUAAAGUGCCAAGUAAGACCUUUAGGAUAGCUUACGGUGAUAGUUGUGUUGAUCCUGCUGAAAAUCAGAAACUUUUGCACCCAGUUAAUUAGUUUUUUUAAUUCACAAAAACGUGCUUCUGAUCUGAUUAGUUUUGCUAUAGAUAGGUACGCGAAUUUACUAGGACUUCCUAAUUUGGUAGGAUUUUUGGUGUUCCAUAACUAUACGUUUGAUACAGAUUACUACAGACUGUUCUGUUUUUCACAGAUUCUGUUUUCUAUGUGUUGUUUGCUUAUUUUGAUGAAUCUAUGAGUAGUAUCGAAGGGUAUGAACCAUAGAUAAGUUGGAGUACAGUAGAUAUUACACCAAUAUGAAUUUAGAAUGAGUUCACUACAGUACCUAAGUGGUGGUUUUACUUUCUUAUACUAACGGAGUUUACGAGUUUUCUGUUGAGUUUUGUGUUGUGGAGUUUUCAAUUUUUGGGUAAGGAUUCGAUGGACUAUGGAAAUAAGGAGUGGUAAGAGCCUAAGCUUGGGGAUGCCCAAGGCACCCCAAGGUAAUAUUCAAGAAUAGCCAAAAUCCUAAGCUUGGGGAUGCCCCGGAAGGCAUCCCCUCUUUCGUCUUCGUUCAUCGGUAACUUUACUUGGAGCUAUAUUUUUAUUCACCACAUGAUAUGUGUUUUGCUUGGAGCGUCAUUUUCUUUUAUUAGUAUUUGCUUGAUGUUAUUUAUAUGAAUAUUUUGCUUCUUUAGUUUCAAUAAAAAAGUCAAGGAUAGCCUUUGCCAUGCUUAUUUUGCUAGUAUACAUGUUGCUGUUUGAAAACAGAAAGUUUAUCGCUGUUGAAAAAAUUCCCUAGAAAAGUCAGAGAAUGGUAUAAUGUUGAAACCUUUUGAAUAAUGAGCUCUGAUAAAUUUACUACAGUGGGAAUUUUAUUUCAUAAUUUUUGGAGUUAGGGAAGUAUGGAUACUCUUGCAUUCUUUACAGAAUGUACUGUUUUGGCAGAUUGAUGUUAUGUUUGCAUUGUUUGCUUGUUUAAUGAUUCUAUUUGAGGAUAGGAGUAUUAAAUAUGCAGAGGCAUUUAGUAUUCAAUGUUGAAUAAUAAUUUUAUUGAUUUUUUACAGUAGAUUAUUAUAAGGUUUUGCAUUGGUUUAUACUAACCUACCUCACGAGUUCAUGUUGAGCUUGGUGUGGAUGAAGCUUUUGAGAAAUAGAGAAACCAUGAUAUGAGAGGAAUUAAGGAGACACAAAAGUUCAAGCUUGGGGAUGCCCAAGGCACCCCAAGAUAAUAUUCCAAGAAGUCUCAAGCAUCUAAGCUUGGGGAUGCCCCGGUAGGCAUCCCACCUUUCUUCUUCAACAACUAUCGGUUAGUAUCGUUUGAGCCUAAGUUUUUGCUUCUUCACAUGAGUUGUGCUAUCCUUGCAAUGUCAUUUUAUUUUGUUUUGCUUGCUGUUUGACUAGAGUACCAAGAUAUGAAAUUCUUUAAUGAGAGAGAGUCUUCACAUAGUUACAUAAUUAUUUAGCUACUCUUUGAUCUUCACUUAUAUCUUUUUGGAGUAGUUUGUCAUUUACUCGUGUGCUUCACUUAUAUUAUUUUGAGAGUCUUUUAGAAUAGCUAUGGUUACAAAAUUGGUCCUAGAAUGGUAGGCAUCCAAGUUGGGUAUAAUAAAAACUAUCAUAGGAAGUGAAUUGGAUGCUAUGAUCAAUUUGAUACUUGAUAAUUGUUUUGAGAUAUGGAUGUAGUCAUAUUAAAGUCAUGCUAGUUGGGUGAUUAUGAAUUUAAAGAAUGCUUGUGUUGAAGUUAGCAAGUCCCGUAGCAUCACGUAUGGUUAAAGUUGUGUAACAAAUUUGAAACAUGAAGUGUACCUGGCUUGUGCAUCCUUAUGAGUGGCGGUCGGGGACGAGCGAUGGUGUUUUCCUACCAAUCUAUCCCCCUAGGAGCAUGCGUGUAGUACUUGAUUUUUGAUGACUUCUAAAUUUUUGCAAUAAGUAUAUGAGUUCUUUUGACUAAUGUUGAGUCCAUGGAUUAUACGCACUUUUACCUUUCCACCAUUGCUAGCAUCUUCGGUACCGUGCAUUGCCCUUUCUCACCUUGAGAGUUGGUGCAAACUUCGCCGGUACAUCCAAACCCCGUGAUACGAUACACUCUAUCACACAUAAACCUCCCUAUAUCUUCCUCAAAACAGCCACCAUACCUACCUAUUAUGGCAUUUCCAUAGCCACUCCGAGAUAUAUUGCCAUGCAACUUUCCACCAUUCCGUUCAUCAUCAUCAUGACAUACUUUACUUUUGUCAUAUUGCCAUUGCAUGAUCAUGUAGUUGACAUCGUAUUUGUGGCAAAGCCACCAUGCAUUAUUUUUCAUACAUGUCACUCUUGAUUCAUUGCACCAUCCCGGUACACCGUCGGAGGCAUUCAUAUAGUCAUAUCUUGUUCUAGUUUCGAGUUGAUGUUCUUAUGUUGUAAUCAAUAGAAGUGUGAUGAUCAUCAUUAUUAGAGCAUUGCCCAAAAAGAAAAAAAAAAGAAAAAAAGAAGAAAGGCCAAAAGAAAAGAAAAAAAAGGACCAAAAAAAGGGAAAAAAAGGAGAAAAAGAAAAAAAAGAAAUAAAUAAAAAGGGCAAUGUUACUAUCUCUUUUUCCACACUUGUGCUUCAAAGUAGCACCUUGUUCUUCAUAUAGUGGGAAUUUUUCAUUAUAGAACUUGGCUUGUAUAUUCCUAUAAUGGGCUUCCUCAAAUGCCCUAGGUCUUCGUGAGCAAGCAAGUUAUGCACACCCACUAGUUUUCUUUUGUUGAGCAUUCAUUUAUAGCUCUAGUGCAUCUGUUGCAUGGCAAUCCCUACUCCUCAUGUUGACAUCAAUUGAUGGACAUCUCCAUAGCCCGUUGAUUAUCCUCGUCAAUGUGAGACUUUCUCCUUUUUUUGUCUUCUCCACACAAUCCCCAUCAUCAUAUUCUAUUCCACCCAUAGUACUAUAUCCAUGGCUCACGCUCAUGUAUUGUGUGAAGGUUGAAAAAGUUUGAGAUUAUUUAAGUAUGAAACAAUUGCUUGGCUUGUCAUCGGGGGUAUAGAAGUUGGGAACAUCUUUGUGUGACGAAAAUGAAGCAUAGCCUAACUAUAUGAUUUUGUAGGGAUGAACUUUCUUUUGCCAUGCUAUUUUGAGAAGACAUGAUUACCUUGAUUAGUAUGCUUGAAGAGUUACUAUUUCUUUUAUCAAUAUGAACUUUUUAUUUUGAAUCAUUUGGAUCUGAACAUUCAUGCCACAAUAAAUAAAAUUACAUUGAGAAUUAUGCUAGGUAGCAUUCUACAUCAAAAAUUCUGUUUUUAUCAUUUACCUACUGGAGGACGAGCAGGAAUUAAGCUUGGGGAUGCUUGAUACGUCUCCAACGUAUCUAUAAUUUUUUAUUGUUCCAUGCUAUUAUAUUACCCCUUUUGGAUGUUUAUGGGCUUUAUUUUACACAUUUAUAUCAUUUUUGGGACUAACCUACUAACUGGAGGCCCAGCCCAUAUUGCUGUUUUAUUGCCUGUUUCAGUAUUUCGAAGGAAAGGAAUAUCAAACGGAGUCCAAACGGAAUGAUGUUGGGGAACAUAGUAAUUUCAAAAAAAUUCCUACGCACACACAAGAUCAUGGUGAUGUAUAGCAACAAGAGGGGAGAGUGUUGUCUACAUACCCUUGUAGACCGUAAGAGGAAGCAUUAGCACAACGCAGUUGAUGUAGUCGUACGUCUUCACGACCCGACCGAUCAAGCGCCGAAACUACGGCACCUCCGAGUUCUAGCACACGUUCAGCUCGAUGACGUCCCUCGAACUCCGAUCCAGCCGAGGGUCGAGGGAGAGUUCCGUCAGCACGACGGCGUGGUGACGAUCUUGAUGUUCUACCGUCGCAGGGCUUCGCCUAAGCACCGCUACGAUAUUAUCGAGGUGGACUAUGGUGGAGGGGGGCACCGCACACGACUAAGAGAUCCAGGGGAUCAAUUGUUGUGUCUUUGGUGCUAGCCCUGCCCCUCUAUUUAUAUGUUGAGCCCCGGGGUCGAAACUUGGAGCAAAAGCCUCCUCAAAGUCGGUUUUGCCCGAAAGGCAAGAGUCCCACUCGGACUCCAGGACCAAACGCCACAAUCCUUGGCGUCUGGCCCAGAAGCCAUGGGCAUCAGCGUCUGGCCCUGACGCCAGGGUCUCUGGCGUUUGGCCCCCUGGCCUCGGCAAAACUCCUUUUGCACUGACCUAAAGCCUCAUGGGCUUGACCCCUUGGCCUAACCAUAUCAUCCAAUAUAUGAAUCUUUACAUCUCGACCAUUUUGAGAAUCCUCGUCAUGUCCCCGAUCUCAUCCGGGACUCCGAACUCCUUCGGUACAUAAAAACAUGUAAACUCAUAAUAUAACUGUCAUCGAAACCUUAAGCGUGCGGACCCUACGGGUUCGAGAACAAUGUAGACAUGACCGAAACACGUUUCCGGUCAAUAACCAAUAGUGGAACCUGGAUGCUCAUAUUGGCUCCCACAUAUUCUACAAAUAUCUUUAUCAGUCAGACCGCAUAACAACAUACAUUGUUCCCUUUGUCAUCAGUAUGUUACUUGCCCGAGAUUCGAUCGUCGGUAUCUCAAUACCUAGUUCAAUCUCGUUACGGGCAAGUCUCUUUACUCGUUACGUAAUGCAUCAUCCCGUAACUAACUCAUUAGCUACAUUGCUUGCAAGGCUUAUAGUGAUGUGCAUUACCGAGUGGGCCCAGAGAUACCUCUCCGACAAUCGGAGUGACAAAACCUAAUCCCGAAAUACGCCAACCCAACAUGUACCUUCGGAGACACCUGUAGAGCUCCUUUAUAAUCACCCAGUUACGUUGUGACGUUUGGUAGCACACAAAGUGUUCCUCCGGUAAACGGGAGUUGCAUAAUCUCAUAGUUACAGGAACAUGUAUAAGUCAUGAAGAAAGCAAUGGCAACAUACUAAACGAUCAAGUGCUAAGCUAACGGAAUGGGUCAAGUCAAUCACAUCAUUCUCCUAAUGAUGUGAUCCCGUUAAUCAAAUGACAACUCAUGUCUAUGGUUAGGAAAGUUAACCAUCUUUGAUUAACGAGCUAGUCAAGUAGAGGCAUACUAGUGACACUAUGUUUGUCUACGUAUUCACACAUGUAUUAUGUUUCCGGUUAAUACAAUUCUAGCAUGAAUAAUAAACAUUUAUCAUGAAAUAAGGAAAUAAAUAAUAACUUUAUUAUUGCCUCUAGGGCAUAUUUCCUUCAGUCUCCCACUUGCAAUAGAGUCAAUAAUCUAGUUCACAUCGCCUUGUGAUUUAACACCAAUAUUCAUAUCUAUAUAUGAUUAACACCCAUAGUUCACAUUGUCAUGUGACCAACACCCAAAGGGUUUACUAGAGUUAAUAAUCUAGUUCACAUCGCUAUGUGAUUAACACCCAAAAGAGUACUAAGGUGUGAUCAUGUUUUGCUCGUGAGAGAGGCUUAGUCAACGGGUCUGUCACAUUCAGAGCCGUAUGUAUUUUACAAAUAUACUAUGUCUACAAUGCUCUGCACGGAGCUACUAUAGAUAAUUGCUCCCACUUUCAAUAUGUAUCCAGAUUAAGACUUAGAGUCGUCUGGAUCAGUGCCAAAACUUGUAUCGACGUAACCCUUUACGAUGAACCUUUUUGUCACCUCCAUAAUCGAGAAACAUAUCCUUAUUCCACUAAGGAUAAUUUUGACCAAUGUCCAGUGAUCUACUCCUAGAUCACUAUUGUACUCCCUUGCCAAAACAGGGCAGAGUAUACAAUAGGUCUGGUCCAUAGCAUAGCAUACUUUUAUAGAACCUAUGACUGAUGCAUAGGGAAUGACUUUCAUUCUCUUUCUAUUUUCUGCUGUGGUCGGGAUUUGAGUCUUACUCAAUUUCAUACCUUUGCAACACAGGCAAGAACUCUUUCUUUGACUGUUCCAUUUUGAACUACUUCAAAAUCUUGUCAAGGUAUGUACUCAUUGAAAAUCUUAUCAAGCGUCUUGAUCUAUCUCAAUAGAUAUUGAUGCUCAAUAUGUAAGUAGCUUUACUGAAGUCUUUCUUUUAAAGAACUUCUUUCAAACACUCUUUAUGCUUUGCAGAAAAAUUCUACAUUAUUUCCGAUCAACAAUAUGUCAUUCACAUAUACUUAUCAAAAAUGCUGUAGUGCUCCCACUCACUUUCUUGUAAAUACAGGCUUCACCGUAAGUCUGUACAAAACUACAUGCUUUGAUCAACUUAUCAAAGCAUAUAUUCCAACUCUGAGAUGCUUGCACCAGUCCAUAAAUGGAUCGCUGGAGCAUGCACACUUUGUUAGCACCUUUAGGAUUGACAAAACCUUCUGGUUGCAUCAUAUACAACUCUUCUUUAAGACAACCAUAAAGGAAUGUAGUUUUGACAUCCAUUUGCCAGAUUUCAUAAAAUGUGGCAAUUGCUAACAUGAUUCAGACAGACUUAAGCAUCGCUACAAUUGAGAAAAUCUCAUUGUAGUCAACACCUUGAACUUGUCAAUAACCUUUUUGCGACAAAUCAAGUUUUAUAGAUAGUAACACUACUAUCAAUGUCUGUCUUCCUCUUGAAGAUCCAUUUAUUUUCUAUGGUUUGCCGAUCAUCGGGCAAGUCCACCAAAGUCCACACUUUGUUCUCAUACAUGGAUCCUAUCUCAGAUUUCAUGGCUUCCAGCCAUUUUGCGGAAUCUGGGCUCAUCAUCACUUCCUCAUAGUUCGUAGGUUUAUCAUGGUCUAGUAACAUGACUUUCAGAACAGGAUUACCGUACCACUCUGGUGCGGACCAUAUUCUGGAAGACUUACGAGGUUUUGUAGUAACUUGAUCUGAAGUUUCAUGAUCAUCAUCAUUAGCUUCCUCACUAAUUGGUGUAGGAAUUACUGGAACUGAUUUCAGUGAUGAACUAUUUUUCAAUUAGGGAGAAGGUACAGUUACCUCAUCAAGUUCUACUUUCCUCCCACUCACUUCUUUCGAGAGAAACUCCUUCUCUAGAAAGGAUCCAUUUUUAGCAACGAAUAUCUUGCCUUCGGAUCUGUGAUAGAAGGUGUACCCAACAUUUUCCUUUGGGUAUUCUAUGAAGACGCACUUCACCGAUUUGGGUUUGAGCUUAUCAGGAUGAAACUUUUUCACAUAAGCAUCAUAGCCCCAAACUUUAAGAAACGACAACUUGGGUUUCUUGCUAAACCACAGUUCAUAUAGUGUCGUCUCAACGGAUUUAGAUGGUGCCCUUUUAACAUGAAUGCAGUUGUCUCUAAUGCAUAACCCCAAAACGAUAAUGGUAAAUCAAUAAGAGACAUCAUAGAUCGCACCAUAUCCAAUAAAGUGCGGUUACGACGUUCGGACACACCAUAACGUUGUGGUGUUCCAGGUGGCGUGAGCUGUGAAACUAUUCCACAUUGUUUUAAUUGAAGACCAAACUCGUAACUCAAAUAUUCGUCUUCGUGAUCAGAUUGCAGAAACUUUAUUUUCUUGUUACGAAGAUUUUUCCACUUCACUCUGAAAUUCUUUGAACCUUUCAAUUAUAUCAGACUUAUGUUUCAUCAAGUAGAUAUACCCAUAUCUGCUCAAAUCAUCUUGUGAAGGUCAGAAAAUAACGAUACUUGCCACAAGCAUCAACACUCACUGGAUCGCAUACAUCGGUAUGUAUUAUUUCCAAUAAGUCAGUAGCUUGUUCCAUUGUUCCGGAGAACGGAGUUUUAUUCAUCUUGCCCAAAAGGCACGGUUCGCAAGCAUCAAAUGAUUCAUAACCAAGUGAUUCCGAAAAUCCAUCUUUAUGGAGUUUCUUCAUGCGCUUUACACCGAUAUGACCCAAACGGCAGUGCCACAAAUAAGUUGCACUAUCAUUAUUAACUUUGUAUCUUUUGGCAUCAAUAUUAUGAAUAUGUGUAUCACUACGAUCGAGAUCCAAUAAACCAUUAUCAUUGGGUGUAUGACCAUUGAAGGUUUUAUUCAUGUAACUUUAAAUGAAUAACCGUAUUGCAAUAAACAUGAUCAAAUCAUAUUCAUGCUCAACGCACACGCUAAAUAACAUUUAUUUAGGUUUAACACUAAUCCCGAAAGUAUAGGGAGUGUGCGAUGAUGAUCAUAUCAAUCUUGGAACUACUUCCAACACUCAUCGUCACUUCCCCUUCAACUAGUCUCUGUUUAUUCUGUAACUCCUGUUCGAGUUACUAAUCUUAGCAACCGAACAAGUAUCAAAUACUCAGGGGCUACUAUAAACACUAGUAAGGCACACAUCAAUAACCUGUAUAUCAAAUAUACCCUUGUUCACUUUGCCAUCCUUCUUAUCCACCAAAUAUUCAGGGCAUUUCCGCUUGCAGUGACCAUUUCCUUUGUAGUGUAAGCACUCAGUUUCAGGAUUUGGUCCAGCUUUGGUUUUCCUCACGGGAGUGACAACUUGUUUGCCAUUCCACUUGAAGUUUCCCUUUCUUUCCCUUUUCUUGAAACUAGUGGUUUUGUCAAUCAUCAACACUUGAUGCUCUUUCUUGAUUUCUACCUUCGUCGAUUUCAAUAUCACGAAGAGCUCGGGAAUUGUUUUUGUCAUCCCUUGCAUACUAUAGUUCAUCACGAAGUUCUAGUAACUUGGUGAUGGUGACUAGAGAAUUCUGUCAAUCACUAUCUUAUCUGGAAGGUUAACUCCCACUUGAUUCAAGCGAUUGAAGUACCCAGACAAUCUGAGCACCUGCUCACUAGCUGAGCGAUUCUCCUCCAUCUUUUAGCUAUAGAACUUGUUGGAGACUUCAUAUCUCUCAACUCGGGUAUUUGCUUGAAAUAUCAACUUCAAUUCCUGGAACAUCUCAUAUGGUCCAUGAUGUUCAAAACGUCUUUGAAGUCCCGAUUCUAAGCCGUUAAUCAUGGUGCACUAAACUAUCAAGUAGUCAUCAUAUUGAGCUAGCCAAACGUUCAUAACAUCUGCAUCUGCUCCUGCAAUAGGUCUGUCACCUAGCGGUGCAUUAAGGACAUAAUUCUUCUGUGCAGCAAUGAGGAUAAACCUCAGAUCACGGAUCCAAUCCGCAUCAUUGCUACUAACAUCUUUCAACACAAUUUUCUCUAGGAACAUAUCAAAAUAAACAUAUGAAAGCAACAACGCAAGCUAUUGAUCUACAACAUAAUUUGCAAAAUACUACCAGGACUAAGUUCAUGAUAAAUUUAAGUUCAAUUAAUCAUAUUACUUAAGAACUCCCACUUAGACAGACAUCUCUCUAGUCAUCUAAGUGAUCACGUGAUCCAAAUCAACUAAACCAUGUCCGAUCAUCACGUGAGAUGGAGUAGUUUCAAUGGUGAACAUCACUAUGUUGAUCAUAUCUACUAUAUGAUUCACGUUCGACCUUUCGGUCUCCGUGUUCCGAUGCCAUAUCUGUUAUAUGCUAGGCUCGUCAAGUUUAACCUGAGUAUUCCGCGUAUGCAACUAUUUUUGCACCCGUUGUAUUUGAACGUAGAGCCUAUCACACCCGAUCAUCAUGUGGUGUCUCAGCACGAAGAACUUUCGCAACGGUGCAUACUCAGGGAGAACACUUCUUGAUAAUUUUAGUGAGAGAUCAUCUUAAAAUGCUACCGUCAAUCAAAGCAAGAUAAGAUGCAUAAAGGAUAAACAUCACAUGCAAUCAAUAUAAGUGAUAUGAUAUGGCCAUCAUCAUCUUGUGCUUGUGAUCUCCAUCUUCGAAGUACCGUCAUGAUCACUGAGGGAGUCCUGGACUAGGGGGUGUCCGGACAGCCGGACUAUCAUCGUCCGCCGGACUCCAAGACUACGAAGAUACAAGAUUGAAGACUCCAUCCCGUGUUCGGAUGGGACUUUCCUUGGCGUGGAAGGCAAGCUUGGCGAUACGGAUAUGUAGAUCUCCUACCAUUGUAACCGACUCUGUGUAACCCUAGCCCUCUCCGGUGUCUAUAUAAACCGGAGGGCUUUAGUCCGUAGGACACAACAUACAUUACAACAAUCAUACCAUAGGCUAGCUUCUAGGGUUUAGCCUCCUUGGUCUCGUGGUAGAUCCACUCUUGUACUACCCAUAUCAUCAAUAUUAAUCAAGCAGGACGUAGGGUUUUACCUCCAUCAAGAGGGCCCGAACCUGGGUAAAACAUCGUGUCCCUUGUCUCCUGUUACCAUCCGCCUAGACGCACAGUUCGGGACCCCCUACCCGAGAUCCGCCGGUUUUGACACCGACAUUGGUGCUUUCAUUGAGAGUUCCUCUGUGCCGUCACCGAUAGGCUCGAUGGCUUGUCCAAUCAACAAUGCCGUCCAGGGUGAGACUUUUCUCCUCGGACAGAUCUUCGUAUUCGGCGGCUUCGCACCGCGGGCCAACUCAUGUGGCCAUCUGGAGCAGAUCGAAAGCUAUGCCCCUGGCCAUCAGGUCAGGUUCAGAAGCCUAAACUUCACGGCCGACAUCCGCAGGGACUUGAUCUUCGACGGACUCGAGCCUCAUCCGAGCGUGCCGCGCUGUCAUGAUGGGCAUGAUUUAGCUCUGCCGCUGGACAGUGCCUUGGUGGCCGCACACGAACCCGCUCCGACCCUCAGUCCGGAGCUGAUCGCCCAGAUCGAGGACCGGUGGCUGGACACCGCCUCGGGGGCUGCACCUUCCACGGCAAUGGAGCCGAACACUAACCUUGUCGAGGUGGACUCCGAGGUGCCGGACUCCUUACCAGACUCCGAACCUCCUGCGCCCCUGCCAAUCGAAUCUGAUUGGGCACCGAUCAGGGAGUUCACGGCCGCGGACAUUUUCCAACACUCGCCCUUUGGCGAUAUCCUAAAUUUGCUAAAGCAUCUCUCGCUAUCCGGAGAGCCCUGGCCGGAUUAUGCCAGGAUGGUUGGGAUACGGCGAUGAAGAAAUUCAGAGCCCACCCACCACCCACUUUGUAGCCACUGUCGACGAUCUAACCGACAUGCUAGACUACGACUCCGAAGACAUCGACGGUAUGGACGACGAUGCCGGAGAUGAACAGGAACCAGCGCCUACAGGGCACUGGAAGACCACCUCGUCAUACGACAUAUACAUGGUGGACACCCCAAAAGAUGGGGACGGCGAAGAAGCAGCGGAGGCAGAUUCCUUAAAGAAACAGCCCAAGCGCCGGCGUCAGCGGCGCCGCUCUAAAUCCCGCCACAGCAAGAAUGGAGAUUCCAGCACAGGAGAUAAUAACACUCCAGAUAGUGCCGAAGACAAUCCCCUCCAGCAAGAGUCAGCGCAGGAGGAUGCAGAAGCAAGCCCUCGCGAGAGAGCGGCGGACGAAUAGGUCGAGGAUGAUAAUUACAUGCCUCCCUCCGGAGACGAAGCAAGCCUCGGCGACGACGAAUUCAUCGUGCCUGAGGAUCGAACAAGAGCGUUUCAAAUGCAGGCUUAUCGCCACGGCAAAUAGCCUAAAGAAAAAGCAGCAGCAGCUUCAAGCUGAUCAAGACCUGCUGGCCGACAGAUGGACUGAGGUCCUCGCGGCCGAAGAGUAUGAACUCGAACGUCCCUCCAAAAGUUACCCAAAACGCAAGUUGCUCCCCCGAUUAGAGGAAGAAGCAUACAUACCUUCAUCACCAGUGCACGAUACGGCCGACCGACCACCCCGUGGUCGCGACAGAGAGGCAUCUAGGCCCUCCACCAAGACCGUACCCCGGCAUCGCUCCAAAAGUACGAAGCCAAGAGGGAACGCGCCGGACUUGCGAGAUAUAUUGGAGGACAAAGCAAGGCAAUCUAGAUCCAUCUACGGAUCACGUGGGCGCCCCGCGACCCACGACGAAUACCGUCGCGCCAGAUACAACAACUCCGGCCGAGCCGAACACAGCAGACAACGCUCGCUCGAGCUACGUCGUGACAUUGCUCAAUAUAGAGGCGCCGCACACCCGCUAUGCUUCACUGACGAAGUAAUGGAUCAUUAGAUCCCUGAAGGGUUUAAACCCGUAAACAUUGAAUCCUACGAUGGCACAACAGACCCCGCGGUUUGGAUCAAAGAUUAUCUCCUUCACAUCCAUAUGCCCCGGGGCGACGAUCUCCACGCCAUCAAAUACCUCCCACUCAAGCUUAAAGGACCAGCUCGGCAUUGGCUUAACAGCUUGCCCGCAGAGUCAAUUGGGUGUUGGGAAGACCUGGAAGCCGCAUUCCUUGACAACUUCCAGGGCACAUAUGUGCGACCACCAGACGCCGAUGACCUAAGCCACAUAAUUCAGCAGCCAGACGAAUCGGCCAGACAGUUCUGGACACGGUUCUUGACAAAGAAAAACCAAAUCGUCGACUGUCCGGAUGCAGAGGCCCUCGCAGCCUUCAAACAUAACAUCCGCGACGAGUGGCUAGCCCGGCACCUGGGACAGGAAAAGCCGAAAUCCAUGGCAGCCCUCACAUCAUUAAUGACCCGCUUUUGCGCGAGAGAGGAUAGCUGGCUAGCUCGCAGCAACAACCUUAGUAAAAAUUCUGGCAGUCCGGACACUAAGGACCACAGUGGCAGGUCGCGUCGAAGCAAAAAAAAACGCCGUAUUAACGGCGACGACAAGGAGGAUACGGCAGUCAAUGCCGGAUUCCGAGGCUCUAAACCCGGUCAGCGGAAGAAGCCAUUCAAAAGAACCACUCCGGGUCCGUCCAAUUUGGACCGAAUACUCGACCGCUUAUGCCAGAUACAUGGCACCCCCGAAAGGCCAGCUAUUCACACCAACAGAGACUGUUAGGUAUUCAAGCAGGCAGGCAAGUUAAUUGCCGAAAACAAUGACAAGGGGCUGCAUAGCGACGACGAGGAAGAGACCCGGCCGCCGAACAGUAGAGGACAGAAGGGUUUCCCCCCACAAGUGCGGACGGUCAACAUGAUAUACGCAACCCAUAUACCCAAGAGGGAGCGGAAGCGUGCACUAAGGGACGUAUACGCGAUGGAGCCAGUCGCCCCAAAGUUCAAUCCAUGGUCCUCUUGUCCGAUCACUUUCGAUCGAAGAGACCAUCCGACCAGCAUCCGCCAUGGCGGAUUCGCCGCAUUGGUUUUAGACCCAAUCGUCGAUGGAUUUCACCUCACGAGAGUCCUGAUGGACGGCGACAGUAGCCUGAACCUGCUUUAUCAGGAUACAGUGCGCAAGAUGGGCAUAGACCCCUCAAGGAUUAAACCUACAAAGACGACCUUUAAAGGCGUCAUACCAGGUGUGGAGGCCAAUUGUACAGGCUCAGUCACACUGGAAGUGGUCUUCGGAUCCCCGGAUAAUUUCCGGAGCGAGGAGUUAAUCUUCGACAUAGUCCCAUUUCGCAGCGGCUAUCACGCUCUGCUCGGACGAACCGCGUUUGCAAAGUUCAACGCGGUGCCGCAUUACCUUAAGCUCAAGAUGCCAGGCCCUUGUGGAGUCAUCACGGUCAACGGAAAUACGGAACGCUCCCUCCGAACGGAGGAACAUACAGCGGCUCUCGCGGCAGAAGUACAGAGCAGCCUUUUAAGGCAAUUUUCGAGUCCGGCCGUUAAACGGCCGGAUACAGCCAAACGCGCCCGAAGCAACACCAGCCAAGACCACCUGGCACGAUCCGAGCACGCGUAGCAAUGCGGCCCUAACCCCAGCCCUAGCAUGAUCGCAAGAACAACCCUCCGCGUCCAUCAUUACGCUUUGGAGAUACCAUGGGCGUAGGGGAAGGGGCACGACCACAAUAGACCCAGAGUGCGGCUCGACCACACCAGGGGCUCGCAAGUGUGUCACUCUUUUUUAUUAUUUUCCUUCUUUGUAUACACAGGACUCCGUUAAUCAGAGGCCCUGUCCGGCGGUGAACCUGCCGAACUCACGAUGCAACAGCCAGGGAAGAAAGAAGGCUGCGACGAACACUCAGGUGGUCUCCAUUACGAGCAUUAAAUUUGAUUAUAUACACCAAGUCCGCAGCUCAUCCCUGGAGGGGGACAUGUUUAAUUAGUCCAAACCCUUGCUUCCCGCACUAUUUGUAUCAGUCCGCACUCAUAGCAGACUUCCUUUAAUAAAUAAUGCAGCACUUCUCGCCUGUAAUUACAUAUACAUGUUCAUUACAUGACAUCUUGCACCCGUAUAUUUUGGUACGGCCUAAUACACCAGGGGCUUAUGUUCCUCGCAUUAUGGUGUGAUAAGUCCGAACACUUUCACAAGUGCGGCACCCCGAACUUAUAGCAUUAUAUGAAUCAGCUCCAAAUCAUGUCUUGGGUCAAUAGUUGGGUUUGCCCAGCUCCCACGUUUUGGUGCCUUAUGUUCUGUUCUGUCGGCUAAGGUGGCACUGGGAGAACCACUACGAUUGCGCCCCGGUUGAGCUGGGCGAGCGCCUCAGUGGAGAAAGCUAAAACUGACUGGCAUGAUAAGGCGAGAGACUGGUCGCUGUUUGAGAGGUCUUUUCGGGUCCCUAAAGACCCAUGCCGCUUCGAGCAAAGUACCGGAUAAUGUCCGAUGAAGGCGUGGAUAGCGCCUCGAAUUCGGUCUUCCGAAUACCAGGGGCUUAGCCGAAAUUUAAAAUUAUAGAAUUCUAUGGCUAAGUGAGAGUGUUCAAGCAUUAUAAGUCCGGUUGCCUUGUUCGUUGUGUUGAGCGCCUCCCUAGAUGGACCCAAAAAUGGGAACAAGAGUGCUCAAGUUUAUCCCAAACACCCCAGCACUCGCGGCUCGGGGGCUGAAGCCAACGACUUGCCAUCUCUCAGAUUUUAUAAACGGCCGCACAGAAGGUAAUAUUUUAAAUUAAACAAGCGUUGCUUAAAGUGCAUAUGAACAAAGUUUUCAGCGCACAGGAUAAUACAUAGCGAGUUUACUCAAAAAUUACAUCUCUGGGGCAUUCAUCCGCAAUAUCGCGGGCUCCCUUCAGGACAGUUUUAUAAUACAUUUCGGGCGCACGAUACUCCUUGCCCGGUGGCGCGGGUCAGUAAGAAGCUUCUCCGCGUCCAGCCUGCCCCAGUGCACCUUUGUGCGGGCAAGGGCACGACGAGCACCUUCAAUACAGGCAGAGCUCUUGAUGACCUCCACCCAGGGGCAUGCAUCCACCAGCCGCCGCACGAGGCCGAAAUAGCUCCCAGGCAUGGCCUGUCCAGGCCACAGCCGGACUAUCAGGCCCUUCAUGGCCUCCUCAGCCGCCUUGUGGAGCUCGACCAGCUGCUUCAGCUGGUCGCUUGGGGGCACCGGAUGGCCGGCCUCAGCGUACUGAGACCCGAAGACCUUCUCCGUUGAGCUCCCCUCCUGGCCACGGUAAAAUGUGGCGGCAUCGGAUACACUGUGUGGCAGAUCUGCAAACGCCCCUGGAGAGCUCCGAAUUCGGGUAAGUGUCAGGUAGUUUACAUUAACAUGCUUGCUUUGCAUGAAAAAUGCCUUACCCGCCGCUAUCUUCUUCACAUAUUCAACCUCCUGAAGGGCCUUACGGGCCUCGGCCUUGGUGGACUUGGCACUUUCGAGAGCCGAGGCAAGCUCGGACUCUCGAGUCUUUGAGUCGCGCUCCAAACUCUCAUGCUUCUCCAUGAGAGCCUGGAGCUCUUGCCGCACUUCCGCCACCCGCGCCUCCUGCUUCUCUCGCUCGGCCCGUUCCGCGGCCGCAUUGUGUUCGGCCGCGGACACAGCCUCCUUCAGGGUUGCCACCUCGUUAGUGGCCCCUGCAGUACCCACGUUAUCCUUGUCAUUUUUCGCAACCUAAAUCCUUUUCUGUAAGGUAAAUCUUCAAAGUGGUGUUACUCACCUUCUUUUUCCUCGAGCUGCUUCUUGGCAUGGCCGAGCUCUUGCUCGGACCGCUCAAGAUCCUGCUUCAAUGCACCGACCUCCGCAGUCAGUGCGGCAGAGGUCAGCAGCGCAGCCUGCAAAACCCAUAUUGACAUAUUUUUUAAGCAACCCUGCGUAUAUCUUUUUAGAUCCUCAGUCCGGCUUUUCUUUCCGAACACCGAACCGAGCAUCAGGGGCUACUGUCUAUGCGGUAUUACAUUACAUAAUUUUAACUUCUUACCUCAAAGCCUGUUAGAAGGCUACUGCAGGCUUCGGUCAGCCCGCUCUUGGCGAGCUGAACCUUCUGAAUCACCGCACUCAUAACAGUGCGGUGUUCUUCCUCGAUGGAAGUGCCUUUGAGCGCCUCCAGCAAGUUGUCCGGCGCCUCCGGUUGGACGGAGGCCGCCGGCGUCACGGUCUUUCCCUUCUUUCGAAGGGGCCGCCUGCCGGACUCUGGAGCCACUGCAGGUUCCGGCGUAGAGUCCGGCGCAAAGUCCGGGAGGAUGCCUUGCGGCGCCUCCGGAGCCUCCUCCUGAUGGGUCCCUUUCUGGGAUCCCACCUCGGCGUCCUCAUCGGCGCGAGGGGUGAAGGCAGUCGGAAGGGAAUCCACAUCCGACGGGGCCAACGACCCACUCGAUGAAGCGGGGAGAUUAUCAUCGGCUGGACUGCGGGCAAUAUGCGGCAUUAGUAGGAAACUACGUGACACAAAAGAAAUUGCAUACCAUUCAGGGAUCCGGAUACUUACGAUCUUGCCGGAGGCCUGGCCCUUAAAGGCCACUCCUCGUCGCCAACGUCGGUGUUGGCAGAGCUGUCCGGGGGAAUAGUUCUCCCCCUCUUGGACCCUUCGGCCUCCCCUGUUGGGGAAGCCUUCCUCUUCCUCUCUCCCCCCUCCGGGAGAGAGUCUUCUUCCUCCUCCUCGUCUUCGGGGGAGGAGUCCGCCUCGUCGUCGGACGCCUGAUAAUGGGAACUCUUUCGAGUGCCCGUGGCCACCUUCUUGGCCUUCUUCUCCGGCACCACAUGUGGUGCCGGAACCAGCAGCCCCGCUAGACGGGCAUCCACUGGGUCUUUUGGCAUGGGAGCCGGGCAGAUGAGCUGCUCGGCCUUCUUCAUGCAUUCCUGUCAAAGGAAAAGGGAGAUUGAAACCCUCUUAGAAUCAAUCUAUUUACAAUAAGUGUCCCAUAAAGGGGUAGAAUCACUUACCUCGUCAGCCGGAUGCUGCGAGUGAAAUCCGCGAUCUUCCAUCGCGGAUGCGGGGGCUUCGGCGCCCUUAAACAGCACCCUCCAGGCGCCUUCAUACGUCGUGUCGAAGAGCCCGCUCAGUGCCUGGUGCUGUUCCGGAUUGAACUCCCACAGAUUGAAUGCCGGUUCUUGGCAUGGGAGAAUCCGGCGGACGGGCAUGACUUGGACCACGUCGACAAGCCUGAGCUUCUUGUUCACCAGCUUCUGGAUACAGGCUCGGAGUCCCGUCAGCUCCUUCGGAUUACCCCACAGCAAGCCCUUCUCUUUCCAGGAGGUGAGCUGCGUAGGGAUACCAGAUCUAAACUCGGGGGCCGCCGCCCACGUAGGGUCGCGCGGCUCGGUGAUGUAGAACCACCUCGAUUGCCACCCCUUGACGGAGUCCACAAGGCCCCUUCGAACCAGAGGACGUUGGGCAUCUUGCCCAACAUGGCGCCUCCGCACUCCGCCUGCGUGCCCUUCACUACCUUUGGCUUGACGUUGAAGGUCUUGAGCCACAAGCCGAAGUGGGGCCGGAUGCAGAGGAGGGCCUCGCACACAGCGAUAAACGCCGAGAUGUUGAGGAUGAAGUUCGGCGCCAGAUCAUGGAAAUCCAGGCCGUAGUAGAACAUGAGCCCCCGGACAAUGGGGUGAAGUGGAAAGCCCAGUCCGCGGAGGAAGUGGGGAAGGAAAACGACCCUCUCAUGGGGCCCCGGGGUAGGGACGAGCUGCCCCUCGAUGGGCAGCCUAUGCGCGAUGUCGCCGGAAAGGUAUCCGGCGCUGCGCAGCUUUGUGAUAUGCUCCUCCUUAAUGGUGGAAGCCAACCAUUUGCCUCCCCCUCCGUACAUGGUCGGAGAAGGUUGAGACGAGAUGCGCGAACUUGGGUGCUGGAGCUUGAGUGCGCGGAGGUGGAUAAGCAAAGGAGGAAGAAGGCGUGGGUGAAAAGGUGAAUCCUUAUCCCUUAUAUAUAGGCGGGCAAAGACUAUGCGCCCCCACCAGCCUGGUAAAACUCGCUUAUCUCCCAAGCGCCACCAUCAAUGGCGCGGUUGGGUUACCCACGUCCGUAUUGAUGAGAAUCCCGGAAUAAGGGGAACACGAUCUCUGCUUCGACAAGACGUGCCAAGGAAACCGCUUCGCUAAACGUGCUGAGGUGGUAUAAUAAAAAACGAUUCAAGUAAAGGCUUGGUAGUGGUGUGACGUCAUGCCGCAAAAUACGUCAGCAGAUUGAGCUUGUGUACAUUUUAUUCUCUCUACGGUGGAAUGUGGAAUUUAUUUUGCAGAGCCGGACACUAUCCUGGUGUUCAUGAUCUUCUCUGGAUUAUUCAAAGGGGGAACCCGCCUUGCAAUGCCGAACAUUAUGCGCGCCGGACUUAUCGUCAUUGAAGCCUGGUUCAGGGGCUACUGAGGGACUCCAAGACUACAAAGAUACAAGAUUGAAGACUCCGUCCCGUGUCCGGAUGGGACUUUCCUUGGCGUGGAAGGCAAGCUUGGCGAUACAGAUAUGUAGAUCUCCUACCAUUGUAACCGACUCUGUGUAACCCUAGCCCUCUCCGGUGUCUAUAUAAACCGGAGGGCUUUAGUCUGUAGGACACAACAUACAUUACAACAAUCAUACCAUAGGCUAGCUUCUAGGGUUUAGCCUCCUUGAUCUCGUGGUAGAUCCACUCUUGUACUACCCAUAUCAUCAAUAUUAAUCAAGCAGGACAUAGGGUUUUACCUCCAUCAAGAGGGCCCGAACCUGGGUAAAACAUCGUGUCCCUUGUCUCCUAUUACCAUCCGCCUAGACGCACAGUUCAGGACCCCCUACCCGAGAUCCGCCGGUUUUGACACCGACAAUCACCAUCGUCACCGGCGCGACACCUUGAUCUCCAUCAUAGCAUCGUUGUCGUUACGCCAUCUAUUGCUUCUACGACUAUCGCUACCGCUUAGUGAUAAAGUAAAGCAAUUACAGGGCGUUUGCAUUUCAUACAAUAAAGCGAUAACCAUAUGGCUCCUGCCAGUUGCCGAUAACUUCGGUUACAAAACAUGAUCAUCUCAUACAAUAAAAUAUAGCAUCACGUUUUGACCAUAUCACAUCACAACAUGCCCUACAAAAACAAGUUAGACGUCUUCUACUUUGUUGUUGCAAAUUUUACGUGGCUGCUAUGGGCUGAGCAAGAACCGUUCUUACCUACGCAUCAAAACCACAACGAUAGUUUGUCAAGUUAGUGCUGUUUUAACCUUCGCAAGGACCGGGCGUAGCCACACUCGGUUCAACUAAAGUUGGAGAAACAGACACCCGCUAGUCACCUGUGUGCAACGCAUGGCGGUAAAACCAGUCUCGCGUAAGCGUACGCGUAAUGUCGGUCCGGGCCGCUUCAUCCAACAAUACCGCUGAACCAAAGUAUGACAUGCUGGUAAGCAGUAUGACUUGUAUCGCCCACAACUCACUUGUGUUCUACUCGUGCAUAUAACAUCAAAGCAUAAAACAUAGGCUCUGAUACCACUGUUGGGGAACGUAGUAAUUUCAAAAAAUUUCCUACGCACACACAAGAUCAUGGUGAUGUAUAGCAACGAGAGGGGAGAGUGUUUUCUACAUACCCUUGUAGACCGUAAGCGGAAGCGUUAGCACAACGCGGUUGAUGUAGUCGUACGUCUUCACGGCCCGACCGAUCAAGCGCUGAAACUACGGCACCUCCGAGUUCUAGCACACGUUCAGCUCGAUGACGUCCCUCGAACUCCGAUCCAGCCGAGUGUCGAGGGAGAGUUUCGUCAGCACGACGGCGUGGUGACGAUCUUGAUGUUCUACCGUCGCAGGGCUUCGCCUAAGCACCGCUACAAUAUUAUCGAGGUGAACUAUGGUGGAGGGGGGCACCGCACACGACUAAGAGAUCCAAGGAAUCAAUUGUUGUGUCUUUGGUGCUAGCCCUGCCCCUCUAUUUAUAUGUUGAGCCCCGGGGUCGAAACUUGGAGCAAAAGCCUCCUCAAAGUCGGUUUUGCCCGAAAGGCAAGAGUCCCACUCGGACUCCAGGACCAAACGCCACAAUCCUUGGCGUCUGGCCCAGAAGCCAUGGGCAUCAGCGUCUGGCCCUGAUGCUAGGGUCUCCGGCGUUUGGCCCCCUGGCCUCCGCAAAACUCCUUUUGCACUGACCUAAAGCCUCAUGGGCUUGACCCCUUGGCCUAACCAUAUCAUCCAAUAUAUGAAUCUUUACAUCUCGACCAUUUUGAGACUCCUCGUCAUGUCCCCGAUCUCAUCCGAGACUCCGAACUCCUUCGGUACAUAAAAACAUGUAAACUCAUAAUAUAACUGUCAUCGAAACCUUAAGCGUGCGGACCCUACGGGUUCGAGAACAAUGUAGACAUGACCGAAACACGUUUCCGGUCAAUAAAUAAUAGCGGAACCUGGAUGCUCAUAUUGGCUCCCACAUAUUCUACGAAAAUCCUUAUCGGUCAGACCGCAUAACAACAUACGUUGUUCCCUUCGUCAUCGGUAUGUUACUUGCCCGAGAUUCGAUCGUCGGUAUCUCAAUACCUAGUUCAAUCUCGUUACCGGAAAGUCUCUUUACUCGUUACAUAAUGCAUCAUCCCGUAACUAACUCAUUAGCUACAUUGCUUGCAAGGCUUAUAGUGAUGUGCAUUACCGAGAGGGCCCAGAGAUACCUCUCCGACAAUCGGAGUGACAAAACCUAAUCUCGAAAUACGCCAACCCAACAUGUACCUUCGGAGACACCUGUAAAGCUCCUUUAUAAUCACCCAGUUACGUUGUGACGUUUGGUAGCACACAAAGUGUUCCUCCGCUAAACGGGAGUUGCAUAAUCUCAUAGUUACAGGAACAUGUAUAAGUCAUGAAGAAAGCAAUAGCAACAUACUAAACGAUCAAGUGCUAAGCUAACGGAAUGGGUCAAGUCAAUCACAUCAUUCUCCUAAUGAUGUGAUCCCGUUAAUCCAAUGACAACUCAUGUCUAUGGUUAGGAAACUUAACCAUCUUUGAUUAACGAGCUAGUCAAGUAGAGGCAUACUAGUGACACUAUGCUUGUCUAUGUAUUCACACAUGUAUUAUGUUUCCGGUUAAUACAAUUCCAGCAUGAAUAAUAAACAUUUAUCAUGAAAUAAGGAAAUAAAUAAUAACUUUAUUAUUGCGUCUAGGGCAUAUUUUAUUCAAAUGAAACCCUCGGCAGCGUGAUUUUUUGGAAGAAUAUGAUCCUGGAGACUUGGAGUCCACGUCAGAAGAUCCUCGAGGAGGCCACGAGAUAGGAGGCCAUGCCCCCCUUACAGGGUGGUGGCCCCCUGUCUCGUGGGCCCCUCGAGCACCUCUCGUCUGACUUCUUUCGCCUAUAUAAGCCUACGUACCCUAAAACCAUCGAAUAUCAAGAUGGAUCGGGAGUUCUGCCGCCGCAAGCCUCUGUAGCCACCAAAAAACUCUCGAGAGUCUGUUCCGGCACCCUGCCGGAGGGGGCACCCAUCACCGGUGGCCAUCUUCAUCAUCCCGGCACUCUCCAUGACGAGGAGGGAGUAGUUCACCCUCGGGGCUGAGGGUAUGUACCAGUAGCUAUGUGUUUGAUCUCUCUCUCUCUCUCUCUCGUGCUCUCUCUCGUGUUCCCUCUAUGGCACCAUCUUGAUGUAUCCCGAGCUUUGAUAUUGUAGUUGGAUCUUAUGAUGUUUCUCCCCCUCUACUCUCUUGUGAUGAAUUGAGUUUCCCCUUUGAAGUUAUCUUAUCGGAUUGAGUCUUUUAUGAGAACACUUGAUGUAUGUCUUGCCGUGCUUAUCUGUGGUGACAAUGGGAUAUCAUGUGCCACUUGAUGUAUGUUUUGGUGACCAACUUGCGGGUUCCGCCCAUGAACCUAUGCAUAGGGGUUGGCACACGUUUUUGAAUCUCCGGUAGAAACUUUGGGGCAUUCUUUGAAGUACUUUGUGUUGGUUGGAUGAAUCUGAGAUUGUGUGAUGCAUAUCGUAUAAUCAUGCCCACGGAUACUUGAGGUGACAAUGGAGUAUCUAGGUUACAUUAGGGUUUUGGUUGAUUUGUGUCUUAAGGUGUUAUUCUAGUACAAACUCUUUUAUAGAUCGAACCGAAAGAAUAGCUUUGAGGUGGUUUCGUACCCUACCAUAAUCUCUACGUUUGUUCUCCGCUAUUAGUGGCUUUGGAGUGACUCUUUGUUGCAUGUUGAGGGAUUGUUAUAUGAUCUAUCUAUGUUAUUAUUGUUGAAAGAACUUGCACUAGUGAAAGUAUGAACCCUAGGCCUUGUUUCCUAUCAUUGCAAUACCGUUUACGCUCACUUUUAUCAUUAGUUACCUUGCUGUUUUUAUUAUUUCAGAUUACAAAAACCUAUAUCUACCAUCCAUAUUGCACUUGUAUCACCAUCUCUUCGCCAAACUAGUGCACCUAUACAAUUUAGCAUUGUAUUGGGUGUGUUGGGGACACAUGAGACUCUUUGUUAUUUGGUUGCAGGGUUGCUUGAGAGAGACCAUCUUCAUCCUACGCCUCCUACGGAUUGAUAAACCUUAGGUUAUCCACUUGAGGGAAAUUUGCUACUGUCCUACAAACCUGUGCACUUGCAGGCCCAACAACGUCUACAAGAAGAAGGUUGUGUAGUAGACAUCUUCGAGUUUCAUCGUAAACUCAUCUUGAUGCCAUUUAUUGUUGCCAAACAAAUGUCGACGCCCCUAAUACAACUGCCUCAACAAACCACGUGGAUAAGACACCCCAACGCCGGUUUCCCAAGCGUAAUCAGCUCCGGAACGAUGCCCCCCAAAGGAGGAGAAUGACAUGAAGAUGCCUCCAUCACCCGAUCCAAGAAUCUGAGGUUUCCCUCCGGAGCCAAGGCCGUAGGGAGAAGGAUGAGCACACCUCCAUGACGACGCUUUCAAGAACGAUUGUGACAACUGUGACUAUUAGCCACUGUCUAACCUAAAGAAUGUUGAUACUCUAAAUAAACUGAUCUAGUGACUGAUUGGCUUCUGUAGGGAAGCUCUCGCGUGAACUGUGCGAACAAAUAGAGUACAAAUUGAAAUUAAAUUCAGAUGGUAUCGUGGUUUUUUUGUUUUUGAUCAAAGAAGGGCUUGCGCCUUCCGAUUUUCAUUACUGAAAACCACUAAGGUUCACAACCAAGUUCAGACUGAAAAGAAAAGACUGAAACGAAACCAUAACGACGCCGCAACAUCCCAGAAGGCCAACACCGGCCAGCCAAACCACGCAAACACCCAGAACAAGUUCACCAACUAUGACAGAAUUCAACCUACAUUGAUCAUCAUUACAGCAAAAGCAGCCAAGGAGCUAAAGGAGCCUAGCAACAAGAACAACAAAUUUCAGGUCCACCACCAUAAGAGAUUCUUCAUUCCAGCCACACUACAUUGAUCUUCCACCCUUGCUUGGCUGUGAACACCUCAUUUGCUGCCCGUUCUAGCACCCUUGCUCCCAGCUCCAGCAUUUUUAUUGACGACUCCUUUAUCUGCAGAAUGGACCAGUCAGUUAACCACCUGCACAUCAUUUUGACAAUACAGAAAGGAUCAUUUAUCCUUUUCUUUUCAAAAAUAAUUGCAUUUCUGCUUUUCCAUAUUGCCCAAAACAGGGCUGAAAUACCCACCAGAACCAUUUUCUUGUCAUCUUUAUUAAAUUUCCUAAUCUAGUCCCCAAAACAGUCUUUUACAUUUGAAGGAACAGUUUUAAACCCACACACACACAUCUGACCAAAGUCCAUAAUAAUGAAGCAGCAGAACAAGAAAAAAGCAGAUGAUCAAUUGAUUCAUCUUUCCCACAAAGAACACAAUCUUUUCCUCCCUUCCAACCUUUUUUUAACAACACAUCCCUAGUUAGAAUACUUUUUUUAUUAACUAACCAUAAAAACACUAUCAGUUUUGCAGGUAACUUGGACUUCCAUAGGUAUUUCUGUGGGAAUUUCACCCCUGCUGCAACCAAUUUCCUAUAUAAGGACCCCACAGAAAACCUAUGAUCAGCAGUGAGGGUCCAAAGAAUUUUGUCUGCACCCCUGCAUUUGAAUUUCCUCACAUCUCUUUUUGAGGCAAUUCCAAAGCCCUAGAGUCUCCCCAUAUAAGGUUCUUCUAAACUUGAAUCCAUGUCAUCCUUUGUGUAUGGCCUCUUCCACAGUAAUAUUGUGGUCAAAACUUAUAUCAUAUAGUCUAGGAUAAGCUUCUCUUAAAGGUUUAUCAUCCACCCAGGAAUAUUCCCAGAACCUAGUGCUUCUCCCAUCCCCCACCUUUUUCUUAACAAAUUUGUAAAAGAUCUCCUUAAUUUGCCGCAAGCUGGCCCAAAAUUAGGAAUCCCUAGGCCUUUUGCUCACUAGAGCCAAACAGCCACCUUUUCUAUAUUUUUCAUUCAAUAUAUCUUGCCACAUACCUUUUUCACUUUCCAUUUUCCAAAACCAUUUGGCAAGAAGUGCAAUAUUCAUUAUUUCAAGAUUCAGUAUCCCUAAACCACCUAUUUCUUUAGGUAAACAACAUUCUUUCCAUUUCACUAAGUGAUAAUUUUUGACAUUCUCAUCUUCCUGCCAUACCAAUCUGGAUCUAAAAAAAUAUGCUUUCUUAAUAAUCCCUUUGGGCAUAGCAUAGAAGGACAUAAUGAAUAAAGGUAUAUUAGUCACGCAUGCUUGCACCAGAGUGAUUCUACCUGCAAUGGAGCACAACAACUUCCCUUGCCAACAUCCACAUCUUUUUUCAAUUUUGUCAGUCACACAAUCCCAGUGUGUAUUUCUGAUCCUGGUUUCUGACACAGGCAUUCCCAAGUAUUUAAUGGGUAAAUCCCCCAUCUUACAUGUCAGAAUUUCUUGAUAAAUCAUUUGUUUCUCUUUAGCCUUGCCAAAUAACAACAAUUCACUUUUAUGAAAAUUGAUUUUGAGCCCAGACAUUUGCUCAAAAGUCCAUAGUAUAAGUUUGAGAUUUUUCACACUUUCCACCUCAUCUUUAAUCAAGAAUAUAGUAUCAUCAGCAUAUUGUAACAUAUUAAUCCCCUUUUCUUCUUUUUUAUUUAAUACCCCCUUGACCAAAUCAUGCUUCAGGGCAUUACUCAUUAAAAUGGCUAAGGCAUCAGCAGCUAUGUCAAAAAGCCAAGGUGACAUAGCAUCUCCUUGCCUUAAUCCUUUAAAAGUUCUAAAAUAUGGGCCAAUUUCAUCAUUCACUUGAAUUCCAACAUGUCCUCCUCUCAUAGUUUCCAUUACCCAGUCACACCAUUUAUCAGGAAAUCCUUUCAUUUUCAGCAUUUGAAUCACAAAGGGCCAUUUUAUCUUAUCAUAUGCCUUCUCAAAGUCUACUUUGAAUAUUAGGGCAUCUUCUUUAUUCUUGUGAAAAGAAUUCAGGGCCUCAUGCAAAAUUACAAUCCCCUCCAUUAUGUAUCUGCCCUUAAUAAAGGCAGUUUGGGUUCUGGAGAUCACAUGGGCCACACAUUUAGCCAGCCUAUUCAUCAGUACUUUAGUAAUGAUCUUAAAACUAACAUUUAGCAGGCAAAUAGGCCUAAACUUCUGAAUUUGUUUAGCAUCCUUGGUCUUUGGUAUUAAAGUAAUUAUGUCAUAAUUGAGUCUGGCAAUAUUGAUUUCUCCUUUUGCAAAACUAUCCACUAGAGCUUCCAGAUCCCAUUUAACCACUUCCCAGAAGUCUUGAUAAAAAUCAGCAGGGAACCCAUCAGGACCUGGGCUUUUGUUUCUUUUCAUCCCAAAGACAACCUGAUGUAUUUCAGUUAGGGAAAAAGGUGCCAUAAGUUCCUCUCUCUCUUGUGUAUCAAUUUUGUCCAUCUCCAUCUCUCUCAGUGAAAUGCUAGACUCUUCAGGAUGUCCAAAUAAUUCUUUAUAAAAUUUAGUAAUAUACUCCAUUAACUUCCCUUCCCCUUCUACAAUCCCUUCCUCCUGCUCUAGGGAGACAAUUCUAUUUUUCCUUCUUCUCCCAUUUACCUUAGCAUGAUAAUACCUGGUGUUUCUAUCUCCAUCUUUGAUUUCUGUAUCUUUAUAUCUCUGCAACCAUUUCAUUUCCUCUUGUAACAUCACUCUUUUCAAUUGAGCUCUAAGCUCCUUCUGUUCAUUUCUGUCCACAACACUUAGUCCCAUAAUCUCAGCUCUCUUGUCUAAAUCAUCCAGAUCUUUUAUUAUCUCCAUUUUUAUUUUUCUGUACCAAGCAUCCACAUUUCUAUUCCACCCUUUAGCUUUCUUUCUCAAUUUUCUUAAUCUUGAUUGCCAUCUAUCCAAAAUGUCCCCAUAAUAUCUCUCAUUCUAGGUAUUGUACACCAACUCUCUAAAACCCUCUCUCAGCAACCAAGCAUUUUCAUAUCUGAAAAUAUAUUUAUGCUUAUGUGCCUCCCCUGUAUCCAAGAACAAGGGGGUAUGAUCAGAGAUUUCUCUAGCAAAAGCUUGCAAUAUAGUUAGUGGAUACCUCUCCUCCCAAGCUGGGCACAUCAACACCCUGUCCAAUUUUUCAAAAGUAGGGUGAGGGAGUCCUGGAUUAGGGGGUAUCCGGACAGCCGGACUGUGUACAACGUCCGGACUAUUGAAGCAUGAAGAUACAAGACUCAAGACUUCGACCCGUGUCCGGAUGGGACUCUCCUUUGCGUGGAAGGCAAGCUUGGCGAUCCGGAUAUUAUAUUUCCUUCCUUGUAACCGACUCCAUGUAAACCCUAGCCCUCUUCGGUGUCUAUAUAAACCGGAGAGGUUGGUCCUUAGAAGGUCGAUCACAAUUACAAUCAUACCAUUGUAGGCUAGCUCUUAGGGUUUAGCCUGUACGAUCUCGUGGUAGAUCUACUCUUGUAGUACCCAUAUCAUCAAUAUUAAUCAAGCAGGAAGUAGGGUUUUACCUCCAUCGAGAGGGCACGAACCUGGGUAAACAUCUGUGUCCCUUGCUUCCUAUUACCAUCAGCCUUGACGCACAGAUCAGGACCCCCUACCUGAGAUCCGCCGGUUUUGACACCGACAUUGGUUCUUUCAUUGAGAGUUCCUCUGUGUCAUCGCCGUAAGGCUCGAUGGCUCCUUCGAUCAUCAUUGACGACGCUGUCCAGGGCGAGACUUUCCUCCCCGGACGGAUUUUCGUGUUCGGCGGCUUCGCACUGCGGGCCAAUUCGCUUGGCCACUUGGAGCAGAUCGAUAGCUCUGCCCCCGGCCACCAAGUCAAGUUCGAAAACUUGAACUACACGGCGGAUAUCCGAGGAGACUUGAUCUUCAAUGGAUUCGGGCCAGCGUCAGGAGCGCCGAACAGCCACGAUGAGCAUGGCUUAGACCUGCUGUCGGAUGAUGCUCGGGAUAUCACCCCGGCAGAAGCCUCAAAUCUAAAUCCAGGGCAGGCUGCGUCGCCUAAGGACGGAGGGCUGGACCCCGCCCCGCAGGUGUGACGCCCAGAUAAUUAAGCUACAGUAAUCCCCUGUUAAUGGUGCCAUGUCAUCAUGUUACUGUUGCUAAUCUUCACCUGAUCCUAAUCACAAUCUAAAUUCAAAUUUAAACUAAAGUCCAAAAUUCAAAUUUGUCAAACAUGGAAUCUAAAAUGUUUGAUGUAUGGCAAAUAAUCCCUGGAUAUUUGUCAUGUGGAAACCACAUUUUUAUGAUGGGUUUAAGUGCUCUAAAAAGAUUAAAACAGGGACUAGGUGUUUAAUUUAUUUAUAAAGCAAAAAAAGGGAAAGGGAAAACCCCUGGGCCUAGCCCACCUUGUCUGGCCCAGCUCCCCAACUGGACAGCCCACUUUCCCCCUCCCCUGGGCCUUGGCCCAGCUGGCCAAGCCAAGCCAGGCCAGCCCAACCCACGCCCCCACUCAUCCCCCUCCUCACGAUACAGGAGCAGGGGAGCCGUGCCAGGCAUCCAUGGCGCCCCGGCCAGGUGCCGGCCAUCCCGCGGCCCCCCGGAUGGUUAAGAGCCCCGAACCACUCCUCCCUCUCUGCCCGCUGAAACCCCAGCCCCCAAAUCCCCCUUCUCCCUCUCCCUCUUCUUCGUUUUGGAGAGGAGGCCGACGCGGUCGCCGCUGUGCCUUGCCCGUCCUCACGGCCACCGAGCCCCGUUCGUCUCGCCAUCGUGCCAUUUGUCUCCGCCGUCGUCGUCUACCCCGUCCCCGUCCGUGAGCGCAAGUCGGGAGCCACUGCAGGGAGCGGAUCGAGCUGCCCCCUUUCGCCUCUGUCGCCAGCGCCCGCCGUCAUCUCCGUCCACUGCUGCUGCUCCUAAGCUCGCACGGGGCCUUCUUGGCCACAUGGUGAGCUCCUCCCUUCUUCCCUUCCUCUUCUCCCGCCGUGCUUUUCGCCGUAGCUAGUUCGCCCGCAAGCCGAGCUCCGCCGUCCGCCAUUGCCGUCGUAGGGCUCGCCUCCGAGCUCCUCCGCUCGAGCCAGUAGCUCCGACGAGCUCCUGGGGCUCCAUAGACCUCCCCUAGCCCUUUACUUCGCUUGCACACGCGCUGUAACGCCGAUCCCGAACUCCGGCCGAACGCACCACCCGCCGCCGUCGAUGUAGCGCUCCACUCCGGCUGAGUUAGCCCAUGGGACCGCCGUAGAUCAAUGCAGCAUCGGAUGCCCGAUCGAACGCGCCUAGCCGCACCUCUCCCCGUGCCCCGUAGCGCGAUUCCGGCCAACUCCGGCGAGGCACCGCCGCUAUUUUGGUUGCCGGAGUCACUCCGGUGACGGCCGCCGACGUGGCUGGCCUGGGGACCACCCCUGAGCCACUGCCAGUGGGCCCCGCGGGUCCUAGUUGACUGGGUUGACCCAGUCAACUGCUGACCAGGCCGCCCAGUGCCACUGACUAUUGGGGAACGUAGUAAUUUCAAAAAAAUCCUACGCACACGCAAGAUCAUGGUGAUGCAUAGCAACGAGAGGGGAGAGUGUGUCCACGUACCCUCGUAGACCGUAAGCGGAAGCGUUAUGACAACGCGGUUGAUGUAGUCGUAUGUCUUCACGAUCCGACCGAUCCAAGUACCGAACGUACGGCACCUCCGAGUUCAGCACACGUUCAGCUCGAUGACAAUCCCCGGACUCCGGUCCAGCAAAGUGUCGGGGGUGAGUUCCGUCAGCACGACGGCGUGGUGACGAUGAUGAUGUUCUUCGCCUAAACUCCGCGACGAUAUGACCGAGGUGGAAUAUGGUGGAGGGGGGCACCGCACACGGCUAAGGAACGAUCUUGAAGAUCAACUUGUGUGUCAUGGGGUGCCCCCUGCCCCCGUAUAUAAAGGAGCAAGGGGGUAGGAGGCCGGCCCUAGGAGGGGGCACGCCAAGUGUGGAGUCCUACUAGGACUCCCUAGUCCUAGUAGGAUUCCACCUCCCUUGUUGGAGUAGGAGAAGGGGAAAGAGGGGGAGAGGAACAAGGAAAGGGGGGCUGCACCCCUUGUCCAAUUCGGACCAGAGGGGGGGCGCAGGCCUCCUUCCUUUUGGCCUCUCUCCUCUAUUCCCGUAUGGCCCAAUAAGGCCCAUAUACUCCCCGGCGAAUUCCCGUAACUCUCCGGUACUCCGAAAAAUACCCGAAUCACUCGGAACCUUUCCGAACUCCGAAUAUAGUCGUCCAAUAUAUCGAUCUUUACGUCUCGACCAUUUCGAGACUCCUCGUCAUGUCCCCGAUCUCAUCCGGGACUCCGAACUCCUUCGGUACAUCAAAACUCAUAAACUCAUAAUAUAUCUCUCAUCGAAACCUUAAGCGUGCGGACCCUACGGGUUCGAGAACAAUGUAGACAUGACCGAGACACGUCUCCGGUCAAUAACCAAUAACGGAACCUGGAUGCUCAUAUUGGCUCCCACAUAUUCUACGAAGAUCUUUAUCGGUCAAACCGCAUAACAACAUGCAUUGUUCCCUUUGUCAUCGGUAUGUUACUUGCCCGAGAUUCGAUCGUCAGUAUCCAAUACCUAGUUCAAUCUCGUUACCGGCAAGUCUCUUUACUCGUUACAUAAUGCAUCAUUCCGUAACUAACUCAUUAGCUACAUUGCUUGCAAGGCUUAUAGUGAUGUGCAUUACCGAGAAGGCCCAGAGAUACCUCUCCGACAAUCGGAGUGACAAAACCUAACCUCGAAGUACGCCAACCCAACAUGUACCUUCGGAGACACCUGUAGUACUCCUUUAUAAUCACCCAGUUACGUUGUGACGUUUGGUAGCACCCAAAGUGUUCCUCCGGUAAACGGGAGUUGUAUAAUCUCAUAGUUACAGGAACAUGUAUAAGUCAUGAAGAAAGCAAUAGCAACAUACUAAACGACCAAGUGCUAGGCUAACGGAAUGGGUCACGUCAAUCACAUCAUUCUCCUAAUGAUGUGAUCCCGUUAAUCAAAUGACAACUCAUGUCUAUGGUUAGGAAACUUAACCAUCUUUGAUUAACGAGCUAGUCAAGUAGGGGCAUACUAGUGACACUAUGUUUGUCUAUGUAUUCACACAUGUAUUAUGUUUCCGGUUAAUACAAUUCUAGCAUGAAUAAUAAACAUUUAUCAUGAAAUAAGGAAAUAAAUAAUAACUAUAUUAUUGCCUCUAGGGCAUAUUUCCUUCAGUCUCCCACUUGCACUAGAGUCAAUAAUCUAGUUCACAUCACCAUGUGAUUUAACACCAAUAUUCAUAUCUGUAUAUGAUUAACACCCAUAGUUCACAUCAUCAUGUGACCAACACCCAAAGGGUUUACUAGAGUCAAUAAUCUAGUUCACAUCGCUUAUGUGAUUAACACCCAAAGAGUACUAAGGUGUGAUCAUGUUUUGCUCAUGAGAGAAGCUUAGUCAACGGGUCUGUCACAUUCAGAGCCGUAUGUAUUUUGCAAAUAUUCUAUGUCUACAAUGCUCUGCACGGAGCUACUCUAGCUAAUUGCUCCCACUUUCAAUAUGUAUCCAGAUUAAGACUUAGAGUCAUCUGGAUCAGUGACAAAACUUGUAUCGACGUAACCUUUUACGACGAACCUUUUUUCACCUCCAUAAUUGAGAAACAUAUCCUUAUUCCACUAAGGAUAAUUUUGACCAAUGUCCAGUGAUCUACUUCUAGAUCACUAUUGUACUCCCUUGCCAAACCAGAGCAGAGUAUACGAUAGGUCUGGUCCAUAGCAUGGCAUACUUUAUAGAACCUAUGACUGAGGCAUAGGGAAUGACUUUCAUUCUCUUUUUCUAUUUUCUGACGUGGUCGGGAUUUGAGUCUUACUCAAUUUCACACCUUUGCAACACAGGCAAGAACUUUUUCUUUGACUGUUCCAUUUUAAACUACUUCAAAAUCUUGACAAGGUAUGUACUUAUUGAAAAACUUAUCAAGCGUCUUGAUCUAUCUCAAUAGAUCUUGAUGCUCAAUAUGUAAGUAGCUUUACUAAGGUCUUUCUUUUAAAGAACUGCUUUCAAAUACUCCUUUAUGAUUUCCAGAAAAAUUCUACAUCAUUUCUGAUCAACAAUAUGUUACUCAAAUAUAUUUAUCAAAAAGGCGGUAGUGCUCCCACUCACUUUAUUGUAAAUACAGGCUUCACCGCAAGUCUGUAUAAAACUAUAUGCUUUGAUCAACUUAUCAAAGCGUAUAUUCCAAUUCUGAGAUGCUUGCACCCGUCCAUAGAUGGAUCGCUGGAGCUUGCACAUUUUGUUAGCACCUUUAAGAUUGACAAAACCUUCUGGUUGCAUCAUAUACAACUCUUCUUUAAGACAACCAUUAAUGAAUGUAGUUUUGACAUCCAUUUGCCAGAUUUCAUAAAAUGUGGCAAUUGCUAACAUGAUUCGGACAGACUUAAGCAUCGCUACAGUUGAGAAAAUCUCAUUGUAGUCAACACCUUGAACUUGUCGAAAACCUUUUUGCGACAAGUCGAGCUUUGUAGAUAGUAACACUACUAUCAGCAUAUGUCUUCCUCUUGAAGAUCCAUUUAUACAAUAUGGCUUGCCGAUCAUCGGGCAACUCCACCAAAGUCCACACUUUGUUCUCAUACAUGGAUCCUAUCUCAUAUUUCAUGGCCUCCAGCCAUUUUGCGGAAUCUGGGCUCAUCAUCGCUUCCUCAUAGUUCGUAGGUUUAUCAUGGUCUAGUAACAUGACUUUCAAAACGGGAUUAUCGUACCACUCUGGUGCGGACCGUACUCUGGAGGACCUACGAGGUUCUAUAGUAACUUGAUCAGAAGUUUCAUGAUCAUCAUCAUUAGCUUCCUCACUAAUUGGUGUAGGAAUCAUUGGAACUAAUUUCAGUGAUGAACUAUUUUCCAAUUCAGGAGAAGGUACAAUUACCUUAUCAAGUUCUACUUUCCUCCCACUCACUUCUUUCGAGAGAAACUCCUUCUCUAGAAAGGAUCCAUUCUUAGCAACGAAUGUUUUGCCUUCGGGUCUAUGAUAGAAGGAGUACCCAACAAUUUCCUUUGGGUAUUCUAUGAAGACGCACUUCUCCGAUUUGGGUUUGAGCUUAUCAGGUUGAAAACCUUUUUCAUAUAAGUAUCACAACUCCAAACAUUAAGAAACGACAGCUUAGGUUUACUGCUAAACCAUAGUUCAUAAGGUGUCGUCUCAAUGGAUUUAGAUGGUGCCCUUUUAACGUGAAUGUAGCUGUCUCUAAUGCAUAACCCCAAAACAAUAGUGGUAAAUCAGUAAGAGACAUCAUAGAUCACACCAUAUCCAAUAAAGUGUGGUUACGAUGUUCGGACACACCAUAACGUUGUGGUGUUCCAGGUGGCGUGAGUUGUGAAACUAUUCCACAUUGUUUUAUAUGAAGGCCAAACUCGUAACUCAAAUAUUCGUCUCCGCGAUCAGAUCGCAGAAACUUUUAUUUUCUUGUUACGAUGAUUUUUCCAUUUCACUCUGAAAUUCUUUGAACCUUUCAACUAUCUCAGACUUAUGUUUCAUCAAGUAGAUAUACCCAUAUCUGCUCAAAUCAUCUUGUGAAGGUCAGAAAAUAACGAUACUUGCCACGAGCAUCAUACUCAUUGGUCUGCAUACAUCAGUAUGUAUUAUUUCCAACAAGUCAGUAGCUCGUUCCAUUGUUCUGAAGAACGGAGUUUUAGUCAUCUUGCCCAAAAAGCACGGUUCGCAAGCAUCAAAUGAUUCAUAACCAAGUGAUUCCGAAAAUCUAUCUUUAUGGAGUUUCUUCAAGCGCUUUACACCGAUAUGACCCAAACGGCAGUGCCACAAAUAAGUUGCACUAUCAUUAUUAACUUUGCAUCUUUUAACAUCAAUAUUAUGAAUAUGCGUAUCACUACGAUCGAGAUCCAACAAACUAUUUUCAACAGGUGUAUGACCAUUGAAGGUUUUAUUCAUGUAAACAGAACAACAAUUAUUCUCUGAUUUUAAAUGAAUAACCGUAUUGCAAUAAACAUGAUCAAAUCAUAUUUAUGCUCAACGCAAACGCCAAAUAACAUUUAUUUAGCUUUAACACUAAUCCCAAAAAUAUAGGGAGUGUGCAAUGAUGAUAAUAUCAAUCUUGGAACUACUUCCAACACUCAUCGUCACUUCCCCUUCAACUAGUCUUAGUUUAUUCUGUAACUCCUGUUUCGAGUUACUAAUCUUAGCAACCGAACAAGUAUCAAAUACUCAGGGGCUACUAUAAACACUAGCAAGGCAUAUAUCAAUAACCUGUAUAUCAAAUAUACCCUUGUUCACUUUACCAUCCUUCUUAUCCACCAAAUGUUCAGGGCAUUUCCGCUUCCAGUGACCAUUUCCUUUGCAGUGUAAGCACUCAGUUUCAGGCUUUGGUCCAGCUAUGGUCUUCUUCACGGGAGUGACAACUUGCUUGUCAUUCUAGUUGAAGUUACCUUUCUUUCCCUUUGCCCUUCUCUUGAAACUAGUGGUCUUGUCAAUCAUCAACACUUUAUGCUCUUUCUUGAUUUCUACUUUCGUCGAUUUCAACAUCACGAAGAGCUCGAGAAUCGUUUUCGUCAUCCCCUGCAUACUAUAGUUCAUCACGAAGUUCUAGUAACUUAGUGAUGGUGACUAGAGAAUUCUGUCAAUCACUAUCUUAUCUGGAAGAUUAACUCCCACUUGAUUCAAGCGAUUGAAGUACCCAGACAAUCUGAGCACAUGCUCACUAGUUGAGCGAUUCUCCUCCAUCUUUUAGCUAUAGAACUUGUUGGAGACUUCAUAUCUCUCAACUCGGGUAUUUGCUUGAAAUAUUAACUUCAAUUCUUGUUGGAAAUAUGCCCUAGAGGCAAUAAUAAAAGGUUAUUAUUAUAUUUCCUUAUUCAUGAUAAUUGUAUUUAUUCAUGCUAUAACUGUAUUAUCCGGAAAUCGUAAUACACGUGUGAAUACAUAGACCAUAAUAUGUCCCUAGUAAGCCUCUAGUUGACUAGCUCGUUGAUCAACAGAUAGUCAUGGUUUCCUGGCUAUGGACAUUGGAUGUCGUUGAUAACGGGAUCACAUCAUUAGGAGAAUGAUGUGAUGGACAAGACCCAAUCCUAAGCAUAGCACAAGAUCGUGUAGUUCGUUUGCUAGAGCUUUUCCAAUGUCAAGUAUCCUUUCCUUAGACCAUGAGAUCGUGUAACUCCCGGAUACCGUAGGAGUGCUUUGGGUGUACCAAACGUCACAAUGUAACUGGGUGACUAUAAAGGUGUACUACAGGUAUCUCCGAAAGUGUCUGUUGGGUUGACACGGAUCGAGACUGGGAUUUGUCACUCCGUAUGACGGAGAGGUAUCUCUGGGCCCACUCGGUAAUGCAUCAUCAUAAUGAGAUCAAAGUGACCAAGUGUUUGGUCGCGGGAUCAUGCAUUAUGGUAUGAGUAAAGUGACUUGCCGGUAACGAGACUGAACGAGGUAUUGGGAUACCGACGAUCGAGUCUCGGGCAAGUAACGUACCGAUUGACAAAGGGAAUUGUAUACGGGGUUGAUCGAAUCCUCGACAUCGUGGUUCAUCCGAUGAAAUCAUCGAGGAGCAUGUGGGAGCCAACAUGGGUAUCCAGAUCCCGUUGUUGAUUAUUGACCGGAGAGUCGUCUCGGUCAUGUCUGUAUGUCUCCCGAACCUGUAGGGUCUACACACUUAAGGUUCGGUGACGCUAGGGUUAUUAGGAAGACUUGUAUGUGAUUACCGAAUGUUGUUCGGAGUCCCGGAUGAGAUCCUGGACGUCACGAGGAGUUCCGGAAUGGUCCGGAGGUGAAGAUUUAUAUAUGGGAAGUUGUCAUGCGGACACCGGAAAGUUUCGGGGGCAUAUCGGUAUUGUAUCGGGGCCGCCGGAGAGGUUCCGGGGGUCCACCGGGAGGGGCCACCCCUCUUGGAGGGCCUCAUGGGCCGCAAGGGGCAGGGAACCAGCCCCUGGAGGACUGGGCGCCCCCCUUUGGGCCCAUGCGCCUAGGGUUGGGGGGAAACCCUAGUGGGGGCGCCCCCUUUGCUUGGGGGGCAAGCCCCCCUCCUUGGCCGUCGUCCCCCCUCUAGAUCUCAUCUAGAGGGGCCGGCCCCCCUUGCCCCUUCCCCUAUAAAUAGAGGGGUGAGGGGAGGGCUGCAACACACAACCAAGGCGCAGCCCCUCCCCUCCCCAACACCUCUCCUCCUCCGUCACGAGCUUGGCGAAGCCCUACCGGAGUACUGCCGCUCCACCACCACCACGCCGUCGUGCUGCUACUGGAGCCAUCUUCCUCAACCUCUCCUUCUCCCUUCUUGGAUCAAGAAGGAGGAGAAGUCGUCCGUUCCGUACGUGUGUUGAACGCGGAGGUGCUGUCCAUUCGGCACUUGGUCAUCGGUGAUCUGAAUUACGGCGAGUACGACUCCAUCAUCACCGUUCCCUUGAACGCUUCCGCACGCGAUCUACAAGUGGUAUGUAGAUGCAAUCUCUCUCCCUUGACUCGUUGCUUAGAUGAACUCAUAGAUGGAUCUUGGUGAAACCGUAGGAAAAAUUUUAAUUUUCUGCAACGUUCCCCAACAGUGGCAUCAUGAGCUAGGUCUAUGCGUAGUUCUCUAUUGCACGAGUAGAACACAAUUUUGUUGUGGGCGUACUUGUCAACUUGCUUGCCGCUACUAGUCUUAUCUUGCUUCAGCGGUAUUGUGGGAUGAAUCUGCCCGGACCAACCUUACACGUACGCUUACGUGAGACAGGUUCCACCGACUGACAUGCACUAGUUGCAUAAGGUGGCUAGCGGGUGUCUGUCUCUCCCACUUUAGUUGGAGCAGAUUCGACGAAAAGGGUCCUUAUGAAGGGUAAAUAGAAGUUGACAAAUCACGUUCUGGCUUUAACGUAGGUAAGAAAACGUUCUUGCUAGAUCACCUAUAGAAGCCACAUAAAAACUUGCAACAACAAUUAGAGGACGUCUAACUUGUUUUUGCAGCAAGUGUCUUGUGAUGUGAUAUGGCCAAAAGUUGUGAUGAAUGAUGAAUGAUAUAUUGUGAUGUAUGAGAUCAUGUUCUUGUAAUAGGAAUCACGACUUGCAUGUCGAUGAGUAUGACAACCGGCAGGAGCCAUAGGAGUUGUCUUUAUUUUUUGUAUGACCUGCGUGUCAUUGAAGAAUGCCAUGUAAAUUACUUUACUUUAUUGCUAAACGCGUUAGCCAUAGAAGUAGAAGUAGUCGUUGGCGUGACAACUUCAUGAAGACACGAUGAUGGAGAUCAUGAUGAUGGAGAUCAUGGUGUCAUGCCGGUGACAAAGAUGAUCAUGGAGCCCCGAAGAUGGAGAUCAAAGGAGCUAUAUGAUAUUGGCCAUAUCAUGUCAUUACUAUAUAAUUGCACGUGAUGUUUAUUAUGUUUAUGCAUCUUGUUUACUUAGAACGACGGUAGUAAAUAAGAUGAUCCCUUAUAAUAAUUUCAAGAAGUGUUCUCCCCUAACUGUGCGCCGUUGCUGAAGUUCGUCGCUUCGAAGCACCACGUGAUGAUCGGGUGUGAUAGAUUCUUACGUUCACAUACAACGGGUGUAAGACAGUUUUACACAUGCAAAAACACUUAGUGUUAACUUGACCAGCCUAGCAUGUACAGACAUGGCCUCGGAACACAGAGACCGAAAGUUCGAACACGAGUCGUAUGGAAGAUACGAUCAACAUGGAGAUGUUCACCGACGAUGACUAGUCCGUCUCACGUGAUGAUCGGACACGGCCUAGUCGACUCGGAUCGUGUAACACUUAGAUGACUAGAGGGAUGUCUAAUCUGAGUGGGAGUUCAUUAUAAUAAUUUGAUUAGAUGAACUUAAUUAUCAUGAACUUAGUCUAAAACCUUUGCAAAUAUGUCUUGUAGAUCAAAUGGCCGCCGCUUAUGUCAACAUGAACUUCAACGCGUUCCUAGAGAAAACCAAGAUGAAAGAUGAUGGCAGCAACUAUACGGACUGGGUCCGGAACCUGAGGAUCAUCCUCAUAGCUGCCAGGAAACAAUAUGUCCUAGAAGGACCGCUAGGUGAUGCACCCGUCCUAGAGAACCAAGACGUUAUGAAUGCUUGGCAGUCUUGCGCUGAUGAUUACUCCCUCAUUCAGUGCGGCAUGCUUUACAGCUUAGAACCGGGGCUCCAAAAGCAUUUUGAGCAACACAGAGCAUAUGAGAUGUUCGAGGAGCUGAAACUAGUUUUCCAAGCUCAUGCCUGGGUCGAGAGAUAUGAAGUCUCCGACAAGUUCUAUAGUUGUAAGAUGGAGGGAAAUAGUUCUGCUAGUGAGCACAUACUCAAAAUGUCUGGGUUGCACAACCACCUGUCCUAGCUGGACAUUAACCUCCCGGACGAGGCGGUCAUUGACAAAAUCCUUCAGUCACUCCCACCAAGCUACAAGAGCUUUGUGAUGAACUACAAUAUGCAAGGGAUGGUGAAAACCAUUCCUGAAGUAUUUUCAAUGCUGAAGUCAGCAGAGGUAGAAAUCAAGAAAGAACAUCAAGUGUUGAUGGUCAAUAAAACCACUAAGUUCAAGAAGGGCAAGGCCAAGAAGAACUUCAAGAAAGACGGCAAGGAUGUUGCCGCGCCCGGUAAGCCAGUUGCCGGGAAGAAGUCAAAGAAUGGACCCAAGCCUGAGACUGAGCGCUUUUAUUGCAAAGGGAAGGGUCACUGGAAGCGGAACUGCCCCAAAUACUUAGCGGACAAGAAGGCUGGCAACACCAAAGGUAUAUUUGAUAUACAUGUAAUUGAUGUGUACCUUACCAAUACUCGUAGUAACUCCUGGGUAUUUGAUACCGGUGCCGUUGCUCAUAUUUCUAACUCACAGCAGGAGCUGCGGAAUAAGCGGAGACUGGUGAAGGACGAGGUGACGAUGCGCGUCGGGAAUGGCUCCAAGGUCGAUGUAAUCACCGUCGGCACGCUACCUCUACAUUUACCUACGGGAUUAGUUUUAAACCUUAAUAAUUGUUAUUUAGUGCCAAGUUUGAGCAUGAACAUUGUAUCUGGAUCUCGUUUGAUACGAGAUGGCUACUCAUUUAAAUCCGAGAAUAAUGGUUGUUCUAUUUAUAUGAGAGAUAUGUUUUAUGGUCAUGCCCCGAUGGUCAAUGGUUUAUUCUUAAUGAAUCUCGAACGUAAUGUUACACAUACUCAUAGUGUGAAUACCAAAAGAUGUAAAGUUGAUAACGAUAGUCCCACAUACUUGUGGCACUGCCGCCUUGGUCACAUUGGUGUCAAGCGCAUGAAGAAGCUCCAUGCUGAUGGACUUUUAGAGUCUCUCGAUUAUGAAUCAUUUGACACAUGCGAACCAUGCCUCAUGGGCAAAAUGACCAAGACUCCGUUCUCCAGAACAAUGGAGCGAGCAACCAACUUGUUGGAAAUCAUACAUACCGAUGUGUGCGGUCCAAUGAGCAUUGAGGCUCGCGGAGGAUAUCGUUAUGUUCUCACUCUAACUGAUGACUUGAGUAGAUAUGGGUAUGUCUACUUAAUGAAACACAAGUCUGAGACCUUUGAAAAGUUCAAGGAAUUUCAGAAUGAGGUAGAGAAUCAACAAGACCGAAAGAUAAAGUUCCUAUGAUCAGAUCGUGGGGGAGAAUAUUUAAGUCACAAAUUUGGUACGCACUUAAGGAAAUGUGGAAUCGUUUCACAACUCAUGCCGCCUGGAACACCUCAGCGUAAUGGUGUGUCCGAACGUCGUAAUCGCACUCUAUUGGAUAUGGUGCGGUCUAUGAUGUCUCUUACCGAUUUACCGCUAUCAUUUUGGGGAUACGCUCUAGAGACAGCUACAUUCACUUUAAAUAGGGCACCGUCUAAAUCCGUUGAGACGACACCGUAUGAAUUAUGGUUUGGGAAGAAACCUAAGUUGUCGUUUCUAAAAGUUUGGGGAUGCAAUGCUUAUGUCAAGAAACUUCAACCUGAAAAGCUCGAACCCAAGUCGGAAAAAUGCGUCUUCAUAGGAUACCCUAAGGAAACCAUUGGGUAUACCUUCUACUUAAGAUCCGAGGGCAAGAUCUUUGUUGCCAAGAACGGAUCCUUUCUGGAAAAGGAGUUUCUCUUGAAAGAAGUAAGUGGGAGGAAAGUAGAACUCGAUGAAGUACUACCUCUUGAACAGGAAAGUAGUGCAGCUCAGGAAAAUGUUCCUGUGAUGCCUACACCGACUGGAGAGGAAAAUAAUGAUGAUGAUCAAGGUACUUCGGAUCAAGUUGCUACUGAACUUCGUAGGUUCACAAGGACACGUUCCGCACCAGAGUGGUACGGCAACCCUGUCCUGGAAAUCAUGUUGUUAGACAACGGUGAACCUUCGAACUAUUAAGAAGCGAUGGCGGGCCCAGAUUCCAACAAAUGGCUUGAAGCCAUGAAAUCCGAGAUAGAAUCCACGUAUGAAAACAAAGUAUGGACUUUGACAGACUUGCCCGAUGAUCGGCGAGCGAUAGAAAACAAAUGGAUCUUUAAGAAGAAGACGGACGCGGAUGGUAAUGUUACCAUCUAUAAAGCUCGACUUGUCGCUAAGGGUUAUCGAUAAGUUCAAGGGAUUGACUACGAUGAGACAUUCUCUCCCGUAGCGAAGCUGAAGUCCGUCUGAAUCAUGUUAGCAAUUGCCGCAUACUAUCAUUAUGAGAUAUGGCAGAUGGACGUCAAAACGGCAUUCCUCAACGGACAUCUUAAGGCAGAGCUGUAUAUGAUGCAGCCGGAAGGUUUUGUCGACCCUAAGAAUGCUAACAAAGUAUGCAAGCUCCAGCGAUCCAUUUAUGGGCUGGUGCAAGCAUCUCGGAGUUGGAACAUUCGCUUUGAUGAGAUGAUCAAAGCGUUUGGGUUUAUGCAGACUUAUGGAGAAGCCUGCGUUCACAAGAAAGUGAGUGGGAGCUCUGUAGCAUUUCUCAUAUUAUAUGUAGAUGACAUACUCUUGAUGGGAAAUGAUAUAGAACUUUUGGACAACAUUAAGGCCUACUUGAAUAAGUGUUUUUCAAUGAAGGACCUUGGAGAAGCUGCUUACAUAUUAGGCAUCAAGAUCUAUAGGGAUAGAUCGAGACGCCUCAUAGGUCUUUCACAAAGCACAUACCUUGAUAAGAUUUUGAAGAAGUUCAAAAUGGAUCAGUCCAAGAAAGGGUUCUUGCCUGUAUUGCAAGGUGUGAGACUGAGCUUGGCUCAAUGCCCGACCACAGCAAAAGAUAAAGAAGAGAUGAGUGUCAUCCCCUAUGCUUCAGCCAUAGGAUCUAUUAUGUAUGCCAUGCUGUGUACCAGACCUGAUGUAAACCUUGCCGUAAGUUUGGUAGGAAGGUACCAAAGUAAUCCCAGCAAGGAACACUGGACAGCGGUCAAGAAUAUCCUGAAGUACCUGAAAAGGACAAAGGACAUGUUUCUCGUUUAUGGAGGUGACGAAGAGCUCGUCGUAAAGGGUUACGUCGACGCUAGCUUCGACACAGAUCUGGAUGACUCUAAGUCACAAACCGGAUACGUGUAUAUGUUGAAUGGUGGAGCAGUAAGCUGGUGCAGCUGCAAGCAGAGCGUCGUGGCGGGAUCUACAUGUGAAGCGGAGUACAUGGCAGCCUCGGAGGCAGCGCAUGAAGCAAUCUGGGAGAAGGAGUUCAUCACCGACCUAGGAGUCAUACCCAAUGCGUCGGGACCGAUCAAACUCUUUUGUGACAACACUGGAGCUAUUGCCCUUGCCAAGGAGCCCAGGUUUCACAAGAAGACCAGGCACAUCAAGCGUCGUUUCAACUCCAUCCAUGAAAAUCUUCAAGAUGGAGACAUAGAUAUUUGCAAAGUACAUACGGAUCUGAAUGUCGCAGAUCCGUUGACUAAACCUCUCUCGCGAGCAAAACAUGAUCAACACCAGAACUCUAUGGGUGUUCGAUUCAUCACAAUGUAACUAGAUUAUUGACUCUAGUGCAAGUGGGAGACUGUUGGAAAUAUGCCCUAGAGGCAAUAAUAAAAGGUUAUUAUUAUAUUUCCUUAUUCAUGAUAAUUGUCUUUAUUCAUGCUAUAACUGUAUUAUCCGGAAAUCGUAAUACACGUGUGAAUACAUAGACCAUAAUAUGUCCCUAGUAAGCCUCUAGUUGACUAGCUCGUUGAUCAACAGAUAGUCAUGGUUUCCUGGCUAUGGACAUUGGAUGUCGUUGAUAACGGGAUCACAUCAUUAGGAGAAUGAUGUGAUGGACAAGACCCAAUCCUAAGCAUAGCACAAGAUCGUGUAGUUCGUUUGCUAGAGCUUUUCCAAUGUCAAGUAUCCUUUCCUUAGACCAUGAGAUCGUGUAACUCCCGGAUACCGUAGGAGUGCUUUGGGUGUACCAAACGUCACAACGUAACUGGGUGACUAUAAAGGUGCACUACAGGUAUCUCCGAAAGUGUCUGUUGGGUUGACACAGAUUGAGACUGGGAUUUGUCACUCCGUAUGACGGAGAGGUAUCUCUGGACCCACUCGGUAAUGCAUCAUCAUAAUGAGCUCAAAGUGACCAAGUGUUUGGUCACGGGAUCAUGCAUUAUGGUAUGAGUAAAGUGACUUGCCGGUAACGAGACUGAACGAGGUAUUGGGAUACCGACGAUCGAGUCUCGGGCAAGUAACGUACCGAUUGACAAAGGGAAUUGUAUACGGGGUUGAUCGAAUCCUCGACAUCGUGGUUCAUCCGAUGAAAUCAUCGAGGAGCAUGUGGGAGCCAACAUGGGUAUCCAGAUCCUGCUGUUGGUUAUUGACCGGAGAUUCGUCUCGGUCAUGUCUGCAUGUCUCCCGAACCCAUAGGGUCUACACACUUAAGGUUCGGUGACGCUAGGGUUAUUAGGAAGACUUGUAUGUGAUUACCGAAUGUUGUCCGAAGUCCCGGAUGAGAUCCUGGACAUCACGAGGAGUUCCGGAAUGGUCCGGAGGUGAAGAUUUAUAUAUGGGAAGUUGUCAUGCGGACACCGGAAAGUUUCGGGGGCAUAUCGGUAUUGUACCGGGGCCACCGGAGAGGUUCCGGGGGUCCACCGGGAGGAGCCACCCCUCUCGGAGGGCCUCAUGGGCCGCAAGGGGCAGGGAACCAGCCCCUGGAGGGCUGGGCACCCCCCCCCCCUUGGGCCCAUGCGCCUAGGGUUGGGGGGGAAACCCUAGUGGGGGCGCCCCCCUUUGCUUGGGGGGCAAGCCCCCCUCCCUGGCCGCCGCCCCCCUCUAGAUCUCAUCUAGAGGGGCCGGCCCCACUUGCCCCUUCCUCUAUAAAUAGAGGGGUGAGGGGAGGGCUGCAACACACAACCAAGCCGCAGCCCCUCCCCUCCCCAACACCUCUCCUCCUCCGUCACGAGCUUGGCGAAGCCCUGCCGGAGUACUGCUGCUCCACCACCACCACGCCGUCGUGCUGUUGCUGGAGCCAUCUUCCUCAACCUCUCCUUCUCCCUUGCUGGAUCAAGAAGGAGGAGACUUCAUCCGUUCCGUACGUGUGUUGAACGCGGAGGUGCUAUCCGUUCGGCACUUGGUCAUCGGUGAUCUGAAUCACGGCGAGUACGACUCAAUCAUCACCGUUCCCUUGAAUGCUUCCGCACGCGAUCUACAAGUGGUAUCUAGAUGCAAUCUCUCUCCCUUGACUCGUUGCUUAGUUGAACUCAUAGAUGGAUCUUGGUGAAACCGUAGGAAAAAAUUUAAUUUUCUGCAACGUUCCCCGACAAUUCCUGGAACAUCUCAUAUGGUCCAUGACGUUCAAAACGUCUUUGAAGUCCCGAUUCUAAGCCGUUAAGCAUGGUGCACUAAACUAUCAAGUAGUCAUCAUAUUGAGCUAGCCAAACGUUCAUAACGUCUGCAUCUGCUCCUGCAAUAGGUUUGUCACCUAGCGGUGCAUCAAGGACAUAAUUCUUCUGUGCAGCAAUGAGGAUAAACCUUAGAUCACGGAUCCAAUCCGCAUCAUUGCUACUAACAUCUUUCAACACAAUUUUCUCUAGGAACAUAUCAAAAUAAACAUAUGAAAGCAACAACGCAAGCUAUUGAUCUACAACAUAAUUUGCAAAAUACCACCAGGACUAAGUUCAUGAUAAAUUUAAGUUCAAUUAAUCAUAUUACUUAAGAACUCCCACUUAGAUAGACAUCACUCUAGUCCUCUAAGUGAUUACGUGAUCCAUAUCAACUACAGCAUGUUUGAUCGUCACGUGAGAUGGAGUAGUUUCAAUGGUGAACAUCAAUAUGUUGAUCAUAUCUACUAUAUGAUUCACGCUCGACCUUUCGGUCUCCGUGUUCCGAGGCCAUAUCUGUUAUAUGCUAGGCUCGUCAAGUUUAACCUGAGUAUUCCGCGUGUGCAACUGUUUUGCACCCAUUGUAUUUGAACGUAGAGCCUAUCACACCCGAUCAUCACGUGGUGUCUCAGCACGAAGAACUUUCGCAACGGUGCAUACUCAGGGAGAACACUUCUUGAUAAUUUUAGUGAGAGAUCAUCUUAAAAUGCUACCGUCAAUCAAAGCAAGAUAAGAUGCAUAAAGGAUAAACAUCACAUGCAAUCAAUAUAAGUGAUAUGAUAUGGCCAUCAUCAUCUUGUUCUUGUGAUCUCCAUCUCCGAAGCACCAUAGUGAUCACCAUUGUCACCGGCGCGACACCUUGAUCUCCAUCGUAGCAUCGUUGUCGUUACGCCAUCUAUUGCUUCUACGACUAUCGCUACCGCUUAGUGAUGAAGUAAAGCAAUUACAGGGCGUUUGCAUUUCAUACAAUAAAGCGACAACCAUAUGGCUCCUGCCAGUUGCCGAUAACUUCGGUUACAAAACAUGAUCAUCUCAUACAAUAAAAUAUAGCAUCAUGUCUUGACCAUAUCACAUCACAAAAUGCCCUGCAAAAACAAGUUAGACGUCAUCUACUUUGUUGUUGCAAAUUUUACGUGGCUGCUACGGGCUGAGCAAGAACCGUUCUUACCUACGCAUCAAAACCACAACGAUAGUUCGUCAAGUUAGUGCUGUUUUAACCUUCACAAGGACCGGGCAUAGCCACACUCGAUUCAGCUAAAGUGAGAGAGACAGACACCCGCCAGCCACCUUUAAGCACGAGUGCUCGUAACGGUGAAACUAGUCUUGCAUAAGCGUACGCGCAAUGUCGGUCCGGGCUGCUUCAUCUCACAAUACCGUUGAACCAAAGUAUGACAUGCUGAUAAGCAGUAUGACUUGUAUCGCCCACAACUCACUUGUGUUCUACUCGUGCAUAUGACAUCUACGCAUAAAACCAGGCUCGGAUGCCACUGUUGGGGAACGUAGUAAUUUCAAAAAAAUUCCUACGCACACACAAGAUCAUGGUGAUGCAUAGCAACGAGAGGGGAGAGUGUGUCCAUGUACCCUCAUAGACCGUAAGCGGAAGGGUUAUGACAACGCGGUUGAUGUAGUCGUACGUCUUCACGAUCCGACCGAUCCAAGUACCAAACGUACGGCACCUCCGAGUUCAGCACACGUUCAGCUCGAUGACAAUCCCCAGACUCCGAUCCAGCAAAGUUUAGGGGAUGAGUUCCGUCAGCAUGACGGUGCGGUGACGAUGAUGAUGUUCUACCGGCGCAGGGCUUCGCCUAAACUCCGCGACGAUAUGACCGAGGUGGAAUAUGGUGGAGGGGGGCACCGCACACGGCUAAGGAACGAUCUUGAAGAUCAACUUGUGUGUCAUGGGGUGCCCUCUGCCCCCGUAUAUAAAGGAGCAAGGGGGAGGAGGCCGGCCCUAGGAGGGGGCACGCCAAGUGUGGAGUGCCUCCUAGUAGGAUUCCACCUCCCUUGUUGGAGUAGGAGAAGGGGAAAGAGGGGGAGAGGAAGAAGGAAAGGGGGGCUGCGCCCCUUGUCCAAUUCGGACCAGAGGGGCCUCCUUCCUUUUGGCCUCUCUCCUCUAUUCCCGUAUGGCCCAAUAAGGCCCAUAUACUCCCCGGCGAAUUCCCGUAACUCUCCGGUACACCGAAAAAUACCCGAAUCAAUCAGAACCUUUCCGAACUCCGAAUAUAGUCGUCCAAUAUAUCGAUCUUUACGUCUCGACCAUUUCGAGACUCCUCGUCAUGUCCCCGAUCUCAUCCGGGACUCCGAACUCCUUCGGUACAUCAAAACUCAUAAACUCAUAAUAUAUCUGUCAUCGAAACCUUAAGCGUGCGGACCCUACGGGUUCGAGAACAAUGUAGACAUGACCGAGACACGUCUUCGGUCAAUAACCAAUAACGGAACCUGGACGCUCAUAUUGGCUCCCACAUAUUCUACGAAGAUCUUUAUCGGUCAAACCGCAUAACAACAUACGUUGUUCCCUUUGUCAUCGGUAUGUUACUUGCCCGAGAUUCGAUCGUCGGUAUCCAAUACCUAGUUCAAUCUCGUUACCGGCAAGUCUCUUUACUCGUUACAGAAUGCAUCAUUCCGUAACUAACUCAUUAGCUACAUUGCUUGCAAGGCUUAUAGUGAUGUGCAUUACCGAGAGGGCCCAGAGAUACCUCUCCGACGAUCGGAGUGACAAAACCUAAUCUCGAAAUACGCCAACCCAACAUGUAACUUCGGAGACACCUGUAGUACUCCUUUAUAAUCACCCAGUUACGUUGUGACGUUUGGUAGCACCCAAAGUGUUCCUUCGGUAAACGGGAGUUGUAUAAUCUCAUAGUUACAGGAACAUGUAUAAGUCAUGAAGAAAGCAAUAGCAACAUACUAAACGAUCAAGUGCUAGGCUAACGGAAUGGGUCAUGUCAAUCACAUCAUUCUCCUAAUGAUGUGAUCCCGUUAAUCAAAUGACAACUCAUGUCUAUGGUUAGAAAACUUAACCAUCUUUGAUUAAUGAGCUAGUCAAGUAGAGGCAUACUAGUGACACUAUGUUUGUCUAUGUAUUCACACAUGUAUUAUGUUUCCGGUUAAUACAAUUCUAGCAUGAAUAAUAAACAUUUAUCAUGAAAUAAGGAAAUAAAUAAUAACUAUAUUAUUGCCUCUAGGGCAUAUUUCCUUCACUGACAUGCGGGCCCUACCGCCUAUUUUAAAUAAUUAAAAUGUUUUAAUAAUUAAAACCUAAUUAGUUACUAAUUAGAGACUGACAUGUGGGCCCCAGUAGCUAAUUAGCCUCAGAUUAGUUUAAUCUAGACUUUGUUAAUUACAGUGGCUGACAUGUGGGCGCCACCUGUCUAGUUUGACUGGUCAGCCGACCUGUUGACCUGCUGACAUCAGCAUUGCAUCAUGCUGAUGUCAUAUUUCCCUUUUCUGUUAUUUUUUAAAUAAUUCCAGAAAAUGGUUUAAUCUUUAAAAAUUCAUAGAAAUUAAACCGUAGCUCGAAUGAAAAAGUUUUCUACAUGAAAGUUGCUCAGAACGACGAGACGAAUCUGAACAUGUGGUCCGUUCGCCCGCCACACGUCUCUAGCAUAGCAAACAUUGAACUUUUACCCUUCGGUUCAUCUGUCUGACAGACGUCCGGAACAGGGAAUACUUUCCCGGAUGUUUCCCCCUUCACCAGUAUCGCCUAGCGCUGUGUUAGAUCACGUCUAGCUCUGUCUGUUGUCCUGUUAUGCACUUGCCUGCUAUGUAUUUACUGUUUCUUCCCCCUCUUCUCUCCGGUAGACCCCGAGACUGAUGCUGAUGUCCUUGUGAUCGACUACAUCGACGAUGACCCUUCUUAUUGUCCGAGCAACCAGGCAAGCCCCCCCUUUGAUCAUCCCGAUAUCGCCCAUUCUAUACUCUCAUGCUUGCAUUAGAUUUUGCUACUGUUAUUGUUUGCUCCUAUUCUGAUGCAUUGCCUGCUUUUGUACCUGCUAUUGUUACGUACCUGCUUAUCCCAAACUGCUUAGUAUAGGUUGGAUAGUGAUCCAUCAGUGACCCCCAGUACUUGUCCUUGUUGCCCCUGCUUCAUCAUCGACGACUCGAUCAGCGUGAUAGACGACCAGAGCCCGACACCUCACAUCACAUCAUGCCCCUUUUGUUGCUCGACUCUACAGAGCUACUAUCGAGUGCCGAGGGUGAUCCCUCAUAACGCACUCCUGAUAAUUCUGUAGUGUAGCUAUUCGGUCGUGGUCAUCGAGGGUGAUUUCCUCCUUCACCAUUCCCGAUACGGCUCUGUCAUUCAACACCUCAAGUGUGAACCUCAAGGGUGGUCCCUCUUACGUUCACCUUGAUGAUUACAUUGAGUGGAAUCCUCCGUGGGUGAUUCCUCGGGUUUUCCCCUUGAUGUUUGGACACACGGUUACCUUGACUUUACUUGAGACCUUGGUGAAAGUCGGGCGGGCCCGGAGAGCACCUGCAAGAUGGUUACGUGGCACGGCCGGGCAUUCUAGGCCCUUGUCGUAAGUCCACGAGACGGGGCGACAAGGUCACUUUCGAUCGUGAUUCUCUGCUCGUGUCCGCAAGCUAAUAAUACACUAUGGUUUGGGCAUUUGUUCUGAGUUGGCCUCUGGCCUUUACGCACCAACCACCACACGAGAAUAGUUAUGGGCCUCGGCGUCGUGGUAUCAGCCGAAGCUUUGUCAGAUGUCCAGUUCAGCAGUGCGGCACGGCUGGGCCGGCACCAUCCAUGUAGAGGUGGAGCCUGGACCCGCCCUGUACGCAACGAUCCGGAGUGCAACGGGCGAUGGGCCCAGACCCCGAGUGCUUAGGAUGUAGACCGGCGAGGACCUCUCCGCUGAGCCUAGGUAGGGCUGCGAUGUGUUGAUCUUCCGAGACUGGGCAUUGACCCUAGAAAGGUGUGUCCGGCCAACGUGAUCGAGCGUGUUGGCAAACGUGGUGCACCCCUGCAGGGAAGAUUAUCUAUUAAUAGUCGUGUCCACGGUAACGAACGUUCAGACUUAUAUCCUGAUCUUAUACAACUACAAAUGGAUACUUGAGCUAUGUGGCUCCGGGAUUGCUUUCUUGCAGGGAGUCGAGGAAGGAUCUUUGGGCAUUAAUGUUACAACAUGCUUGUUAAAUAUUAAACUACUAUUCUUUACUCUUCUACAUGCUGCAAGAUGUUCGGAGCUGCGUGAAGAUGCUAGUCUUCGAUAGGCUAGGCCUUCCCCCUUCUAUUCUGGCAUUCUGCAGUUCAGUCCACAGAUUCAACCCUUCCAUUUGAUACCAAUGCAUACUUAGUAUAGAUCUGAUGCUUACGAGUACUUUGGAUGAGUACUCACAGUUUCUUUGCUACCCUUUUUCUCCCUUCUUUCUUAUUUCCGGUUGAUGCAACCAGAUGGUGGAUCCUUGGAGCUAGAUGCCACCGCCGAUGGAUGCUACUACGUGAAGAUCGCCGACGACCAGGAGUUAGUUUAGGAGGUCCCAGGCAGGAGGCCUUGCCUCUUCGAUUGUUGUUGCUUUUGUGCUAGCCUUCUUAAGGCAUCCUUGUUUAACUUAUGUCUGUACUCAGAUAUUGUUGCUUCCGCUGACUCUUGUGUAUCGAGCUAUGUAUUUGAGCCUUCGAGGCCCCUGGCUUGUAAUAUGAAGCUUGUAUUAUUUUUGAUUUGUGUCUAGAGUUGUGUUGUGAUAUCUUCCCGUGAGUCCCUUAUCUUGAUCGUACACCUUUGCGUGUAUGAUUAGUGUACGAUUGAAUCAGGGGCGUCACAAGUUGGUAUCAGAGCCGACUGCCUGUAGGAUCCUCCUUUCCAACUCCUUGGCCGAAGUUGAGUCUAGUCUUUGAAAAACUGUUUUACUAACAUGGUUGUGUGGCUUACGGGCCCACGUCGCCAUUGGGUGGUAGUAGGAUCUUUUAUUCCUCGUCCUUACUCUGGGAAUCUAAUCUCUCUUCUAUUCGGGUUAACUGAUUUUGCUAACAACUCUAGGUUCUCAUAAAUACUUUCUCCCGGAGAGCCCCUCACUCCAGAUGAUUACUUGGUGCACCAGAAGUUUCUGAAGAUACUCUCCGAAGUUUUAUCGAGACCCUUGUGCCCUUCGUUGUUGCAAUCCCUACCACUGAUAAAUCCUUAUGCGUAACUACCUAUGUUGUCAUUCAUACCUUCAUCCCCAGUUGCUCUUGUUAUUACAAGAUGUCCUAAAAUACUCUUCGAUGUUCCAAGGAUCCUUUAUGCUUGCGGCCCUGCAGUCCUUGCCGCAUGAAUACCCCUAUGGAUAAUUACUCGCUCUUAUCGAGUAUCCAUUCUUCCCCAGUUAUUCUUAUGCUUCAUAAGAUACUUUUUAAUACAAUCCGAGCUUUCGAUAACCUCUAUCGCCUAUUGCUCUAGAAGGUCUUACCUGCUUACACUCUGGUUAAUUCCAUGUGCCUAGCAGUAUCCAUUGAUGUCCUUUGUCAUUAUCACCACGAGUCUUUCGAUCUGUUAUGUCUGUGUUGCAAUCAUCAAUUGAUCCUUAUAGAUUAUCUUUCCGGCUCAGACGUCUUCCCGAACAUGAGCUGGUUCUCGACCAAUCAGAUUGCCAUCGAUUGUGCCCUAAGUCUAUUCAACUUAACCAACCAUGGUUAGAGCGUUUGCUUCUGAUCCCUUGAUUUUGAAAAUCGUAAUUCCUUUGCAUUUGAACUCUCAAUUAGUCAUUUGCUUCUAUAAUUUGAUAUCCUUGCAUUCUUUCUACCUCUGGUUGAGUAUUGAUGCUCACAUUAGAUCCCUUGUGAACCACUAGAUCCCUUGUGGGGUUCUAUCCGACAGCAUCCUUCAUAUAUAGUAACCUUGUGAGCUUUUCCGCGGAUACAUAAUGCCUUUGGUAAAUUGUAUCUUCUGCUUCCUGAACCAUGCUCUACUCUCGGGAUUGAGUUAUUUACUUGUGAAGUUUGUGGUAUAUGUUCCUCAGAUGCCCCGAUGGGUUGAAUCUUUGUAUUACCUAAAUCCGUGUGAACCUGAAGAUUAUGCGAGUUAUAUCUACUGGUGUUUCUUUGGAUAAAUUUUCAAAUUCUACAACUUCUUCGAACGUGAGAGGUGAAUGGAAAGUUGUGCAUUAGAGAAGUGGGAGUCGACCUUGAACCUUUGUGUUCAUGCCCACAGACCCGAUGUGGAACUUAUCAUGGAAGCUUCUUGUGAAAAUAAUAAUCCCUUGUGAUAAGUUCUUCUGGCACCUAUAUUUGGUCCUUUGCAACCAUGGUUCCGACCAUAUUGUUCUUCUUUGAUCCCAUUUCUCGGACAAGUUAAAGUACUUGUCUUCUUCAGAUGGUUUCACCUGUUCAACCUCUACAUUGAUAUACUUUCGGGUAUUAUCCUCUGGUAUCUCGAGAAUAUCAUGGAACUACAUAACUUCUUAUGAGUUCUUGAUCAACUAUUAUUUCUCGCUGAUUCAAAAUUUUCACUGGUUCGGAGUUGUUAGACACUCAAGAAUACAGAUAAUAGUCUAUGCUUUCCUUUCCAUUGUUUUGUUUAAUCUUUCUUGUAACCUAUCUUAUAUGAGCAGUGAUAAUUCCCUGCUUAUGUAAACACCUCGGUGUACAACUCUAUCUGUAAGGCCUUGUUACUAUUGCUGAUGACAUUGCGGUAGCCACCGAUGGACGAGAACUUUGCAUGUUGGUCCGCCUCGUCUUAACGAGCAGGAAAAUGGUUCUCUUCGUCCCUCGCCCUUGGUACCAACGUUGUUGCCAUCAUAACUGAUAGGUUGUCCUCUGAUCUGCCUUGCUAUCAUGACCGUGCAAAUGUUAGCACCCUUCCUGAUUUUUAACCCACAUGGUGGGCCCAUAACCCAUAGUUCCACAUGAUCGAAACCUGACUCUCCUGUACAUCUCUGUCUUCCAAAAUUGUUCCUCAUGCUUGGUUUCAUAUGAAAUUCAUGGCCACCUUCUUGUCAUCUAUUCUGGUAUCAGAUGCAAUACUUUUUCUCGAUGCUUUGAACCCCCUUCAUCACCUAUUUUAUGCAUCAGCUGGAUGCCUACCUGGUUGAAACUUGUUGAACCUUCUUAUAGCACUCUCGAUACGUUACCUGGUGCUUCUAAAUUCUUCUUCCUUGAGAUAACUACCAGAUGCCGAUCUUUUCAGACAUCCAUCCUUAUAGCUUCCUCCCUAUUCCACGCCUUAAAUCUCGGGAUGAGAUUUCUUGUAGUGGAGGAGAAUUGUGACGCCCGGAUAAUUAAGCUACAGUAAUCCCCUGUUAAUGGUGCCAUGUCAUCAUGUUACUGUUGCUAAUCUUCACCUGAUCCUAAUCACAAUCCAAAUUCAAAUUUAAACUAAAGUCCAAAAUUCAAAUUUGUCAAACAUGGAAUCUAAAAUGUUCGAUGUAUGGCAAAUAAUCCAUGGAUAUUUGUCAUGUGGAAACCACAGUUUUAUGAUGGGUUUAAGUGCUCUAAAAAGAUUAAAACAGGGACUAGGUGUUUAAUUUAUUUAUAAAGCAAAAAAAAAAGGGAAAGGGAAAACCCCUGGGCCUAGCCCACCUUGUCUGGCCCAGCUCCCCAACUGGACAGCCCACUUUCCCCCUCCCCUGGGCCUUGGCCCNNNNNNNNNNNNNNNNNNNNNNNNNNNNNNNNNNNNNNNNNNNNNNNNNNNNNNNNNNNNNNNNNNNNNNNNNNNNNNNNNNNNNNNNNNNNNNNNNNNNNNNNNNNNNNNNNNNNNNNNNNNNNNNNNNNNNNNNNNNNNNNNNNNNNNNNNNNNNNNNNNNNNNNNNNNNNNNNNNNNNNNNNNNNNNNNNNNNNNNNNNNNNNNNNNNNNNNNNNNNNNNNNNNNNNNNNNNNNNNNNNNNNNNNNNNNNNNNNNNNNNNNNNNNNNNNNNNNNNNNNNNNNNNNNNNNNNNNNNNNNNNNNNNNNNNNNNNNNNNNNNNNNNNNNNNNNNNNNNNNNNNNNNNNNNNNNNNNNNNNNNNNNNNNNNNNNNNNNNNNNNNNNNNNNNNNNNNNNNNNNNNNNNNNNNNNNCUCCCUCUCUCCCCGCCGAAACCCUAGCCCCCAAAUCCCAUUCUCCCUCUCCCUCUUCUUCGUUUUGGAGAGGAAGCCGACGCGGUCGCCGCCGUGCCUCGCCCGUCCUCGCGGCCACCGAGCCCCGUUCGUCUCGCCAUCGUGCCCUUCGUCUCUGCCGUCGGCGUCUACCCCGUCCCCGUCCGUGAGCGCAAGUCGGGAGCCACUUCAGGGAGCGGAUUGAGCUACCCCCUUUCGCCUCUGUCGCCAGCGCCCGCCGUCGUCUCCGUCCACUGCUGCUGCUCCUAAGCUCGCACUGGCCCUUCUUGGCCACACGGUGAGCUCCUCCCUUCUUCCCUUCCUCUUCUCCCGCCGUGCUUUUCGCCGUAGCUAGUUCGCCCGCAAGCCGAGCUCCACCGUCCACCAUUGCCGUCGUAGGGCUCGCCUCCGAGCUCCUCCACUCGAGCCAGUAGCUCCGACGAGCUCCUGGGGCUCCAUAGACCUUCCCUAGCCCUUUACUUCGCUCGCACGCGCGCUGUAACGCCGAUCCCAACUCCGGCCGAACGCGCCGCCCGCUGCCGUCGAUGUAGCGCUCCACUCCGGCUGAGUUGGCCAACGGGACGGCCGUAGAUCAAUGCGGCGUCGGACGCCCGAUCGAACGCGCCUAGCCGCACCUCUCCCCGUGCCCCGUAGCGCGAUUCCGGCCAACUCCGGCGAGGCGCCGCCGCUGUUUUGGUUGCCGGAGUCACUCCGGCGCCGGCCGCUGACGUGGCUGGCCUGGGGGCCACCCCUGAGCCACUGCCAGUGGGCCCCGCAGGUCCCAGUUGACUGGGUUGACCCAGUCAACUGCUGACCAGGCCGCCCAGUGCCACUGACAUGCGGGCCCUACCGCCUAUUUUAAUUAAUUAAAAUGUUUUAAUAAUUAAAACCUAAUUAGUUACUAAUUAGAGACUGACAUGUGGGCCCCAGUAGCUAAUUAGCCUCAGAUUAGUUUAAUCUAGACUUUGUUAAUUACAGUGGCUGACAUGUGGGCGCCACCUGUCUGGUUUGACUGGUAAGCCGAUCUGUUGACCUGCUGACAUCAGCAUUGCAUCAUGCUGAUGUCAUAUUUCCAUUUUCUGUUAUUUUUUAAAUAAUUCCAGAAAAUGGUUUAAUCUUUGAAAAUUCAUAGAAAUUAAACCGUAGCUCGAAUGAAAAAUUGUUCUACAUGAAAGUUGCUUAGAACGACGAGACGAAUCUGAUCACGUGGUCCGUUCGCCCGCCACACGUCUCUAGCAUAGCAAUCGUUGAACUUUUACCCUCCGGUUCAUCUGUCUGACAAACAUCAGGAACCGGGAAUACUUUCCCGGAUGUUUCCCCCUUCACCAGUAUCGCCUAGCGCUGCGUUAGAUCACGUCUAGCUCUGUCUGUUGUCCUGUUAUGCACUUGCCUGCUAUGUAUUUACUGUUUCUUCCCCCUCUUCUCUCCGGUAGACCCCGAGACUAAUGCUGAUGUCCUUGUGAUUGACUACGUCGACGACGACACUUCUUCUUGUCUGAGCAACCAGGCAAGCCCCCCCUUUGAUUAUCCCGAUAUCGCCCAUUCUAUACUCUCAUGCUUGCAUUAGAUUUUGCUACUAUUAUUGUUUGCUCCUAUUGUGAUGCAUAGCCUGCUUUUGUACCUGCUAUUGUUACGUACCUGCUUAUCCCAAACUGCUUAGUAUAGGUUGGAUAGUGAUCCAUCAGUGACCCCCAGUACUUGUCCUUGUUGCCCCUGCUUCAUCAUCGAUGACUCGAUCAGCGUGAACGACCAGAGCCCGACACCUCACAUCACAUCACGCCCCUUUUGUUGCUUGACUUUGCAGAGCUACUAUCGAGUGCCGAGGGUGAUCCCUCAUAAUGCACUCCUGAUGAUAAUUCUGUAGUGUAUCUAUUCGGUCGUGGUCAUCAAGGGUGAUUUCCUCCUUAACCAUUCCCGAUACGGCUCUGUCAUUCAACACCUCAAGUGUGAACCUCGAGGGUGGUCCCUCUUACGUUCACCUUGAUGAUUACAUUGAGUGGAAUCCUCCGUGGGUGAUUCCUUGGGUUUUCCCCUUGAUGUUUGGACACAUGGUUACCUUGACUUUACUUGAGACCUUGGUGAAAGUCAGGCGGGCCCGGAGAGCACCCGCAAGAUGGUUACGUGGCACGGCCGGGCAUUCUAGGCCCUUGUCGUGAGUCCACGAGAUGGGGCGACAGGGUCACUUUCGAUCGUGAGUCUCUGCUCGUCUCCGCAAGCUAAUAAUACACUAUGGUUUGGGUAUUUGUUCUGAGUUGGCCUCUGGCCUUUACGCACCAACCACCAUGCGAGAAUAGUUAUGGGCCUCAGCGUCGUGGUAUCAGCCGAAGCUUUGUCAGAUGUCCAGUUCAGCAGUGCGGCACGGCUGGCCGGCACCAUCCAUGUAGAGGUGGAGCCUGGACCCGCCCUGUACGCAACGAUCCGGAGUGCAACGGGCGAUGGGCCCAGACCCCGGAGUGCUUAGGAUGUAGACCGGCGAGGACCUCUCUACUGAGCCUAGGUAGGGCUUCGACGUGUUGAUCUUCUGAGGCCGGGCAUUGACCCUAGAAAGGUGUGUCCGGCCAACGUGAUCGAGCGUGUUGGCAAACGUGGUGCACCCCUGCAGGGAAGAUUAUCUAUUAAUAGCCGUGUCCACGGUAACGGACGUUCAGACUUAUAUCCUGAUCUUAUACAACUACAAAUGGAUACUUGAGAUAUGUGGCUCCGGGAUUGCUUUCUCGCAGGGAGUCGAGGAAGGAUCUUUGGGCAUUAAUGUUACAACAUGCUUGUUAAAUAUUAAACUGCUAUUCUUUACUCUUCUACAUGUUGCAAGAUGUUCGGAGGUGCGUGAAGAUGCUAGUCUUUGAUAGGCUAGGCCUUCCCCCUUCUAUUCUAGCAUUCUGCAGUUCAGUCCACAGAUACAACCCUUCCAUUUGAUACCAAUGCAUACUUAGUAUUGAUCUGAUGCUUGCGAGUACUUUGGAUGAGUACUCACGGUUGCUUUGCUACCCUUUUGCUCCCUUCUUUCUUCUUUCCGGUUGAUGCAACCAGAUGGUGGAUCCUUGGAGCUAUAUGCCACCGCUGAUGGAUGCUACUACGUGAAGAUCGCCGAUGACCAGGAGUUAGUUUAGGAGGUCCUAGGCAGGAGGCCUUGCCUCUUCGAUCAUUGUUGCUUUUGUGCUAGCCUUCUUAAGGCAUCCUUGUUUAACUUAUGUCUGUACUAAGAUAUUAUUGCUUCCGCUGACUCUUCUGUAUCGAGCUAUGUAUUCGAGCCUUCGAGGCCCCUGGCUUGUAAUAUGAAGCUUGUAUUAUUUUUGAUUUGUGUCUAGAGUUGUGUUGUGAUAUCUUCCUGUGAGUCCCUGAUCUUGAUCGUACACCUUUGCGUGUAUGAUUAGUGUACGAUUGAAUCGGGGGCGUCACAGCAGGCCAUACCCUCGUUGGCGAUGGAGCGGAACACAGGUCUUACCUCUGAGGAAGCCUAUGACUCCGGACCCCCGGAUUCAUAUCCGGAUGUAGGUUCCAGUCUGCGCGCCCCCAAGCCCGCCGAUCCUGGUUGGGCUCCGGUGAUGGAGUUCACCGCGGCAGACGUCUUUCAGCACUCUCCCUUUGGUGACAUGCUAGACUUAUUGAAGUCUCUCUCCUUGUCAGGAGACUACGGGCCGAACUAUGUCCGGCUCGAGUGGGAAGCAGACAACGACGGAAUUCGUUGCCCACCCACCACCCACUUCAUUGCCACGAUCGACGAUCUAAGCGAUGUGCUUGACUUUGACUCCGAAGACAUCAACGGUAUGGACGACGAUGUAGGAGAAUUACAGGAGCCACCGAAGGAAACUAAUGGCGACGAGGCAACGGAGGACAACCCCUCGGGAAGAAAAUCAAAGAAUGGGCGUCGUCGGCGCCGCUCCAAGCCCCGCCAUAGCAACACCGGCCCCGGAGACAAAAAUAAUCCGGAUGGCGCCGAAGAAGAAUAUGACCCUGACCAGCCCGCCUUCGAGCAGGCCGAACAGGAAGAUGAGCUGGUCAGCCCAGAAGAACAGGCGACAGACACAUACCCGGAGGAGGACAACUACAUGCCCCGCUCCAAAGACGAGAUCAGCCUCGGCGACGACGAAUUCGGCGUGCCUGAGGAUCCUGUGGAGCAGGAGUGCUUCAAGCGUAGGCUUAUAUCCACUGCAAGGAGCCUGAAGAAGAAGCAGCAGCAACUCCAAGUUGAUCAAGACCUGCUCACAGAUAGAUGGACUGAAGUCCUGGCAGCCGAGGAAUAUGGACUCGAAUGCCAAACGGCUGACCGGCCACCCCGUGGCCGGGAUAAAAUGGGAUAUCAGCCCGGAUACCAGCCCACACCCCCACGCCAAUACACUACGGCUCGGGGCAACAGGCAAGACCUGCAAGAUAUUCUGGAAAAUAAAGCAGGACAACGAAGAUCGAUCUACGGAUCGCGGGGGCGCGCCCCAGCGUGCGACGAUGACCGUCGCGCCGGAUACAUCAUCAACAAGUCCGGCCGGGCCGAACACAGCAACCCAGACCAAUCCGACCUGUGUAGCCACAUAGCCUGGCACAGAGGCGCCGCACACCCCCUCUGCUUCACUGGCGAAGUAAUGGAUCAUGAAUUCCCAGAAGGGUUCAAACCCGUAAACAUCGAAUCAUUCAAUGGCACAACAGACCCCACAGUAUGGAUCAAAGAUUUCCUUCUCCACAUUCACAUGGCCCACGGAGAUGAUCUAAAUGCCAUCAAGUAUCUUCCCCUUAGGCUCAAAGGACCAGCCCAACACUGGUUAAACAACCUGCCAGCAAAUUCCAUUGGCAGUUGGGAAAACCUGGAAGACGCAUUCCUUGAUAUCUUCCAGGGCACAUAUGUGCGACCACCAGACACUGAUGACCUGAGCCACAUUACUCAACAACCCGGAGAGUCAGCCCGGAAAUUCUGGACUCGGUUCCUUACUAAAAAGAACCAGAUAGUCGACUGUCCGGACGCCGAAGCCCUAGCGGCUUUCAAGCAUAAUAUCCGUGACGAGUGGCUCGCUCGACACCUCGGCCAGGAAAAACCCAAGUCUAUGGCAGCUCUCACAACCCUAAUGAUCCGCUUUUGCGCAGGUGAGGAUAGCUGGCUGGCUCACAGCGGCACCACGCCACAUUCCGGCACUUCGGACGGCCGCGAUGCUAACGGCAAGCCACGGCGUAACUGGCAUAAGAGACGGAGCAACGGCGACAGCAUUGAAGACACAGCGGUCAACGCCGGAUUCAGCGGAUCUAAGUCCGGUCAGCGGAAAAAGGCGUUCAAAAGAAAAAAUCAGGGACCGUCCAGCCUGGACCGCAUACUAGAGCGCUCGUGCCAAAUUCAUGGCACCCCGGAUAAGCCAGCCAACCACACCAAUAGAGACUGCUGGGUGUUCAAACAGGCCGGUAAGAUAAAUGCCAAAAACAAGGACAAGGGGCUGCACAGCGACGAUGACGAAGAGCCCCGGCGUCCGAAUACGGGGGGACAAAAGAAAUUUCCCCCCGGGUGAAAACGGUCGACAUGAUCUACGCCACCCACAUCCCCAAGCAGGAAUGGAAGCAGGUACUACGGGACGUCUAUGCGAUGGAGCCAGUCGCCCCCAAGUUCAACCCAUGCUCAGCUUGUCCGAUCAUCUUUGACCGUAGGGACCACCCUACUAGCAUCCGUCAUGGCGGCUCAGCCGCAUUGGUCUUAGACCCAAUCAUCGACGGAUUCCACCUCACGCGUGUCCUUAUGGACGGUGGCAGCAGCCUGAACCUGCUUUAUCAGGACAGAGUGCGCAAGAUGGGCAUUGAUCCUUCAAGGUUCAAGCCCACCAAAACUACCUUUAAAGGUGUAAUUCCUGGAGUAGAAGCCCCCUGCAUGAGCUCUAUAACACUGGAAGUGGUCUUCGGAUCCCUGGAUAACUUCAGGAGCGAAGAGCUAAUCUUCGACAUCGUCCCUUUCCGCAGUGGCUACCACGCACUGCUCGGAUGAACCGCAUUCGCUAGAUUCAAUGCGGUACCACAUUAUGCAUACCUCAAGCUCAAGAUGCCAGGACCGCGCGGGGUCAUCACUGUCAAUGGAAAUGUGGACGGCAGCCCUUGCGGCAGAAGUACAAUGCGGCCUACUCCGACAAACCAAUCCGGCGACAACCUCGAGCACAGUCAAGCGAGUCCGGAGUGCCCCGCAACAGGAUCAUCAGGAAUGCCAAGAGCGUGAUUAGCAGUCUGGCCUCUGCUCAAGCCCCUUCAAAGUGGCAUUCGUGCCACGCGUACACAAUUACGCACUCGAGAUACCAUGGGCAUAGGCGGAGGCGCAUCAACGACUCGGUCAAUAGUGCGGGUAACCGCCAACUACCUUUACACUCUUUCCCUCUUACAUUUCAGGACACCGCGUUAGUGCAGCAUCCUCAGAAGAGCCGAAUUGUCGGACUUAUAUGGGAGAGACAUCCAAGGAGGCAGCAGAUGUUGUGCACAGAAGGAAAUACCCAGGUGGAAUCUAUUUACGAUCAUUAUACCUGCUUUAUCUAUCUGCUCACAGCCCGCCCUUGGAUAGGACAUGUCAAAUAGUCCUAUUUUAUCUCUUCUUAAUGCAUCCAUUGUAAACAUACGCUUAAACGUAUUUUUCAUCAACGGGAGAUUAUAUAUAGCGUCAGCUUAUUAUACUUAUUUGAGCAUUUUCUUCUUUUAUAAAUGUUUAUUUGGUAUUGCAUCCAUACACCUUGGUACGGUCAGUUUGCUAGGGGCUUCUCAUGGCGCCCCAUAAUAUGGCAAACAAAGUCCGAACACUUUCAACAGUGCGGCACCCCGAACUUAUAGCAUUAUAUGCAUCAGCUCCGAAUCAUGUCUUGGGUCUACAGUUGGAAUAGCCCGGCUCCCUUGUUUUGGUGCCUUAUGUUCCGUUAUAUCGGCUAAGGUAGCGCAGGGAGAACUACUGCGAUUGUGUCCUGGUUCUUCCGGACGAGCACCUCAGUAGAGAAAGCCGAAAACUGACCGGCAUGAUGUGGCGAGAGUUGUUCGUUGUUCGAGAGGUACUAAAAUCCUUAAGAUUUUCCGCUUUAGGCGAUAUAUCGGCUUUGUCUGAUCUAGGCGUGUAUAGCGCCCCGGUCCGGCCUUCCGGAUUCUAGGGGCUUCGCCGAAAUUUAAAAUUGUAGACUUCUAUGGCUAAGUGAAAGUUAUAAAGCCGCAUAGUCUGAUUGCCUUGUUCGCUGCGCCGGACACCUCCUUAAGGGACCAAACAUUUGGAUAAAGAGUGUCCGGGUUUUCCACGAACACCCCAGUACUAGUUACGUGGGGGAGGAAGCCGACGACUGGCCUACUUUCAGAAUUUUAUAAACAGCCGCACAGAAGGUAAUAUUUUAAAUAACAAAAGCGCUACAUAGCGCAAGUAACUUCGUCCUUAAAACACAAACAUGACAGAAGUGAAUUCAUUCAAAAAUGGUGUCCUUGGUACAUUCGUCAGCCACGAGACAAGCACCCUUCAUAACGCCAUCAUAGUACAUCUCGGGAUGGCGAUGCGCCUUGCCCUUCGGUGGCCCGUCCUUGACUAGCUUCUCCGCAUCCAGUUUGCCCCAAUGCACCUUGACGCGUGCCAAGGCCCGGCGGGCACCUUCGAUACAAACGGAGCGCUUGAUCACCUCCAGCCGCGGGCAGGCAUCCACCAUCCGCUUGAUCAGGCCAAAGUAGCUACUGGGCAUGAGCUCACCAGGCCACAUCCGGACUAUGAACCCUUUCAUAGCCAGCUCGGCCGCCCUGUGGAGUUCGACCAACUGCUUCAGUUGGUCACUCAGAGGCAUCGGAUGUUCGGCCCCAUCAUACUGGGACCAGAACAGCUUCUCCGUUGAGCUUCCCUCUUGGGCACGGUAGAACUCCGCAGCGUCUGACACGCUGCGUGGGAGAUCUGCAAAUGCCCCUGGAGAGCUUUGAAUUCGAGUAAGUAAAAGAAACGCCUCCUCCACAUGUUUGCUUUGCAUAAAGAACUUCUUACCCGCUGCAAUCUUUUUGGCCUCUUGGAUCUCCUGCUGUGCUUUCUCGGCCCCGGCCUUGGCGUCUUUUAAAUUUACAAGGGCCUUCGCAAGCUCGGCCUCUUUCACCUUCAGAUCAUGCUCCACGGACUCGCAUUUCUUGCCGAGGUCCUGAAGCUCUUGUUGUACCUCACCUAACCUAGCGCUUUGCUUUUUGCGCUCCUUACACUCCGAGGCCGCCUUGUCUUCGGCCUCGGACAGCGCCUUCUUCAGGGACGCCACUUGGCGGUGGCCCCUGUUACACAGUCACGACGCUUAGGCGUUAGACUCACCAAUUCUGAGUAUCCUCAAAUGCAUAAGAGAGGGAAUCACUUACCCUUGUUCUCUUCGAGCUGCCUCUUCGUGAGGUCGAGCUCUCCCUGCGCCUGCUCUAGGUCCCGUUUCAGUUCGGCAACCUCGGCAGUACGGGCAGCAGCAGCAAGCAGCACAGCCUGCUUAUUCACAACAAUACUUAUUAUUAGGCUCCUGCAGAUUAUAUUUGACCCUCCGUUUGGCUUUUCUUUCCGAACACCAAAUAGAGUAUCAGUGGCUACUACCUAUCGGGUGGUAAUUUUGCACAUAUUUAUUACUUACCUCAAAGCCUGUCAGGAGGCUGGUGCAAGCUUCGGUUAGUCCGCUCUUGGCGGACAAAACCUUCCAAAUCAUCGUACUCAUGAGAGUACGGUGCUCUUCAUCCAUGGAAGCGCCGCGGAGCGCUUCCAGCAGAAAGUCCGGCGCCACAUGCGCAACGGAAGUCCGCGACACAGACGGCUCGCCCUCCCUAAUGAGGGGUCACCCGCCUGAGUCCGGAACCAUCAAAGGUUCCGGAAUUGUGUUCGGCUGAGAGCCUGGCUGGCCAUGGCUCUCAUCGACACGAUCCGCGGGGAUCUUGAACCCCGCGUGUCCGACAUCUGGAAUCCCAUCGUGGGGCGUCUCCAGAGUCACCUCCCCCUGCUCUGGGAACCUUUGGGACAACACCUCCAUGUCGUCCGCAGGUUGAGGGGUAGUGGCUGUCGGAAGCGAAUUUAUCUCCGAAUCGCUCAGGGACCCGGAGGAAGAUACCUCGGGGUGAUCCCUGGCCGGACUGCAUAUAUGUUCGGCAUUAUAAGUAUAAAAACUAUGAAGUGAAACCAUGAUAGAAUGCGGACACUUACGAUCGCACUAGGGGCUUCCCCCUAGGCAGCCACCCCUCCUCACUGUGAGCGGCCGUGGCGGAAUAGUCCGGAAGGGGCACCUUCCCCUUCUUGGACACCCCAGCCUCCCCCUCCGGGGUGGCUUUUCUCUUCUUCCCCUCCCCAGUGUGGGGAGGUGGAAUUUCUUCUUGGUUCCCCCCGCCUCUGCGGGAGGAAUCCGUCUCGUCGUCAUCAGACGACAAGGGUAUGAUGGCCUUGCGUCGGGGGCCUUUUCCGACCCCCUGGUCCGCCUCCCCGGACCCCUCAUCCUUUCCGGAUGGGGCAUCUUCUUCUUCCUCCUCCUCCCCUUCGUGGGAGGAGUCCGCCUCGUCGUCUUCGGACGAGGCUUCUGGCACAACCUUACGCCGGAGACCCUUUUGGGUCCCCGGAGCCUUCUUCUCGGCCUUCUUCUCCGGCACCUUGUACGGUGCCGGGACCAGCAUCUCCAUCAGGAGAGCAUCCGCUGGGCCUUCUGACAGCGGAGCCGGACAGUAGACCUGCUCCGCUGUCUCCACAUAGUCCUGAAGCAAAUAUGCCCAACUACUUAAGGUACUCCCAUGAAUAUAUUGGGAAGAACUGGGUCAGGUGUCAGUCUGAGAACUCACCGGCCUAGGAGCCCGCGCGGCGUAAAGCCCGCGGUCCUCGGAUGUGGGAGGAGGUACUUCGGAGGCCUUGAACAGCACCUUCCAUGCGCCUUUGUGCGUCAUGUCGUAGAGCCUCCGGAGCGUCUGGUGCUCGGUUGGGACGAACUCCCACAGAUUGACUGCCCGCCUCUGGCAUGGUAGGAUCCGGCGAACGAGCAUGACCUGGACCACGUUGACAAGCUUGAUGUUCUUGUCCUUCAUGCUUUUGAUGCAUGUCUGGAGUCUGGCCAGCUCCGUGGAAUCGCCCCAGGACAGACCCUUCUUCUCCCAGGAGGUGAGCUGCAUGGGGGCUCCGGAUCGGAACUCGGGGGCCGCCGCCCAGUUGGCGCCGCGCGGCUCGGUGAUGUAGAACUGCCCCGAUUGCCAUCCUUUUACGGUCUCCGCAAAGGAGCCGUCGAGCCAUGUGACAUUGGGCAUUCUUCCCACCAUGGCCCCUCCGCACUCUGCUUGUUGGCUGCUCACAACAUUCGGCUUCACGCAGACGGUUUGCAGCCAUAGGCCGAAGUGAGGCCGGAUGCGGAGGAAGGCCUUGCAUACGACGAUGAACGCCGAGAUGUUGAGGACGAAGUUCGGGGUUAGAUCAUGGAAAUCUAUCCCGUAGUAGAACAUGAGCCCGCGGACGAAGAGAUGGAGUGGAAAUCCCAGUCCACGGACGAAGUGGGCGACGAAUAUGACCCUCUCAUGGGGUCCUGGGGUCGGAAUGACCUGCCCGGCGUCUGGUAGACGGUGCGCUAUGUCCACGGCCAAGUAUCCGGACGCCCACUGUGUGGAGAAGACUUGGGCUUGGGCGCUGGAGCUCGAGGGGGCAAGAGUGGGCAAAGGAGGAAGAAGGCCUGGGUGAAAAUGGGGAAAUCUUAUCCCUUUAUAGAGGCACCGAAAGCGGUGCGCCUCCCCACUUGCCCGUUGAGAAUCGCUUGUUUCCCAAGCGCCACGAUUAAUGGCGUGCUGAGAUUACCCAUACCCGCAUUGAUGAGAAUCCGUGAUAAGGGGACACGAUCUCUGCUUCGACAAGACGUGUCAAAGAAACCGCCUCGUAAUAUGCGCUGUAGCUGGUUGGGGGAAAACGGAUCGAAUAAUGAUCUGACCGUAAUAAAGUGUCACAUCAUUAGAAGAAGUUGUCAGCAGAUUGCAUUUGUGAAAUAUUAUUCUCUCUACGGUGGCACAUGAAGAUCAUCUUACAGAUCCAGACACGGUUUAAGUGUUCGAUGAUUACUUUGGAGUAUUCGGAGGAGGAACCCGCCUUGCAAUGCCGAAGACAAUACUGCGCACCGGACUCAUCGUCAUUGAAGCCUGGUUCAGGGGCUACUGAGGGAGUCUUGGAUUAGGGGGUAUCCGGACAGCCGGACUGUGUACAACGUCCGGACUAUUGAAGCAUGAAGAUACAAGACUCAAGACUUCGGCCCGUGUCCGGAUGGGACUCUCCUUUGCGUGGAAGGCAAGCUUGGUGAUCCGGAUAUUAUAUUUCCUUCCUUGUAACCGACUCCAUGUAAACCCUAGCCCUCUUCGGUGUCUAUAUAAACCAGAGAGGUUGGUCCUUAGAAGUCCGAUCACAAUUACAAUCAUACCAUCAUAGGCUAGCUCUUAGGGUUUAGCCUCUACGAUCUCGUGGUAGAUCUACUCUUGUACUACCCAUAUCAUCAAUAUUAAUCAAGCAGGAAGUAGGGUUUUAUCUCUAUCGAGAGGGCCCGAACCUGGGUAAACAUCUGUGUCCCUUGCUUCCUGUUACCAUCAGCCUUGACGCACAGAUCGGGACCCCCUACCCGAGCUCCUAGUUAGUGGAUACCUCUCCUCCCAAGCUAGGCACAUCAACACCCUGUCCAAUUUUUCAAAAGUAGGGUCUUCCUGAUUAUUAGCCCAAGUGUAUUUCCUCCCAUUCAUAGGCAAUUCCCUAAGCCCUGCUUGUUCAAUAAUAGCAUUAAACAAAAAGGGCCAUUGUUCAUUAAGCAUAGGCUUGUUUUUCUCCUUUCCAUUUUAAUAAUGUUAAAAUCUCCCCCAACCAAGCAAGGUAAGGGAUUAUCAUGGUACAGUCUUGCCAAUUCAGCCAGAAAGUUGGCUUUCCCUUCCUUCUGUGCAUCCCCAUAGACAGUUAUCAGAUUCCAGUGCAUUUUGAUAUUUUUAUCAAACACUAACAUUCUCAAAAAAUAUUGUCCUUUUUCAAUGGCCUCAAUAUCAAACACUUCUUUAUUAAUUCCCACCAGAAUCCCUCCAGACAUGCCUUUAGGUGGGUUCCAGCUCCAUUGAUAAAUUUUUUUCCCCGCAUAAGUUGUGGAGCUCAUUUUUUGUGAAGUCUUGCUUUAUGGUCUCAGAGAUCCCAAUAAAGUCUAGCUUCUGAUCUAGAAUCAUUUCUCUAAUGUAUCUUUUCUUGUGAUCCUGUCCUAUACCCCUUACAUUCCAGAAAAAUCCUCUCAUCUUUGUUGACUUUAGUCCUAAUUAAGAAUCAGAAAAAGCUCAACUAAGUCUCCUUCCUUUUUUUCUUCUUUGAAGGACCCCAAUCCCCACUGAUUGCUUCACACAGUCAAGUGCUGGUGAGCUUUUUUUGCCACUUUUUCUCCCUGAGAGCAUCCCUCUCAGUUUCUUAAUCUGUUGUUCCUCAAUAUCCACAUCAGAAUGUUCAUAAUCUGAACAGAGUUCCUCUAAGUUUAUAUCUCCAGUAUUAAUAUAUACUGGGACAUCUUUUUUAUUAUCUCCUUCCUCCUUACACUCCUCUUCACCUUUACCAUUUUUUUCUCUUUUAAUAUUUUGAAAAUAUAGCUCUCUUCUAGCCAACUCCAUCUUAUUAAUGAUCUCAAUAUUUUUAUCAAUCAUCUCUAUUGAGCAACCCAAAUCAAUCCCCACCAAAGAACUAAUAUGCAAUAAAGAAGCAUCAGCAAUUACCAAAUUAGGGUUCUUACCAUAGUUAUCUCUCUCCUCUGCUCUGCUUUUUGCCAUAUCUUCAAUUUUCUUAUCCUCAUUUUCUUUAUUUCUGAGACUUCUCUUGAUUUCAACAUCUUUUUCCUCCCCCUCCUUGUCCAGGAUCUCACUCCCAUAUAUCUCAGCCAAUUUCUCUCCCAAAGUCCCAAUAGAUUCUUGACUAGCAUUCUAAUCAGUGGGCUCAUUAUACUUCCCAGAAUCAGUCUCUUCUUUUUUCUGCUGAGUUCCUUUCUCAUAAUCUUCAAGGUCCAUGUUUGCUAAUUCCAUUUCAUAUUCCUCUCUAUUGGCAGCCUCUUGUGCCAACUUCUGAAUUUCUUCUUGUUGUUUUCUACUUACCUCCUGCAGCUCCAUCUGAAAAUUCUCCAGCUCUUUGAUUCUUUUCUCACUUUUUGCCCAGAGUGCAUUGUUUCUGACUUUGUCUUCCUCCAGGGUUUUUAUUUUACUGGGCAUGAUUUCACUUUCUUUUUGCCAUUUUCUUCUCUCUAGAGUCAUCUCACUUUGCCAUUGCAUCAUGUUUUCUUCCAUCUGUGAUCUCAUUUUCUCAAUUCUCCCAUCAAUCUCCUCACUCUGUUUCAGGGAUAAGCAUCCCAGAGAAACCCCUUUGUAAUCAGUGUCUUCCAAUUUGGUCCUCUUCCUGUUUUCUAUCUCUUCCUCUCCCACUUCUGAAAAAUUAUUGUUGUCAUUCUUUCUCUUCUAUUCCUUGUACCAGCCAAUUUCCACCACCUUCUCAGCUUCCACCCCAAUUCUAAACAUAAGGAGAUUAGGGGAAGUAAUCUCCACUUGAGAUGGUAUUUUAUCCACAUCCCUAAUCCCACAUUUUGCUAUGAUUUUCUCCUCACUAAUAGUAUCCAUAUCAAUCUCCAGGACAGGACCAACUGCAGCAGCAACCUCACAAAUGCCUAAGAAAUAUCUAAAACAAUCAGGAACCUUGGCCAGCUUGAUCCAUAUAUAUUGUGUGCAUUUUCCCAACAGCCUGAUGAUCUAGAGACCAAGGUUGAACUUUGAUUACCACCCCUGUCCCCAGCAGGUUGAAGUCAUUAAACUUGGCCAACUCCACCAGUUUUGCCUUAUUGGAAAAUCUCAUCAUGUAUCUAUUUUUCCCAAAUUCCCUCACUCUCCAUUGCCAUCCCCAAUCAAACAUUUCUCCCAAAGCUUUCACAAGCUCAGUCUCAUUGAUCCUCCCUUCUCUUAUGAUCACCACCCCCAAAGGAUUAGUGUGCUCAGCAACUAGGACAUCCUUAUAGCUCUGCACCAGUAGGGUCCCUAAUCCUUUAGCAGCAUAUCCUACAUAUUUAGAGACAGGCUUAACUUGUUUCAGCAAAUUGCAUUCUCUAGUAAUAUGAUUAUCUCUACCACAGAUCAAGCAAUGCCCCACCCUGCACUCUUUGGUGGUGUGUCUGGGAUCUUUACACUUACCACACACCUGUUUACUAAACCUAUCAAAGUUUUUCUUGCUCUCCUCAAAACCUUGUUGCCAGCUACUUCUACCUCCAUGUUUCUUCAUUUCCAGACCAGCCCCCUGUUCAGCCCCCUUGUCAACUCUUUGUUGCCCAUCAGGUCCUCUUUCCUCUUUCCUUUGGCUCUCUUUCCCAAGCAAGUUCCCAGCCUGAUUUCCAAGCAUUCCUUCAAUCUGAUUCUUCUCACUAUUUUCAUCCCCUGCACCAACUGAGAAAGUAAAGAAGUGAGCAACAGUUGCUGCUGAUGUUGAUCUGGCUGAGUUAUCUGAUCCUUGCUCCUGUCUUUCCCCAUCACAGCACCUCCUGCAUCUCCACUGGCCAUCCUUGCGGUCUCUUCCCCUUCAUCCUUUUUUCCUGUCUUAGCUUGCCACACCAAAUUCUCUCCGUUCCUCUCAGAUCUAGGGUCCUCUUCUUCAGAAUCCCUGCCCACUCCAUUCCCAGCAUCAAAUCGACCAUCUCCUCUCCCAAAACCACCAGAUCCCCCUCGGAAGGCAUGCCUGCCUCCUGUCCAUCCCCCUCCCCUGUCAGCAUUGUUGAACCUCCCUCCUAUGUGUCCAUUCCCUCCCCCUCGGUUGAAUCUAUGAGCUCCAAAUCCUCUACCCAAAUUUCCUGACAUUAUUUCUUCUUGUGGCGGCGAGGGGAGGAGAGGUGGAAACCCUAAAAGAUGGGAUUGCUUCCCCACUCCUCUCCACUCCCUCUUUUAUACCAACCAGGGCUCUGUCCCCAUUUUGGGUUGGGCUGGGCUCCAAACCCGCAGGCCUCCAACACUGCAGGCCCACAUCCACAUCCACGUUUAAAUCUCUCCCAACCGAGCCCCCAAAAAUGAUCAGGGGUCUCACCUUUUCCUCAGGACCAAAUCCCCCAAACUUUCCCUCUUCUGAAACCAGAUAUGCUGCAAUUGGGGUUUUUUGCAUUUCAAUUUUCCCAAAAUCCAAAUCCUCACCCCCAAAUAAAGGAGUUAUGGGAUGUACAUUGUUUUUUUCCAUAUGCUUUUUGCACAAUCCUAGCAUCUACACCAAUACACUGAUUAUUAUUACUCCACCUCAUAUCCUUAUUCUUAUCCCACAUUCCCUCAUGUUCUGAAUUAGUACCAACAGAAGAAAUCAUACCCAAAUCCUCACUCUUCUGAGAUUUUGGUCCUUUUCGGACUAUUUUUCUAUUACCAAGCCUAAAUCCCCCAAGUAUUUUCCCAUUACUGGCAUCAUCUACCUCAAUUGGGGCAGUAGAUACCAAGUAUUUAGCAGCUUUAACCAUACCUGAACUGGAGAUGAGGGCCUCCCCCUCCCCCUCCUCCUCGGAGCCCUCACCGGCCAGCAACCAGAAGUGAUUGUCAGCCGGCGAGCGCCCUACUGGCGGCGGGAGAGAGCGAGGAGGCGAGGCGAGCGCCUCCGGAAGCGUGGGGAAUGGUGAGGGAGUGAGGUCGGGGUCGGAGGCACCCUGGCCCUCCGCCGCGGCGGCACCACCGCCUCCUCCUCCAUCUCCUCGAUCUUCGCGUCCUCCUCGGUCUCGAUUGGUAGCCACCUGGAUCCGGGAGCAGGAAUCCCCAUCACCGCCGCCUGCGGUGGCGCCUGCUGCGCCGGAGGCGGUGCCCUCGGCUGGAUCAGGCGGUAGCAGAGGGAGCGGAACACCUUCCACUUCUCCCUCUGCUCCGAGACCAGCGAUUCCGCCUCGAGCAUCGCCCAUAGGAUCACCCCCAUCGCCGGCUGGCGGUCGUAGUUGGGGAAGCAUAUGAGGAUCUCAUCUCCGUGCAGCUUGUCCCUCACCAUCUCCGACGCGUCGUUGAGAGAUUUCGCCGUCGGGAACCACCGGUCGAUCUCCUUCAAUCUCCCCAUCAGGAUCUCGUCGCCGUCGGACAGCGCCCACAUUUGCUGCUCGCGCGUCGUCAUCGAGCCCUAGCUGUCGCGGCGGCGAGGGGCGGUGGUUCUCACGGAUGAGAUUUGUGCGGUGUGGGGAGGGAGAGAGCCGAGGCGACGGCCUAAUAACCCCACUCUCGGCCCCCCGCUCGCCAUUACUCACCUCGAAAUCCACCCCGCGUCGCCCCACCGGUCAGCCGCCGCAAUUUCCGCGACGUGGCACGGGAACACCACCUCCUGGCCCACCCGCCACGCCGCGCCGUCCGCCCCUCUGCAUGCAUCCACCACCACCCCCUCGUCGUCGAGGUGCUCCACCCGCUGCCCUCGCCGGCGAACGUGGCCAUGGUGGGGCACCGGCAGCGCCGUGCGGAAAUCCGGCACGAACACGCACGGGAGACGUGACUCACACGGAAACGUGUCCAUCGUCCGCCUUCCGUAAUCUGGGGCUUGGGAUUUGGUGGGUGAAUUGCGUCCUGUAGGCAAGGAGGUCGCCGGACGAAGCGGCGGCGCGUGGGUGGAGGAUGCCUUGGGCGCUGGAGCAGAGUCGAUCCAUGGUUUCGUGGUGUAGUUGGUUAUCACGUCAGUCUAACACACUGAAGGUCUCCGGUUCGAACCCGGGCGAAGCCAUUAUUUUUUUCCCGUAUUUUCUUUUGCGCGUUCUUCUCUGAACUCUUUCAUGUCAGCCGAGCUUCUUGAGUAGUGUUUUACUGUUGUUAGUUCUCCGAACUCGUACCUCAGGACAGUCUGUUCAUUAUUUGGUCACCGGUGUAUGUAUCGUACCAUCUUCUUAGAGCAACUCAACGCAGUUUGGAAACAGUCUUUUCCUGUCCCAUCUUAUCCCAUUCCGUUGCUGAUACUUCUGUUGCAGAUUCAGACACACUUUGCGAGACCUAACUGAAGAAAAAAAAAUGAUUCAGACACAUUUUGCAAAACCUAAUUGGAGAGAAGUGUUCUCUCAUUCGCAAGAACUCUCAAUAUAGGUGACUACAUUCGCUAAACACCUUGUCGUGGCCAAUUUAUACAUACACCAGCUAGAGUUCAAGGUUCUUGCUGAUACAAUUGGAUACAAUUUGUGGACAGAGGUAGGAAGAAGAGGGGAAAGGAUACAGAGAGAGGAACUAGUUCUGAGUUCUGUCUCUUUUCCCCCUUGUUCUACUAUCUGAAUCUCUUCAUAUAGCUGAGCUGCUUGCCGUGCCUUGAAUCCCCUCCUUGCGCUGGGCCUCGAACACUCGAGCCAAUCUCCUUGGGCCUCCGUCCUGGGCUGGGCCGUGCCGUGACAAUGGCGGCUAGACCACAAAAUACCAAAUGCCUAUCAUGGCCGUUGGGGAGCGGUGGCACGCCAGAGCAGCACACCGUGCCUUACAGUUGCAUCAGUUUUUUCUACGCUUUGGCAUCCUGAUGUCUCCUAUUCUGAAGUUCUCUACAUUUCUAAAUGUGCAUACAUAUGCAUGUAUGUCGCUACUUGCUAGCUAGCCUGCACUAUCUUCCUCCAUUUCUCUAGCUUGUUUCUGCUAACAAGGCACACGGUUUUAUAGGAGAGAAGACUAGUGAAACACUUCAAACAAAGAGCGAGCUUUCUCCAUCAAUCGCAAAGAUCCAAAAAUUGAUUAGCGUGUCCUAUGCAUUGUGGUUGGUCGAGAGCCUUUAUCUACAUUGAAACCGUUCUAGGACAUAUUAUUUUCUGGAAGAUAUUCAUAAAUAAAUGAUUGUCCACAUAGCUAGAGGCCUUUUCAUUCAUAUGCGAUGCUUUUGCGCAGUCCUUCAGUGGUCAUUUUAAAAUUUGGCGAGCCAGCUCAACUCAUUAUUUUCCAUGUUCAUACUGUAAUAAAUUAAAUGAUUAGCACUAUUCCCAAAGAAGAACUAACUAGCACUCGGAUGGAAAGCAAUGUAUGGAACAUGUAUAUGUCAUCAUGGGUACAUAGAUGAUCAAAUAAAUGACCAUAUGUUUGUCUCCUUGCUAAAAAAGACUACGAAUUAAUUCAAACAUUAGUUGGGUAAUGUUCUAAUUUUUGGGACAUUAGACAAUAAAAAAUAGCUGAUCAUUGUAGGCAUAAAAUUCCCAUCUGCUUGUCUUAUUAUAGAAUUUUGGCAUAUUGGACCACUGCGAAAACUACCAGGCAUUAGGCCUGACAGCCGACACAUGGCACUUGUCGCCAGAGCUGGAGGUGGUAGGGUGUGCUGCCACAGCCCAUGGUAGCAAGCUGAGCAGAAAAGCUCCCAGCACCGAUGGGGAAUGGAAAACGGAAGAGGUGGGCCCUGCCGCCACAUGCUAUGGCGACACCCUUUGAUGUGGAGCCUGCCGCCAUGCACCGUGGCGGCAAUACUGUUGUGGUUGCUCAGGAUUGGACAGCAUGUUGCAGUCAUGUAGUUGUUGGAAGGAUUGGCGGUGUCUUUUGUGUCGAAAGUGCUCCAGCCGAUGACAUGGAUUGGUUCCGAUGCACGUUGAAUCUCUCUUCAUCAUUCCCGCUCAAUUUUUCUGCCAUCACACUAAUAAUCGGAACCUAUAAAAUAAGCCAUCGAGCCUCUCUUCAUCCUUCAUCGAGAAACCAUCCUUAGCCAUUUCUCUGUUUAUUCUGGUGACCCUUCCUGUCGUUUUACUCCAACGAUGUCUCAUUUUCUUUGGGCAGGUGAGACAAGAAUGGAGACUGUUAGUAGGGGAGGUGUGCAUUUUGAAGAACUAGGUAACGCCCGCACGUUGCUACGAAACUUUUAGCAAUGAACUUACUAAAAAUAAUUAGAAUAUACAAAAGUAUUACCACACCACAUUCAGCUUAGGAGUAAAUAAAAGGUUGAUGCAUGCAUUCAAAUUCAAUUAUUUAUUAUUGAAAAAAAUGAACCAUGUGAAGCAUUUUCAUGUGCUUGAUGAUGUGGAGGGCUUGCAUGUGGUGGAAAGGAAAACAAAUGGAAAGUUGAAUGAUUGCAUGACGCUUUUAUGAUGUGGAGGGUGUGUGGUGGAAAGUAGAAAGUUAAAGGUUUAUUGGUUGGCACUUGAUGAUGUAGAUGACCUCCAUGUGCAUUUAAAUGGAAGAUGGUAUAUGUGGGACUUAGUAGUGUUUUACCUACAUAGACACGCUGCUAGCUUGACCUACAUGACCUUUUUUGUGUGACCAUACAUGUUUUUUUAAUAUGUUAGAGAUCAUUUAUAGUUACAUGCCCAAUUUUAGGUAUUUUUUGGGUUUUCUCAUAUUUUUAGAGAAUUUAAUCUUAAUGCAUAGUUAACAGUAUGUAAUCUGGAUCACACACUGCUAGAUCUAGACUUAAUAGUGUUUCACUUCCUGUCACACGCUGCUAACUAGGUUUUUAGACAUGUUUUGUUACUAUCAGUAUGUCAUAUUGAAAUUAGUUCUAUCUACUUGAUCGAUAUACAACAUACAUAUAUGAAGAAGUACUAUUUGAAUAUCUAGAGUACAUGCAUAAUACAUAUUAAUUCAGAAGAACUAGUUUUUGGUAAGUUCAAGAAUUAAAAGCAGUACAUAGCUGCCCAUUGCUACUAUCGAUAAUGCCUAAACAGAAAACAUCACCAGUGCAAUGGAUGCCACCAGAAGAAAUCCUGCCCUGAUCCAACUGGGAGUACGAAACAAAUCAUCACAACAAUGAGGAGUGCAUAUCGAAGGUUCUUAAAGUUUUCUAUCUUGGCUCGAUCUUGUUUUUUGGGUGUGCAUAACAUUCAUUUGUAUUCGUUGCUCAUCCAUCUUGACUUGCUCCUCAUCCAUCUUUACUUGCUUCUCGUGUGCGUCUGUCAAAGCAUCAUACAACCGGGCUCUAAUUGAUCGAUUGUGGUACUCAACCAACCGGUUUAUGUAAACCAUUAAGAGAUCAACUCAUAUCCAUGUGUAGCAAGAGCAUGGUUCCUGCAUGAGUGUGUACGUAAUUAAUGUCAUGAAAACUAGAGUUACAAGUCAAAUAUCUAAUUAAUUAAUUAAUUAAGAGAAAAAGAUGUUGUUGUACGUACCUCGGUUCCCUUGAGUGCACACAUGAGGUAUUCUCGAGUUGGAUUUCUUUUUUAGUACGAGGUUUUGUUCACAACAGGGUAUUUGCAGCCUCAAAAGAGCACAUGUUGGCUGCCUGGAUGAAGGUGCGCUUCCCUGUCGGUGGUGGACGAAAUGCCACCGGAUCCGCCAGACGAUGUGCUGUCGCGAUGCGGUGAUACGCCCGACACAUCCGACAACAACGGAUAACUCAUGGUGAGCACCCGAUGUUGAGAGAAGAAAAGUACAAGGGGAAGAUCAAGGGGAAAUAGAUCUAUUAAUAAAAAUGUUGGGUUGGGUUAGAUGUACUGUAGUAGUGAUGUAUGUAGAUUUUGAGGAAAAAUAAGUAAAGAGGGGGAGGGGUGAAUAUCAGAAUGAAGGGGGGUAACGGAAGAAGAGAGAGUGGAAGGACAGAAGAAUGGGUGGUCAAUUAUUGAGUGCAAAACUUAUCAACGUGUAGGGCAAGCGAAUGUUGUUAGUUUGUAUCAAUUUGCAGCGUUCAGGCCAAGUAAACGCCGCUAGCUUAUAAGACCCACGUGUCUGUCAGUGCUCAGUUUGUCAGACAUCCAAAUAGCAGUGUUUCGUUAAACAGCAAACGCUGCUACAAAGAGUGACACUGGCGGCCCGCACGUUGUGGCACAAGGGCUAGUUUCAUGUACCAACCUUGCAGCGUUCCAUUUUUUCGAACGUCGCUACUGUCUUCACGUCUGCAGCAUUUGGUUUUUUCUCGGACACUGCUAAUAUUUAGUGAAGUUAUGAUUCUGUCCUAUUUUCCUGGAACACUUCUAGUAGUAAAAUCCUAUAAUGGUCGAUGAAAUAUGAACCGGAGAAUUAAUCUUGAUAUACCUUAGAACAUACGUUCUUGUUACCGCGAGAUGUAUUGGCCGCUAUGGAUCAUUUGAUGGGAAUGAAAUUUGGAACAGGCAUACUUGACGAUAACGAUAUGAAUCACUUGAAAAAUAAAGCGUAUUCAUUCAGUUGCGGAUCUGUUACAAGAUCAAAUCGGAUUGGCUCUUGGUCAUUUACAACAUGUAAAAGCUAGGGUUUUGGAAACUGCUCGACACCCGUAACGGGUGUGGCUAUCUCAUAUAUAUAAAGAGGUACACAAAGUGUACAAUACAAUAUACAAGAUAUAUACAGAAGCCACGUGUAAAUACUUUCUAACACCCUCCCUCAAUCUUAACUAUGUCCUGAGGUAGAGAUCAAGUUAAGAUUGCGCCUACAACCUACAAACUGAGGUUGUGGUAGAGGCUUCGUGAAGAUGUCAGCAAGUUGAUCUUUGGAGGAGAUGAACUUGAUAUGAAGGAGCUUCUGUGCAACACGUUCUCUCACAAAGUGAUAGUCAACUUCGAUGUGCUUGGUACGAGCAUGGAAAACUGGAUUAGAUGAAAGAUACGUCGCACCAAUGUUAUCACACCAAAGAACCGGUGGCCUCUCUUGAGAGACUCCCAACUCUCUCAAUAAAGACUGUACCCAAAUGAGUUCAGCCGUGGCAUUGGCAACCGCCUUGUACUCUGCUUCAGUGCUACUUCGAGAUACUGUGGCCUGCUUGCGCGCACUCCAGGCGAUCAAGUUGCGACCAAAGAAGACAGCAUAGCCCCCCGUUGAUCGCCGAUCAUCCAGGCUCCCAGCCCAAUCUGCAUCAGAGAACGCCGAGAGAGCACUCAAGGAGGUAGGCCGAAGAUGCAAGCCAUAGGAGACAGUAUGAGAGAGAUAGCGCAGUAUACGCUUCACAGCUGACCAGUGUGAUGUCCGAGGAGCAUGAAGAUACUGGCACACACGAUUUACCGCAUAGGAGAUAUCCGGCCGUGUGAUAGUCAAGUACUGCAAGGCACCAACAAUACUACGGUACUCUGUAGCAUCAUCUGAAGGAAGCAAGGCACCAUCCAAGGCUGAUAACCGAUCAGUCGCAGACAUAGGGGUAGUAGCAUGCUUGCACUGCAACAUACCAGCACGUCGGAGCAAGUCCAAGGAAUACUUAUGUUGAGUGAGAGUCAGGCCACUAGGGGACCGUGAAACCUCCAGACCAAGGAAGUAAUGAAGAGCACCCAGAUCCUUGACAGCAAAAUGACCACUCAGAGCAGACAACAGACGAUCAGCAGCAGUCACUGAGGAGCUGAUAAGAAUAAUGUCAUCAACAUAAACCAGGAGGUACAUAGUAACCUCAGGACGCUGGAACAUGAACAGAGACGUGUCAGCAGUGGACGGAGCAAAUCCAAGACAUCGAAGAACAGAGCCAAGUCGGGCAUGCCAUGCACGAGGAGCCUGCUUAAGUCCAUAAAGCGCCUUAACAAGACGACACAAAUGAUGUGGACGAGCAGGAUCAACAAAACCUGGAGGUUGCCGCAUGUAAACCUCUUCCUCCAAGACCCCAUGGAGAAAAGUAUUCUGAACAUCAAGCUGACGCAGAGACCACCCUUUGGCAACAGCCAAGGACAGAAGCAGACGAAUGGUGGUAGGUUUGACAACUGGGCUGAAGGUAUCCUCAUAAUCAAGACCAUACCGCUGUUUAAACCCUUUUGGCCACCAACCGUGCCUUGUAUCGCUCAAUAGAACCAUCAGCAUGCUUCUUUACCUUAAACACCCACUUGGAGUCAAUGAUGUUAACACCAGGCACAGGAGGAACCAAGCGCCAAGUAUCGUUCCUCUGUAGUGCCUGAAACUCCUGCUCCAUGGCACUGCGCCAAUGAGGAAUCCGAAGAGCCGCCUGAAAAUGCCGAGGCUCACCAGUGGGGUCAGCAUCUAUCUGUGCCAUACACGCUGCAAUCCACGCAACCGUGCCGUCAGUGCGCUCCUUCGGCCGAACAAUACCACCCUGACUGCGCGUACGAGGACGCAUAAUAGCAGUAGGCGGCGGAGGUGGCGGUGGAGACGGAGUCAAUGAAGAUGGCGACGUUGACGACGACGCAGACCGCUCCCCGGAUGUAGAGUCAGUCGCCCCAGGUGACCGGCCUGGCGAGGAAGGCAUGGACGCCGGUUUGACCAAUGCGGGCGGGGACACUGGCUCGGCCCCCGUGGCAGAGGCCGGCUCGGGGGAAGCUGGCUCGACCAGCUCGACCGACUCGGUCGGCUCCGCCAACGCGUUGCCAACCCCAUGCUGGACCGAAGUAGCAGGGCCCGGCUCUGCCAGCCUCGUCGGCAAGCCAGGUGACAGAGAGGCGUCGCGAGCGGGCUUGGCGGACGUACGUGGGGACGCGGGCGACUGCUCAUCCAGAAGCUCGAGGCGUGCUCCGCGCCCAGUACCUGCACCAUGGUUAGGUAGCAACAAGGGGGUAUAUGCAGCAUCUACAAAUUGACCAGGCAAAGGUAAAACAGAUUUCUCGGGUGCAGUGGGAGUGGUGGAGGUGACCGGAAGUGCUGAAAAAGGAAAAACAUUCUCAUCAAACACCACAUCGCGUGAGAUGUAGACGCGGUUAGAGGGAAUAUGAAGACACUUGUACCCUUUAUGAAGAGAACUAUAACCAAGAAACACGCAUUGUUUAGACCGAAACUCCAACUUGCGUUGGUUAUAUGGACGAAGAUGUGGCCAACACGCACACUCGAAGACCUUAAGAAACGUAUAAUCAAGAACUUCAUUCAGCAAGAGCUCAAGUGGUGUUUUCAUCUGACGGAGUCGUGUAGGGAGUCUGUUAAUGAGAAAGCAUGCGGUGGAAAACGCAUCACUCCAGAACCGAAAAGGAACGGAGGCAUGGGCAAGCAAAGCAAGACCAGUCUAAACUAUAUGACGAUGCUUACGCUCAGCUACACCAUUUUGCUGAUGUGUAUGAGGACAAGACACACGAUGUGUAAUUCCAAGCUUAUUAAAGAAUGCAUUGAGGUUGUGAUACUCACCCCCCCAAUCAGAUUGCACAUGAAUGAUUUUAUGACUGAGUAGACGCUCAACAUGUGUUUGGAAUUGCAAGAAAAUAUUAAACACAUCAGACUUGCGUUUAAGAAGAUAAAGCCAAGUAAACCGACUGUAAGCAUCAAUGAAACUGACAUAAUAAUUAUGACCACUAACAGAGGUUUGGGCAUGGCCCCAUACAUCCGAAAACACAAGUUCAAGCGGUUUACUUACUACACGACUCGACUCAGAAAAAGGAAGUUGAUGACUCUUGCCUUGCUGACAGGCAUCACAAACUGCAUCAACAUGUUUAUUGGACACUACUGGAAGCUCAUGACGAUGAAGUACAUGGCGAACGAUGGGAGUGGCUGGAUGACCAAGGCGCGCAUGCCAAUGUGAUGGAGACACACGAACACCGCUGAAAGCACUAGGAGCUAGUGGCACAUCAAGUGCAUAGAGACCAUUAUUACGCAGUCGACCUCUAAGGAGUACGUCCCUCGUGUCUCGGUCCUUCACAAAAAAAUGAAAAGGAUGAAAUUCAGCAAGAACAUUAUUAUCACGAGUAAGUUUAGGAACUGAAAGCAAACUACGUGAAACAGAGGGAACACGAAGGACAUUAAGAAGACGUAAUUGUGUGGAUCGACGUGUAAGAAGUGAUGCCUGACCAAUAUGUGAGAUGUGCAUACCUUCCCCAUUAGCCGUGCGAACCUGAUCGUGUCCACGGUACGGCUCCUGUGUAGAGAGCUUGCCCAUCUCACUCGUCAGGUAAUUGGUAGCUCCCGUAUCCAUGUACCAAGAUGCAUCAACUGGAUAGGAAGGGGUAUGCCCCUGCUCAUGACUCGCCAGUGCAGCCUGCUUCUCAUUACCCUUGCCAUUGUUCCCGAUCCCCAAGAAAUCUUGCUUGAAGCGACGAUGACAACGGGAGGCAAGGUGACCAUCAAGCCCACACAGCUGGCAUGGGACCGGAGCACCACAUGAAGGGCAGCAGGCAUGGACUCGGCCUCCCUUGGAGGUAGUGGUGUUCCGCGAGUUAGGCACGGUCGGUGGAGGUUUGCCACCAGUUGGUGGCUUGUAGGGCUUGCCCUUCCCACGCGUUGCAGCGUUGGCGGAAGGGAAACUCGGUGUAGAGCGGCGAGCCUGGAUGCGCUGUUCCGUGGCAAGGAGACGUGCGUACAACUCACGAGGCUGGAUGGGAGUGUCACGACCAUUGAUAUUCUCCACCAAAUUAUCAUACUCGUCACCCAGUCCAUUGAGCACAUAAGAGGUGAACUCCUCCGGACCAAGAGCCUUACCAAUGGAGGCAAGUGUGUCAGCCAUACCCGUCACUUUGUUGAAGUAAUCAGUGACGGUGAGAUCAUUAAGCUUCAUGUCCCCAAGCGCAGUGCGGAUGGCGUGAGCCCGCGCCUGAGACUGCGAAGCAAAACUGGUAUGAAGAGCCGUCCACGCGUCCCGAGACGUAGCGGCGAAGAUGACCAGUGACGAGACCCCCUCCGUAAGAGAGGACUGGAUGGCAGAGAGAAUGGCCUGAUCCUGAGCCACCCACACAUGAUGCCCCGGAUGGUAUGGCGGUGGGCACGGCAGGGUGCCAUCAACAAACCCCUCCAAGUAGCGACUGCGAAGAAGUGGCAAAACCUGAGCACGCCAUGAUAGAUAGUUAUCCGUUGUCAGCUUCACCGGUAUGAGAUGCGCAAAAUAGAACGGUGCAUUAGGUACACCAUAGUCUGAAGGCGGCGGCGCAUAAAAUCCCGAAGGUGAAGAACCACUCGGCAGCAUGGAGGAAGCCACCAACUCCGUUGAUAGACCACCGUAGGGCGCCGCGUACGAGGAGGACAUGCCAUGAGGAGGCGCGGUUGUCGGAGCUGUCGGGUAGGCGUACGCCAACGGAGCAAUGGAGCCAUAAGGAGCCGACAGCGCGGCUGGAGUAGGCCACGGAUUGACCGUGGCAGCGCCGUGGGAUGACGCUGUUGCUGCAGCGCCGUGGGAUGACGCUGUUGCUGCAGCGCCGAAGGAGUUGACCGGGGCCGGCUGCUGGGCGCUAGGAGCUGCAUGCAUCGGGGCCUGCUGCUGGGCGCUAGGAGUUGCAUGCAUCGGGGCCUGCUGCUGGGCGCUAGGAGCUGUAGGCAUUGCAGCCUGCUGCUGGGCGCCUGCAGCUGAGUGCAUCGUGGCCUGCUGCUGGACACCGAGCGGCGCAUGGGAGCUCCACCAGGAAGCCGGAGGGCCAUAUGCCGCAUGCAUGUUCGCGUACGGGGCGCCAUACACCGCAUGGCUUCCGUAUGCCUGCGGCGGCGGCGGAAUCACACCAGUAUAUUGGAACGAAGCAGCGCCUCCGUACUGCAUGGGCGGCACGACCGAGUCGUUGAGGCCGGGAGGCGGUGGCGCGGCAGCGCCGUAAGGCGUCGGCAGCGCGGCGGCGUCGCUGAGGAUUGGAGACGGCGGCAUGGGAAUCGCUUGUGCGGCUAUGGAGACGCCGGCCAUGGAGGCCAGUGGGUUCGAUGCCAAAAACGGAGAUACCGGAGCGGCCGGAUCGGCGGCCGGGACAGAUGCCAUCGAGGGCGAUCGUGAUAGUUGCGGAAGCGAUCGAUCGAGACCUAAACUGAUACUAUGUAAAAGCUAGGGUUUUGGAAACUGCUCGACACCCGUAACGGGUGUGGCUAUCUCAUAUAUAUAAAGGGGUAUACAAAGUGUACAAUAUAAUAUACAAGAUAUAUACAGAAGCCACGUGUAAAUACUUUCUAACACAACAUGCAGUUCAAAAAAACUAUCCGUAAAGUAUUCACACGUCAACCGAAACAGACUAGAGGUUUCCUACUAGUGGCCUGUCCGGUAAAUAUGGAAGGGUCGAGAAGGAAUCGUUCAGAGAAGAGACACCAGGUACAGCCAGCGCGCUGGAGUAGAUCUCCAUCUCCACCUGUACCACGCAGGUUGCUUUGCUCCUCCUCCCUUUCCUCGUAGGCGAUUAGCCUGCCCUGCUCGCUCCGACAUGGCCGACCCUACAGCGUCUAUGAAUGAAGAAGCCGACGACGACCCUACAGCUACUGUAUUUGUGAUCGUCGUACAAGACAUAACUGCUUCUGAGUGCACUGUGUAAAUGGCUUACAUGUGCGAGCUAGCUUCUCAUUCUGUUUCUUCUGGCGACGCUAGAAAACAUGUUCCCCUCUUUUCAUUCUACUGAAUUGUCCAGCUACAUGCAAAGCAAAAUCUUGCUAACUCAAAACGCAGCUCGUCUUCAAAGUUGAACUGGCCAAAUAGAAGCGCAGAUCCAGUGUUGAAUUCCGAAAGUUACAACCCGGCUAAACAUUGGGUAGAAAUUUUGUUCCCAAAUACAGGAUGACUCCGUGCAUCAGUAGAUCCAUUAUUCAAACACGUUGAUGGCGGCUAGAACACGAAAUACCAAAUGCCUAUCAUGGCCGUUGGUUAGCGGUGACACGCCACAGCAGUACACCGCGCCUUACUGGAUCUUCCGUUUGAGCUACGCUUUGGCAUCCUGAUGUCUCCUAUUCUGAAGCAUGUAUGUCGCUACUUGCUAGCUAGCCUGCACUAUCUUCGUCUGUUUCUCUAGCUUGUUUCUGCUAACAAGGCACACGGUUUUAUAGGAGAGAAGACUAGUGAAACACUUCAAACAAAGAGCGAGCUUUCUUCAUCAAUGGCGUGGCAUGUCGGAUACACUAUGGUUGGUCGAGAACCUUUAUCUACAUUAAAACCGUUCUAGGUCAUAUUAUUUUCUAGAAGAUAUUCGUAAAUAAAUGAUUUUUCCACAUACAGGCCUUUCAUUCAUAUAUGUGAUGCUUUUGCGCAGUUCUUUAGCGGUCAUUUAAAAUUGAGAAAAGUAUACUUUUCGUCCCUCAAUUCUUGAAGGAGUAUAGAUUUGGUCCCUCAACUCCGAAACCGGAUAACUUGCACCCCCAACUACUCAAACCGGACAAGGUUCAUCCCUGGUCUUGCCUUUGAGUGGUUUUGGUACUGACUCACCCCGGUUUUGAAUGGUGCUGAGUUAAAUACGUGCAUAUUUUUCAAAUCUGUGAAUCUUUUGAAAUUCAUGUACUUUUUUCAAAUCUGUGUACCUUUUCACGUUCGCGUAAAAAUUUCAAAUUCGCAUACCUUUUUGAAACUCGCACUAUUUUCAAAUCCACGUACCUUUUCAAGUUCACGUAAUUUUCCAAAUUCGCAUACUUUUUUCUAGUCCGUGUAUUUUUCUCAAAUCCGCGUACUUUUUUCAAGUUCGUGUAUUGCUUUCAAAUCCGUGUAGUUUUUCAAAUUCAUGAACUUUUGUAGAAAGUACGCGGAUUUAAAAAAAAGCACAUGAACUUGAACAUGAUGUGCGGACCUGAAAAAAUAAACGGUUUUGAAUAAAGUACACGAAUUUGAGUCAAAACAUGGUCAAAACUGGUGAAAGUCAGCACCAAAACCGGUCAAAACCGUGUCCAAGGAUGAACCUUGUCCGGUUUUAGUAGUUGGGGUGCAAGUUGUCCGGUUUCAAAGUUGAGGGACCAAAUCUAGACUCUACCGAGAACUGAGGGACGAAAAAUAUACUUUUCUCUUUAAAAUUUUGUGAGCCAACUCAACACAUUAUUUUCCUUGUCCAUACUGUAAUAAAUUAAAUAACUAGCACUAUUCCCAAAGAAGAACUAAGGGCAUGGCCAAUGCAUAGCCUCAAACUGAUGCCCCGCAGACCAUGUAGGCUCGGAUGUCAGAAAAAUUUGGUUCGGAUGGUACUAUGGGAUUUUCAGCAGGAGGCACGUGCUUGGGAGGAAAAGAGAGUGGUCCUAAGAUAGAAGGUAGAAAAACUAGAGUAGAUGCAUGUGUACCCUAAAUUUUUUUCAUUUCCUUGAUGAGGCCCACCGGCUAAUGUUUUCAUUGUAGAGGGAAAACAAAUGAAGGUGUCUGAACCUACUUUUUCUCAUGGGGCAACUAUAUGGUGAUGCUUCCAUAGUUCAUGCGCUAACUAGCACUCGGAUGGAAAGCAAUGUAUGGUACAUGUAUAUGUCAUCAUAGAUAGAUAGGUGAUCAAAUAAAGGAUCAUAUGUUUAUCUCCUUGCUAAAAAAAGACUAGUACGAAUUUAUUCAAACAUUAGUUGGGUACGUUCUAAUUUUUGGGACAUUAGCCAAUAAAAAAUAGCUAAUCAUAUUGUAGGCAUAAAAUUCCCAUCUACUUGUCUUAUUAAGAACUUUUGGCAUAUUGGACCACAUGCGCGACCGUAUUAACAACAAAGACCACCCCUGAACAUAAUUGACAAAACUACCAAGGCAUUAGGCCCGACAGCCGACACAUGGCACCUGCCGCCACAGCUGGAGGUGGCAGGGCCUUCCGCCGUAGCCCAUGGCAGCAUGUUGAGCAGAACGACUAGCAAGUCUAUUGGGGAACAGAAAACGGAAGAGGUGGGCCCUACCACCACAAGCUGAGGUGGCACCCUAUGACAUGGAUCCCGCAGCCAUGCACCAUGGCAGCAAUACUGUUGCUGCUACUCAGGACUAGACAGCGCGCUAUAGGCCUGUCGGUUGUUGGCAUGGUUGGCAUCGCCUUUUGUGCCGAAUGUGCUCCAGCCGACGACAGGGAUUGGUUUCCAAGCGACGUUGAUUCCCACGCACAUCGAAUCUCUCUUCAUCAUCCCGCUUAUUUUUCCGCCAUAGCACUCAUUAUCCGAGCCUAUAAAAUAAGCCAUCGAACCUCUCUUCAUCCUCCAUCGAGCAACCUUCCUUAGCCAUUUCUCCAUUCAUAUCUGGUGACCCUUCAUAUCAUUUUGCUCCAACUAUGUCUCAUUUGCUUUUGCCAGGUGCGGAAAGAAUGCAGCGUGCUAGUAGGGGAAGUGUGCGUUUUGGAGAACUGAAUAACACCUCGCGUGUUGCUAAAAAAAUUUAGAAUAUAUGAAAGUAUUACCAUACCACAUUCACCCUAGAGGUAAAUCAAGGGCAGAUACAUGCAUUCAAAUUCAAUUAUUUAUUAUUGAGAAACAAAAAUAAAAAUCAAUAAUUGUUGGGGAACGUAGUAAUUUCAAAAUUUUCCUACGCACACGCAAGAACAUGGUGAUGGCAUAGCAACGAGAGGGGAGAGUGUUGUCCAUGUACCCUCGUAGACCGUAAGCGGAAGCGUUAUGACAACGUGGUUGAUGUAGUCGUACGUCUUCAUGAUCCGACCGAUCCAAGCACCGAACGUACGGCACCUCCGAGUUCAGCACACGUUCAGCUUGAUGACGAUCCCCGGGCUCCGACCCAGCAAAGCUUCGGGGAUGAGUUCCGUCAGCACGACGGCGUGGUGACGAUGAUGAUGUUCUACCGGCGCAGGGCUUCGCCUAAACUCCACGACGAUAUGACCGAGGUGGAAUAUGGUGGAGGGGGGCACCGCACACGGCUAAGGAACGAUCCGUAGAUCAACUUGUGUGUCAUGGGGUGCCCCCGUGCCCCCGUAUAUAAAGGAGCAAGGGGGAGGAGGCGGCCGGCCAAGGGAGGGUGCGCCAGGGAGGAGUCCUACUCCCACCGGGAGUAGGACUCCCUCCUUUCCUAGUUCAACUAGGAGAGGGGAAGGAAGGGAAGGAGAAGGAGAAGGAAGGAGAGGGAGGAAGAGUAGGAAAGGGGGGCCGGCCCCCUAGUCCAAUUCGGUUUGGGCUAGGGGGGCCACGCGCCCUGCCUCCUCUCUUCCACCACUUGGCCCAUGAGGCCCAUUGCUUCUUCCUCGUAUUCCCGUAACUCCCCGGUACCCUCGAAAAUACCCGAAUCACUCGAAACCCUUCCGAUGUCCGAAUAUAGUCGUCCAAUAUAUCAAUCUUUACGUCUCGACCAUUUCGAGACUCCUCGUCAUGUCCCCGUUCUCAUCCGGGACUCUGAACUCCUUCGGUACAUCAAAACUCAUAAACUCAUAAUAAAACUAUCAUCGUAACGUUAAGCGUGCGGACCCUACGGGUUCGAGAACUAUGUAGACAUGACCUAGAACUAUUCUUGGUCAAUAACCAAUAGCGGAACCUGGAUGCCCAUAUUGGCUCCUACAUAUUUUACGAAGAUCUUUAUCGGUCAAACCGCAUAACAACAUACGUUGUUCCUUUUGUCAUUGGUAUGUUACUUGCCCGAGAUUCGAUCGUCGGUAUCCAAUACCUAGUUCAAUCUCGUUACCGGCAAGUCUCUUUACUCGUUACGUAAUGCAUCAUUCGGUAACUAACUCAUUAGCUACAUUACUUGCAAGGCUUAUAGUGAUGUGCAUUACCGAGAGGGCCCAGAGAUACCUCUCCGACAAUCGGAGUGACAAAACCUAAUCUUGAAAUACGCCAACCCAACAUGUACCUUUGGAGACACUUGUAGUACUCCUUUAUAAUCAUCCAGUUACGUUGUGACGUUUGUAGCACCCAAAGUGUUCCUCCGGUAAAUGGGAGUUGCAUAAUCUCAUAGUUACAGGAACAUGUAUAAGUCAUGAAGAAAGCAAUAGCAACAUACUAAACGAUCAAGUGCUAGGCUAACGGAAUGGGUCAUGUCAAUCACAUCAUUCUUCUAAUAAUGUGAUCCCGUUAAUCAAAUGACAACUCUUUUGUCCAUGGCUAGGAAACAUAACCAUCUUUGAUAAACGAGCUAGUCAAGUAGAGGCAUACUAGUGACACUAUGUUUGUCUAUGUAUUCACACAUGUAUUAUGUUUCCGGUUAAUACAAUUCUAGCAUGAAUAAUAAACAUUUAUCAUGAUAUAAGGAAAUAAAUAAUAAUUUUAUUAUUGCCUCUAGGGCAUAUUUCCUUCAAUAAUGUGGAUCAUUUUCAUGUGCUUGAUGAUGUGGAGGGUUUGCAUGUGGUGGAAAGUGAGAAAUGGAAAGUUGAAUGGUUGCAUGGUGCUUGAUGAUGUGAAGGGUGUGUGUUUUGUGGCAAGUGGAAAGUUAAAGCUUUAUUGGUUGCAUGUGCUUGAUGAUGUGGAUGACUUGCAUGUAUAUUUGAAUGGAAGAUAGUAUAUGUGGGACAUAUGUGAUUAGGUGUAUAGGCUGCUCGUUAAGAUAAACAAGAUAGUGGGGAUGAACUUCUUAUGUAUAUAGGAUUAGUUAGUAGUGAUGGCCACCUGACGUAGUUGGGUAAGUGUUUUUCAAAGACUAGUCUCCCGGAGAAGCUCCCGGAAAGGAACCCGGAGGAAACUCGACAAGAACUUUUGCAGUUGCCUGUAAGGUGGGACAGAAUUGUUGAACUCAAAUAUAUGCAUGCGCGUAUUACUGGGUUACCUUUUCUUCCCUGCCAUCGAAAAAUAACUUUUCGGCAGAAGCAAUAUGAGAACCACAUUAAGGUAAUUGACAUUUCAUAAUGCACCUAGUUAGACCAUAUGUUCCUCGUUCUAAUUUUGUAUUAUUGUUAUUUAUAAUUUGUAGAGAUACCCUAAUUGUUCUCCAGCUCCCUCAUUGAGCGGUACUACGGGAACAAGUACCAGUCCAACUACCGCCCGAGGGGUGAUUCUCCCUCGAUUUUGGCAGCGGUGCUCAGGAGAUGGCCUAGCGGUUGUUUCGGUUAUUUCUCAAUAACCAGUAUCCAUCACUCCGACGCGACCCAUUUGGGAGGAAGUCGUGCAGCAAAGAUCAGAGCCCAGCAACUCCACGCGCACUGCAAGAGCAGACUAGAGCAUCACAUCCUUCGGGAUGGUAGCUAAAGCAAUCAACAAGGAAGGCAAUGAAUCCUGAAGAAGAGUCUUUAUAUUGGACAGUGCCUCAUGGAUCUCAGAUGUUGAUGGAGGCACAACAAUCGAAGCCUAAGAAUGAGCCACUGGACGAGCAGAACAUGGAGCAUGCGGCGGGGGUGCAGGCUUGCACCCAUCCCGUGCACGGUGUCCCGAGCGGAAGCAUCAAUUACACCGGAUGGAUCCAUGCAUCGGGGGCCGAUGGCCUUUUCCGAAGCAACGAAAAGGCCUGUUUCUAAGCCACGCAUGCAGGCGUACAACAAUAUAUUGAUACACGAUCUAUCUACCAAACUACAAAAAUUCAAUUUAUAAUGUUUCAACAUUUGUUAAUUAUGAAAAAAAAAACCUGGCGAAAACCAUUACAAAUAGAUCACAGACGAACUACUCACAUGGCAUGAAACCCCACAACCGCACAAGCGCCCGCCAAACUCUUCGAGUGCACAACAACACCAACCCCGACACGACUACCACGCAAGUGACCCGACGAGAACACCUCGACACAAGCAGGGCCGUACCCGAGAAAACAGGGGCCCUGUUCAACAUCCAAAAUUAGGCCCUUAAUAUAACCAUUGGCAAUUAGGAAAACAAAAAUUUAUACUCAACAAGCAAUUCUCAAAACUCAAAAUUAGUACAUUAUUUAGCAUAAACAUGCAUCCUUCUAGCAGUCCUUGAUACAAAAUCUUCGAUUUGUUUUUCAUAUAAGCAAAUCUUCCACAAAAUGCCAUUUGAUUAUUUUGCUAAAAACUUAUCAAAAGCAUAUUUUUUAGAUCGAAUGCUCAGUAUAUGAUGUGUUAGAAAUAGAACAUGUAAAUAAAAGGGAAUUAAGCGAAGUUUGGUUUAAGAGUUCUGGUAGUCUGAAGCAGCAACAAAACCUAAGAAGCAAAGGAGACACGUGAGAAAUAGAUGUUGGAUUGAGGGUGGAGUGUACCUAUACAUUGGGUUUCUUUUGGAGAAACUGUGAAGGAAUUAAGCUAUGAGCGUAGCAAGGGGUUUGCAUGGGUCGCUGGAAGUUAAAGAGAAUAGAAAGGAGGAGAGGCGUGCGUGAGAUGGAGUGCCGGGAUUUAUUACAGUGCAUGUUCCCAAGGAAUACCAGUAGUAGUCAAAAAUGAAUUGGUUGGUCAUUCAUAUUUGCCCAAGGUGUUUAAAAAAAAUAGUGUACAUGAAAAACUCGGGGCCCUGGUCACUUGGGGGCCCUGUGCAGUCGAACAUGCUGCACAUGUGUCCGGUACGGACCUGGACACAAGACAUUGGGCUCCUCCCAAACCACAACUACGACCCAGUCCAAGAGGACGAGUCGAGAGACAGGAUAUCAUCCAUCAAGGAACCACCUACGCCUUGCAUAUGGCACCACUCUUGCCUUUGCCGACCUUCUUUGGUUUGCCCCUUAUUUGGCUUCCCUAUCUGGAGGCAAGCAAUCGACAUGCCCAAACCUCUGUUUAAUUUAUUUAUUUUUUGUCAUGAAGAACAAAUGUUGAACAAAUUAUGAAUUGGCUUUUUGUAGUUUGGUAGAUGCAUCAUGUAUCAAUAUAUUGUCAAAAUAAUAUUCGAAGUUAUUUGGGUUUCUUGUUUGAUGAAGUUAAUACUAUUUGGGUUCUGAUGGACGCUGCUUUGACAUGGGCAGCGAGUGGAUGGAAAUGGGCCGUUGGAUGUUGUUUGGAUGGCAGGGAUGGAUGGUAACCAGACCAGCACACCAGCCAAGUUGAGUUCAUUUGACAAUCCCUGUCCGUCCACCACACCACCGGAGACAGACACGCCGCACCCAACGCCACUCGAAUUCCCCAUCGCCCGCGGCCGCCGCCGCCGCCGCUGCUCCGCCGUCGCGGCGCCAUGCUCCACCUCCGGCAGCGCGUCCUCUCUCAUCUCAUCUCCGCCGCGCCCUCUCCUUCCACCACCCCACUCCUCUCUCUCCACCGCCUCCUCUCCGCCGCCGCUGCCCCCCGCAUUUCGCAAAACCCUAGCUUCGCCGUCGACGACUACCUCGUCGAGACCUGCGGCCUCACCCGUGCCCAGGCACUCAAGGCCUCCGCCAAGCUGUCCCACCUCAAGUCCCCCGCCAACCCCGACGCCGUCCUCGCCUUCCUCGCCGGCCUCGGCCUCUCCGGCGCCGAUGUGGCGGCCCUCGUCGCCAGGGACCCGCGGUUCCUCUGCGCCGGCGUGGAGAUAACCCUGGCCCCCGUGGUCGCUGGGCUCACCGGCCUCGGCCUGUCAAAUGCCGAGACUGCGCGCCUCAUCUCGCUUGCCCCCGACAAAUUCCGCCAGAGAUCCGUCGUCUCCAAGCUGGAGUACUACCUGCCGCUCUUGGGCUCCAUCGACAACUUGCUCCGGCCGCUCAAACACGGCUCCGGCUUCCUCGCCUCCGACCUCGACAGGGAUGUCAAGCCCAAUGUGAAGCUCCUAGCAGAGUGCGGGCUAGGUGCUUGUGAUAUUGCCAAGCUGUUCAUCCAAAUACCGAUGGUCAUCACCUCCAGCCCAGAGCGCGUCCUCGGGAUGGUCGCGUCCGCCGAACGUAUAGGUGUGCCCCGUGGCUCUGGGAUGUUUAGGCAGGCGCUGCAUUCUGUCGCAUAUCUCUGCGAGGAGAAGAUUGCCGCCAAAGUAGAACAGUUGAAGAAGACAUUAAGGUGGUCAGAUGCCGAGGUCCGCAUUGCUGUGCCCAAGUUGCCGGUUUUGCUGAGGAGGUCAAAUGACGUGCUGCAGCGUAUGUCGGAGUUCCUGAUCUGCGAGGUGGGGUUGGAACCGACGUACAUUGCUCAUCGCCCUGCUAUGCUCACUCAUAGCCUGGAGGGCCGGCUCAGGCCCCGGUACCAUGUUAUGAGGUUUCUUAAGGAAAAUGGAUUGCUAAAUCAUGGCAGAGACUACUAUAAUAUGGUGGUGGCCAGCGAGAAGGUAUUUGUGGAGAAGUUCAUAUGCCCUCACGAGCAAGCUGCACCACACAUUGCUGAAGACUAUGCAGCCACUUGCAUAGGGGAGGUGCCUGCUAGAUUCAGAUUUACAUGAACCAAGAACAGGCUAUGAAAAUGGGUAGCUGCGUGUGCAACAACAAAAUUUCGACUCAUCGUAUUAAGCUGGUAAUUCAUGAUUAGGUGUUCUUUUCAUGACUGAAUUUUGGUUUUGUUGUGUCCAAUGCUUGACAUAACUGAUAACUUGAUUUCUGAACCCCAAUAUGUUGAUGAUAACUAAGAGAGUGUGACAUCAGGGCAUUCUGCAAAUGCUUUCAAGUAUUAAUGAAGAGUAUGUCUGCACACUGUAUAUCUUUAUGUUCUCAGUGGCAAUUGCAGCUUUCAGUGCAAUCCUGAAUCAAUUUAUCUUUCCAUGAAAAAGGGUUCUCAAUAUGGCCAUGAAGAUGAUAUUAAGUCCCAAAAUUUGUUUAACUUUUUUUUGCGGGAAUAAUUCUGGAGUUGUUGAUGGGCACAACAUGUUGAUCACCUCUGAGGGUGCAGUUUUGAUAGUCUGUUGGUUGUUUCCUCUAGUUCUUCAACUUAGCUGAAUGUCUUCAUUCUUCAUGCAGUAGCUUUGUUUAUAAAAUAUCAACUGUUGUGAAAGCAGGCCAUUGUUUUCUACUCCCUCCGUUUCUAAAUAUUUGUCUUUGUAGAGAUUUCAACAAGUGACUACAGACGAAGCAAAAUUAGUGAAUCUACACUCUAAAAUAUGUCUAUAUACAUCCGUAUGUGGUAGUCCAUUUGAAAUCUCUAAAAAGACAAAUAUUUAGAAAUGGAGGGAGUAGUACUUUGUAUCGGUUUUGUCCUUUAUUUUUCUCUUAUAUUCUUGGAUGGCUUACUGGCUGAUGAUGCUUUUUUCUGGGAGCAUCUGAUGCCAAAACUGAAUAAUAGUUGGACAACAAUGGGACGGAGGGAGUAAUAGUUAGACAAUGAUAUUCUUAAAUUUGUUAACUCGUUGUUGCGAACAAUUUAAUUGUUUCUGUUGAAUAGUUUUUGUUGGCCAUCCGCACAUAAUAUUCAGACAGGCUCUAUAAGUAUGUAUUUCGUUCUGGUAUCCAUUAGGCAUUAGCUUCAGGAUCACUGCAUGAUGAAUGUAUACUUCCAUAAGUAAUUUUCGUUCAGAGCUAGUGAUAUCUCUGUGCGUUUGUACGUUUGUUAGCUAAUGCCUUUGGUUGAAAUGUUUUUUCAACCAAAAACUGUAUUGGAGGCCCAAAUAGUACUUGAGUCUGUUUUACAGGUAACCAAAGUAUCUACCUGGAAGUUAUAUCCAUGAACCUUGGAGCAAAUUGUAUGAAUGUCCACUGUCAAAUUGAUUUCCCCAUAGCGUUCAUCCAAACUAUGCUGCAUGGUGAUGUGGGUAGGUUGGUGGUUGGUGACAGUUUCCUUGUUUGAUUGUGAUGUUAGCAGGGCCUGUUGAUAGUUGACCGACGCCAAUUCAGUGAAUGUCAGGGAUUCAGUGGAGUUAUUGACCGACACCAACUCUGUUACUGUACAACCUUCUCAUGGUAUGAUGUGCGCUCCGUUGAUAGCUUGUGGUUUCCUCCUAUGUACCAGAUCAGAUUUUGUUGAUAAACCUGAUUUUCCUGAGCUUAUAAUCCUGACUCUGAUUUCUCACCAAAAAAAAAGGUCCUGACUCUGUCAAGCGAAGCAUGUCUUGUUGUAUUUUGGAUCUGCCUCACACUCGCAGUAUUUGAUCUGAAGUUCCACAAAUGUAUACUGUUCGUCUCGUCUGCCGAGCGAGCGGCAACCAGGAGCGAAUUGUGAUCUCUUGAUGAAAUCUGCAAUGUGCAGUUGUUAUGUAGUAGUCCUUGUAUGGGUGGUCCGUGGUCCAUUGAGGACCUCCAUUUAUUUUCAUUUUGUCAUUGUUGUCCUACCCAAUGCCUGUUUUGUAGUAAUAUAAAUAAAAUAUUCAACUUGAAAGAUAUUAUUUUUCAUCAUGAAAAAAUGAAUGAUAUUAUUUUGCUUAACUUUUAGAAAAUAUAAUCAAUCAUGUCCUGUUUACAUGUCAGCAUUGGGCCUGGAAUUGCAAAAUUGAAUUUGUGGUUCCAUUCACAGUCUGUUUGGACGUUUUCAAUUCUGGAUUUUUUUUAUUUCGACGCUAAUUCCAUGUGGUAUUGUGAUAACCUCUAUUCAUUUUGUUUUAUGGUUUUCCCUGUUUUACUUCUACAAUUUUGUUUUCAUAUCCUGAACACUUGCCGUGCCACAUUCUGGAACAGUACUGACUGCAAGGAGGACAUGUACAGUGGUUGCUAAGAGCAUCUCCAACAGCUGCCCUAAGAUAGGGUACUUGAAAAACUGUUUAAGGCACCAAUUUAUGUUUCUUCUUCUCCACAGCAGCCCUAAAAAGGGCACCACUACUCCAACAACUGCCAUGAAAUGGGGCACACAAAACAACCAAACUAACAUGAUCAUUGCAAAUUCGAUCCAAACAUUCAAAGUUUUAAACAUGCAAACUUAACAUAGUUUGGCUACAAAUUUAAACUUAAACUACACAAUUGCUCCUCUUCACUAAGAUUGUCAUGGUCAAUGUCGUCAUCCUUGUUGGGCUGAACCUCGUCACCCGACUCGACCUUGAUCAACCUUGAUGAGGGGCCAACCUUGUCCUCCUUCACCGCUUUCUUCACCACCUUGUGGCGCUACGCCCAGGACUUUACCUCUGCUUGUUGAGGUCCAGAUUUUCUGCAGCGAACCUCGCCAUAGCUGACUCGUCGCUCUCACGUAUGUCGCCUUGCUCUAGGAUGACACAACUUUCCUUUUUGUCAGCAUGGGACACAUUCGGGACCGAUGAACACCUACACCUGCGGGAUUCAAGCCAAUGCUGCUGCUCGUCGCAUGUCAGCUUGGCGACGUAGCGGCUGGAUUGCCGCAGACGAACACAACGGAAGCCGUCUUUCUUUUUCGCUUGGGGCGUGGUGACAUCGUCGGCGACAUGGGUGGCGACCGGUUCACGUGAGGCGGGGGGAGUGGUAGGACGGUAUCCGGUGGAACCGACGACGGAAGUGCGCCAGUGGUGGAUUCGGCUGCAUUUGUUAGCGUUGGAAGCAGGGGGUAAGCGAUUGUGUGCGGCUGCAUGGGGUUGAGGCGGUAGUGGCGAUCGGAGGAAUAGAGGGGGAAGACGAUCUGGCGGCGGGGCGGGCGGCAGCGGCUGUGGUGGCCGUAAGCAACCAGAUUCUGUGGUGGCGGCGUGACCCGGGCGGCAGCGAUCUACCAUGCACUACUCUUCAUCGCUGUCCACGACGCCCACGGACAUGCCGACCUCGUGGUCAUGGCGGCGAGGCGCGGGAUGGCAGAGGCGGAGUUGGCAUGUCUGUGUAGUGGGCACGAGCCUCGUCGAUGGUGAUGCCAGCAUGUGUUGGAAAUAUGCCCUAGAGGCAAUAAUAAAAGUAUUAUUAUUAUAUUUCCUUAUUCAUGAUAAUUGUCUUUUAUUCAUGCUAUAACUGUAUUAUCCAGAAAUCGUAAUACACGUGUGAAUACAUAGACCACAAUAUGUCCCUAGUGAGCCUCUAGUUGACUAGCUCGUUGUGAUCAACAAAUAGUCAUGGUUUCCUGGCUAUGGACAUUGGAUGUCGUUGAUAACGGGAUCACAUCAUUAGGAGAAUGAUGUGAUGGACAAGACCCAAUCCUAAGCAUAGCACAAAGAUCGUGUAGUUCGUUUGCUAGAGCUUUUCUAAUGUCAAGUAUCUUUUCCUUAGACCAUGAGAUUGUGCAACUCCCGGAUACCGUAGGAGUGCUUUGGGUGUACCAAACGUCACAACAUAACUGGGUGGCUAUAAAGGUGCAUUACAGAUAUCUCCGAAAGUAUCUGUUGGGUUGGCACGAAUCGAGACUGGGAUUUGUCACUCCGUGUAAGCGGAGAGGUAUCUCUGGGCCCACUCGGUAGGACAUCAUCAUAUGCGCAAUGUGAUCAAGGAGUUGAUCACGGGAUGAUGUGUUACGGAACGAGUAAAGAGACUUGCUGGUAACGAGAUUGAACAAGGUAUAAGGAUACCGACGAUCGAAUCUCGGGCAAGUACAAUACCGCUAGACAAAGGGAAUUGUAUACGGGAUUGAUUAAGUCCUUGACAUCGUGGUUCAUCCGAUGAGAUCAUCGUGGAACAUGUGGUAGCCAUCAUGGGUAUCCAGAUCCCGUUGUUGGUUAUUGACCGGAGAACGUCUCGGUCAUGUCUGCAUGUCUCCCGAACCCGUAGGGUCUACACACUUAAGGUUCGAUGACGCUAGGGUUAUAAAGGAAGCUUGUAUGUGGUUACCGAAUGUUGUCCGGAGUCCCGGAUGAGAUCCCGGACGUCACGAGGAGUUCCGGAAUGGUCUGGAGGUAAAGAUUUAUAUAUAGGAAGUCCUGUUUCGGCCAUCGGGACAAGUUUCGGGGUCAUCGGUAUUGUACCGGGACCACCGGAAGGGUCCCGGGGGUCCACCGGGUGGGGCCACCUACCCCGGGGGGCCACAUGGGCUGUAGGGGGUGCGCCUUGGCCUACAUGGGCCAAGGGCACCAGCCCCAAGAGGCCCAUGCGCCUGGGGAAACCCUAAAGGAAGAGUCCCAGCAGGGGAAGGCACCUCCUAGGUGCCUUGGGGGGGAGGACUCCUCCCCUGGCCGCCGCCCCCUUGGAGAUUGGAUCUCCUAGGGGCUGGCGCACCCCCCCCCCUUGGGAUCCCUAUAUAUAGUGGGGUAGGAGGGCCUCUCAAACACACCUUUUGCCUUUGGUGCAGCCCCUCCCUCUCUCCCAAGUUCUUCUCCUCUCCCGUGGUGCUUGGCGAAGCCCUGCAGGAUAGCCACGCUCCUCCACCACCACCAUGUCGUUGUGCUGCUGUUGGAUGGAGUCUUCCUCAACCUCUCCCUCUCUCCUUGCUGGAUCAAGGCGUGGGAGACGUCACCGGGCUGUACGUGUGUUGAACGCGGAGGUGUCGUGCGUUCGGCACUUGAUCAUCGGUGAUUUGAAUCACGACGAGUACGACUCCAUCAACCCCGUUCACUUGAACGCUUCCGCUUAGCGAUCUACAAGGGUAUGUAGAUGCACUCUCCUUCUACUCGUUGCUGGUCUCUCCAUAGAUAGAUCUUGGUGACACGUAGGAAAUUUUUUGAAUUUCUGCUACGUUCCCCAACAGUGGCAUCAUGAGCUAGAUCUAUUGCGUAGAUUCUUUGCACGAGUAGAACACAAAGUAGUUGUGGGCGUUGAUUUUGUUCAAUAUGCUUACCGUUACUAGUCCAAUCUUGUUUCGACGAUAUUGUGGGAUGAAGCGGCCCGGACCGACCUUACACGUACUCUUACGUGAGACAGGUUCCACCGAUUGACAUGCACUUGGUGCAUAAGGUGGCUAGCGGGUGCCAGUCUCUCCCACUUUAGUCGGAACGGAUUCGAUGAAAAGGGUCCUUAUGAAGGGUAAAUAGCAAUUGGCAUAUCACGUUGUGGUUUUGCGUAGGUAAGAAACGUUCUUGCUAGAAACCCAUAGCAGCCACGUAAAACAUGCAACAACAAUUAGAGGACGUCUAACUUGUUUUUGCAGGGUAUGCUUUGUGAUGUGAUAUGGCCAAGAAGAAUGUGAUGAAUGAUAUGUGAUGUAUGAGAUUGAUCAUGUUCUUGUAAUAGGAUUCACGACUUGCAUGUCGAUGAGUAUGACAACCGGCAGGAGCCAUAGGAGUUGUCUUUAUUUAUUGUAUGACCUGCGUGUCAUUGAACAACGCCAUGUAAUUACUUUACUUUAUUGCUAACCGGUAGCCAUAGUAGUAGAAGUAAUAAGUUGGCGAGACGACUUCAUGGAGACACGAUGAUAGAGAUCAUGAUGAUGGAGAUCAUGGUGUCAUGCCGGUGACGAUGAUGAUCAUGGAGCCCCGAAGAUGGAGAUCAAAAGGAGCAAAAUGAUAUUGGCCAUAUCAUGUCACUGUUUGAUUGCAUGUGAUGUUUAUCAUGUUUAUGCAUCUUGUUUACUUAGGACGACGGUAGUAAAUAAGAUGAUCCCUUACAAAAUUUCAAGAAGUGUUCUCCCCUAACUGUGCACCGUUGCUGCAGUUCGUCGCUUCUAAGCACCACGUGAUGAUCGGGUGUGAUGGAUUCUUACGUUCACAUACAACGGGUGUAAGACAGAUUUACACAACGAAAACACUUAGGGUUAACUUGACGAGCCUAGCAUGUACAGACAUGGCCUCGUAACACGGAGACCGAAAGGUCGAGCAUGAGUCGUAUAGUAGAUACGAUCAACAUAAAGAUGUUCACCGACGUUGGCUAGUCCGUCUCACGUGAUGAUCGGACACGGCCUAGUUGACUCGGAUCAUGUGAUCACUUAGAUGACCAGAGGGAUGUCUAUCUGAGUGGGAGUUCAUAAGAUGAACUUAAUUAUCUUGAACAUAGUCAAAAGACCUUUUGCAAAUUAUGUCGUAAGCUCGCGUUGUAGUUCCACUGUUUAGAUAUGUUCCUAGAGAAAAUAUAGUUGAAAGUUGACAGUAGCGAUUAUGCGGAUAGUAGAAAGCUUAUGUCCUUAAUGCACCGCUCAGUGUGCUGAACCCCAAACGUCGUUUGUGGAUGUUGCGAACAUCAGACAUACACAUUUUGAUAACUACGUGAUAGUUCAGUUAAAUGGUUUAGAGUUGAGGCACCAAAGACUUUUUCGAAACGUCGCGGAACAUAUGAGAUGUUUCGAGGGCUGAAAUUGGGAUUUCAGGCUCGUGCCCACGUCAAGAGGUAUAAGACCUCCGAAGAUUUUCUUAGCCUGCAAACUAACAGAGAAAAGCUUAAUCGUUGAGCUUGUGCUCAGAUUGUCUGAGUGCAACAAUCACUUGAAUCGAGUGGGAGUUAAUCUUCUAGAUGAGAUAGUGAUGUUUCUCCAAAGUCAUUACCACCAAGCUGCUAGAGCUUCAUGAUGAACUAUAACAUAUCAGGGAUAGAUAUGAUGAUCCUUGAGGUAUUCGCGUCGUUUGACAUCGCGAAAGUAGAAAUCAAGAAGGAGCAUCAAUUGUUGAUGAAACCACUAGUUUCAAGAAGGGCAAGGGCAAGAAGGGAUACUUCAUGAAACGGCAAAUCAGCUGCUGCUCUAGUGAAGAAACCCAAAGUUGAACCCAAACCCGAGACUAAGUGCUCCUAUAAUAAGGGGAACAACCACUGGAGCAGAAUUACCCUAGAUACUUGGUAGAUGAGAAGGCUGGCAAAGUCGAUAGAAGUAUAUUGGAUAUACAUUAUGUUAAUGUGUACUUUACUAGUACUCCUAGUAGCACCAGGGUAUUAGAUACCGGUUCGGUUGCUAAGUGUUAGUAACUCGAAACAAAAGGCUACGGAAUAAACGGAGACUAGCUAAAGGUGAGCUGACGAUAUGUGUUGGAAAUGUUUCCAAGGUUGAUAUGAUCAAGCAUCGCACGCUCCCUCUACCAUCGAGAUUUGGUGUUUGCGUUGAGCAUAGACAUGAUUGGAUUAUGUCUAUCGCAAUACGAUUAUUCAUUUAAGGAGAAUAAUGGUUACUCUGUUUAUUUGAAUAAUACCUUCAAUGGUCCUGCACCUAAAGGAAUGGUUUAUUGAAUCUUGAUCGUAGUGAUACACAUUUUCAUGCCAAAAGAUAUAAGAUAGUAAUGAUAGUACCACUUACUUGUGGCACUGCCAUGUAAGUCAUAAUGGUGUAAAAACGCAUGAAGAAGCUCCAUGUUGAUGGAUCUUUGGACUCACUCGUUUUUGAAAAGUUUGAGACAUGCGAACCAUGUCUAUUGGUGUAUAUGCAUGAAGAAACUCCAUGCAGAUGGAUCGUUUGGACUCACUUGAUUUUGGAUCACUUGAGAUAUGCAAAUUAUACCACAUGGACAAGAUGACUGAAAGCCUUGUUUUUCAGUAAAAUGGAACAAGAUAGCAACUUGUUGGAAGUAACACAUUUUGAUGUGUGCAGUCCAAUGAGUGCUGAGGAAUGCAGUGAAUAUCGUUAUGUUCUUACUUCACAGAUGAUUCGAGUAGAUGUUGAGAAUAUUUACUUGAUGAAACACAAGUCUGAAUUAUUGAAUGGUUCAAGUAAUUUCAGAGUGAAGUAGAAGAUCAUCGUGACAAGAGGAUGAAAUGUCUAUGAUAUGAUCAUAGAGAUAAGUAUCUGAGUUACAAGCUUUGGCACACAAUUAUGACAUUGUGGAAAUUGUUUCACAAUUAAUACCGCCUGGAACACCAUAGUUUGAUGGUGUGUCCGAACAUCAUAACUGCACCCUAUUGGAUAUGAUGCAUACCAUGAUGUCUCUUAUCGAAUUACCACUAUCGUUCAUGGGUUAGGCAUUAGAGACAACCACAUUCACUUUAAAUAGGGCACCACGUAAUUCCGUUGAGAUGACACCGUAUGAAUUAUGGUUUAGAGAAACCUAAGUUGUCAUUUCUUAAAGGUUUGGGGCUGCGAUGUGAAAAAGUUUCAGGAUUGAUAAGCUCGAACCCAAAGCGGAUAAAAUGCAUCUUCAUAGGACACCCAAAACAGUUGGGUAUACCUCCUAAUUCAGAUCCGAAAGCAAUAAGGAUUGUUUCUUGAAUCGGGUCCUUUCUCGAGGAAAAGUUUGUCUCGAAAAGUUGAGUGGGAGGAUGGUGGAGACUUGAUGAGGUUAUUGAACCAUCACUUCAACAAGUGUGUAGCAGGGCACAGGAAGUUGUUCCCGUGGCACCUACACCAAUUGAAGUGGAAGCUUAUGAUAGUGAUCAUGAAGCUUCGGAUCAAGUCACUACCAAACCUCGUGGGAUGACAAGGAUGCGUACUACUUCAGAGUGGUUCGUAAUCCUGUCUUGGAAGUCAUGUUGGUAGACAACAAUGAACCUACGAGCUAUGGAGAAGUGAUGGUGGGCCCAAAUUCCGACAAAUGGUUAGAAGCCAUGAAAUCCGAGAUAGGAUCCAUGUAUCAGAACAAAGCAUGGACUUGGGUGGACUUGCCCGAUGAUCGGCAAGCCAUUCAAAUAAAUGGAUCUUUAAGAAGAAGACGGACGUGGAUGGUAAUGUAACCAUCUAUGGAGCUCGACUUGUGACGAAAAGUUUUUCACAAGUUCAAGGAGUUGACUACGAUGAGAUUUUCUCAUCCGUAGCGAUGCUUGAGUCCGUCGGAUUCAUGUUAGCAUUAGCUGCAUUUAUGAAAUCUGGCAGAUGGAUGACAAAACGAGUUUCCUUACCAGUCUUCGUAUGGAAAGGUUGUUUUUUGUCGAUCCUAAGGAUGCUAAAAUGUAUGCUAGCUCCAGCGAUCCUUCCAUGGACUGGAGUAAGCAUCUCGGAGUUGGAAUGUGCACUUUGAUAAGAUGAUCAAAGAUUUUGGGUUUAUACAAAGUUUAUGAGAAACCUGUAUUUCCAAAGAAGUGAGUGGGAGCACUAUAGAAUUUCUGAUGAGUAUAUGUUGUUGACAUAUUGAUGAUCAGAAAUGAUGUAGAAUUUCUAGAAAGCAUGUAGGGUUAUUUGAAAACUGUUUUUCAGUGGAAAACCUGGAUUAGGCUACUUGAACAAUAAGCAUCAAGAUCUAUAAGAUAGAUCAAAAUGCUUAAUAGUACUUUCAAAUGAGCACGUACCUUGACAUGAUCUUGAAGGUGUUCAAGAUGAAUCAGUCAAAGAAGGAGUUCUUGCCUGAGUUGUAAGGUAUGAAGUUAAGACUUAAAGCUCGACCACGGCAGAAGAAAGAGAAAGGACGAAUGUCGUCCCCUAUGCUUUUAUCAUAGGCUCUCUACAGUAUGCUAUGCUGUGUACCGCACCUGUAGUGUGCCUUGCCAUGAGUCAGUCAAGGGGUACAAGAGUGAUCCAAGAAUGGAUCACAGGACAGCGGUCAAAGUUAUCCUUAGUAACUAGUGGACUAAGGAAUUUUCUCGAUUAUGGAGGUGGUAAAAGAGUUCGCCGUAAAGGGUUACGUCGAUGCAAGCUUAACACCUAUCCGGAUAGCUCUGAGUAGAGAUACCGGAUACGUAUGAUGGAGCAACAAUUUAGAAUAACUCCAAGUAGAACAGUUAUUUGGAAUAGCUCCAAAUAGAGUGUGGUAGCUACAUCUAGGAGAUGACAUAGAGAUUUGUAAAGCACACACGGAUAUGAAAGGUUCAGACCCGUUGACUAUAACCUCUCUCACAAGCAUAACAUGAUCAAACCCAGAACUCAUCGAGUGUUAAUCACAUGGUAAAUGUGAACUAGAUUAUUGACUCUAGUAAACUCUUUGGGUGUAAGUCACAUGGGGAUGUGACCUUGAGUGUUAGUCACAUAUCGAUGUGAACUAGAUUAUUGACUCUAGUGCAAGUGGGAGACUGUUGGAAAUAUGCCCUAGAGGCAAUAAUAAAAGUAUUAUUAUUAUAUUUCCUUGUUCAUGAUAAUUGUCUUUUAUUCAUGCUAUAACUGUAUUAUCCGGAAAUCGUAAUACACGUGUGAAUACAUAGACCACAAUAUGUUCCUAGUGAGCCUCUAGUUGACUAGCUCAUUGUGAUCAACAGAUAGUCAUGGUUUCCUGGCUAUGGACAUUGGAUGUCGUUGAUAACGGGAUCAUAUCAUUAGGAGAAUGAUGUGAUGGACAAGACCCAAUCCUAAGCAUAGCACAAAGAUCGUGUAGUUCGUUUGCUAGAGCUUUUCUAAUGUCAAGUAUCUUUUCCUUAGACCAUGAGAUUGUGCAACUCCCGGAUACCGUAGGAGUGCUUUGGGUGUACCAAACGUCACAACAUAACUGGGUGGCUAUAAAGGUGCAUUACAGAUAUCUCCGAAAGUAUCUGUUGGGUUGGCACGAAUCGAGACUGGGAUUUGUCACUCCGUGUAAGCGGAGAGGUAUCUCUGGGCCCACUCGGUAGGACAUCAUCAUAUGCGCAAUGUGAUCAAGGAGUUGAUCACGGGAUGAUGUGUUACGGAACGAGUAAAGAGACUUGCCGGUAACGAGAUUGAACAAGGUAUAAGGAUACCGACGAUCGAAUCUCGGGCAAGUACAAUACCGCUAGACAAAGGGAAUUGUAUACGGGAUUGAUUAAGUCCUUGACAUCGUGGUUCAUCCGAUGAGAUCAUCGUGAAACAUGUGGGAGCCAUCAUGGGUAUCCAGAUCCCGCUGUUGGUUAUUGACCGGAGAACGUCUCGGUCAUGUCUGCAUGUCUCCCGAACCCGUAGGGUCUACACACUUAAGGUUCGAUGACGCUAGGGUUAUAAAGGAAGCUUGUAUGUGGUUACCGAAUGUUGUUCGGAGUCCCGGAUGAGAUCCCGGACGUCACGAGGAGUUCCGGAAUGGUCCGGAGGUAAAGAUUUAUAUAUAGGAAGUCCUGUUUCGGCCAUCGGGACAAGUUUCGGGGUCAUCGGUAUUGUACCGGGACCACCGGAAGGGUCCCAGGGGUCCACCGGGUGGGGCCACCUACCCCGGGGGGCCACAUGGGCUGUAGGGGGUGCGCCUUGGCCUACAUGGGCCAAGGGCACUAGCCCCAAGAGGCCCAUGCGCCUGGGGAAACCCUAAAGGAAGAGUCCCAGCAGGGGAAGGCACCUCCUAGGUGCCUUGGGGGGGAGGACUCCUCCCCUGGCCGCCGCCCCCUUGGAGAUUGGAUCUCCUAGGGGCUGGCGCACCCCCCCCCUUGGGAUCCCUAUAUAUAGUGGGGUAGGAGGGCCUCUCAAACACACCUUUUGCCUUUGGUGCAGCCCCUCCCUCUCUCCCAAGUUCUUCUCCUCUCCCGUGGUGCUUGGCGAAGCCCUGCAGGAUAGCCACGCUCCUCCACCACCACCACGCCGUUGUGCUGCUGUUGGAUUGAGUCUUCCUCAACCUCUCCCUCUCUCCUUGCUGGAUCAAGGCGUGGGAGACGUCACCGGGCUGUACGUGUGUUGAACGCGGAGGUGCCGUGCGUUCGGCACUUGAUCAUCGGUGAUUUGAAUCACGAUGAGUACGACUCCAUCAACCCCGUUCACUUGAACGCUUCCGCUUAGCGAUCUACAAGGAUAUGUAGAUGCACUCUCCUUCUACUCGUUGCUGGUCUCUCCAUAGAUAGAUCUUGGUGACACGUAGGAAAUUUUUUGAAUUUCUGCUACGUUCCCCAAUAGCAUGCACCGGUGAGGAGGGUAGCGCUGACUCUUCCUCGACUGCGUCCUCCAUUGGGGCAGCGUAGGCCUCCGUCUGCCUGCUGGUCUGCCAGCUGACAAAAAUUGCCGCCAUCUCCCUUUUCUGCUCGGAAGAGAGGUUGCCCAGAGGGCUUUGAAGCGUGAAGAGAAAGGAACCAUAGGAGGAUGACUGCGGCUAUGGCUGGGCCUGGAGUUUAUAUAGCGUGUGGAUGGCAAUGGGUCGUGGCAGUCUGGUUAAUGGUGGGCGACAGAUGGACGGACGGGAGGCGUCGGAGUAGGUUCCUCGGCAACAACAUAUCAUUAAUGUAGGGAGACGGAUCGACAAUGUGUCGUUUAAACAUGGAAUAGUUGCCUGCACCGAGAAGCGCCACGGGCAGCGCUCUCUCGGCCGAUACGUUGCUUCAAUGCCAGCAACAGUGAGUGGUUGUGUCUGCUCUGGCCAGGCAUGAAUGCGACAUUGACGCUCUGGAGCGGCGCUGAAUGUUUUGGGCGGGAAGUGCGCAUGGGUGAGGGAGGCCAUUCUUGUCAUGACUUCCUGCAGGAUGGGCUUUGUAUCAGCGUACUAGGAUCCUAUGUCGGCGUCAUCCAUGGUGGCGACAGCGGCUGCAACAUCUCGAAGUUGUCAAAGAGGCGGCUGGCCAGACUAAGCGAUGGCCUAGCGUCGGGGUCGGCGGUGGUGAUGAGCUUGUCGAAGUGUUGUGGCGACAAUUCACCUCUUGGGGCUAGAACUCCUCCUGGAAGGACCAGAGAGUGGUGUCCAUGGCGUCGCCGAAGCCUAGCGGGAGCGACUCCAUUGCCAUCGGUCGAUCCUUACUUCCUAGCUCCUAGCUCUUUGUCACGCACUACUCUCGCGCUGGUGUAACCUGGUGGGAACGACUUAAAAAGAUGUUGUCAUCUAUCUCGACCUGUUUCCCGAGGCGUUGGAAAUGAAGACCAGCUCAGAGAAUCACUGGCGUGCUUUGUCUCCCCCAUCAUUUCGCCAACAAAGAAGUCAUCCUUGACUUGACUAUUGACCAUUCCAUCCCUACCGAGCCGCCACUUCGAAGUAUUUACCUCUGCCUUUCUUUUUUGAGAACAUACCCUUCAAUCAAAAAGAAAAAACAAGAAAGAAAAGUUCCUCGUCUAUGAUUUAAUCGGCCCUAAGGGAGUUUACUCGACCCAUUGUCCAGUCUCCCGCACUGCUCAAGUGUGCGACUCCGUAUGAGGACCUCCUUCCCUUUUGCUCUGCCCACUCUCCGUUCACACGGUUAUCAAAGCAGAGGAAGAGCGGGCAGCAGGUACCACGAGCCCUCUGUCCCACACAUCUAUCAAGAAGCAAGUGUAGUUCACCGGUUCCACCGAAUGCUCCUAUCUCUCGGCAAAGAUCGUGUGAGUGUGCAGUUAUGCUUCGGAGGCUUCACCAUGGAAUAGAUCGAUUCAGUUCGGGGCCGGGCUUGCGGCGCUGAGCUUGCCGCCGCCGCGGCGACACCGUCCAGAGGAGGUCAGGGGAUCGAAGAAGGUGCCCACCGGCGACGACCGCAUUGCAUGACAAACACAUGCCCGAACCACGCGGUUUGAGGGACGGCGUUGGAUACCCCAACAACUGCCUUUUGAUAAUACCACCACAGAACUCCCACCCUACUUGUCGGUUUUGUGAACAAAAUUAUGAAAGUCAUUGUCAAAAUAACAAAUGCUGAACAAAAUUAUGAACCGGACUUUUGUAGUUUGGUAGAGACGCAUCGUGGAUCAGUACAUUGUCAAAAAAAUCUUGGAAGUCAUUUGGGUUCUAUGGACGCUGCUUGCUUUGGGCAUCGUGCAGAUGGAAAUAAGCCGUGGGAUAUCAUUUGGAUGGCUGUGAUUGGAUGGUAACUUGGCUCAGCCAAGUUCAUCACACGACUCCACUAAAAGAAAAAGACCUCAUCACACGACCGGGGCCACACACGCCGCGCUCAACGCCACUCGAAUCUCCUCACCGCCGCCGCCGCCGCCGCCCCGCCGUCGCGGCGCCAUGCUCCACCUCCGGCAGCGCGCCCUCUCCCAUCUCCUCUCCGCCGCACCAGCUCCUUCCACACCCCCUCUCCUCUCUCUCCACCGCCUCCUCUCCGCGGCCGCGGCCGCCAUCUCCCCGAACCCUAGAUUCGCCGUCGAGGACUACCUCGUCGGCACCUGCGGCCUCACCCGUGCCCAGGCACUCAAGGCCUCCGCCAAGCUCUCCCACCUCAAGUCCCCAUCCAAGCCCGACGCCGUCCUCGCAUUCCUCGCCGGCCUCGGCCUCUCCGGCGCUGAUGUCGCCGCCCUCGUCGCCAAGGACCCGCAGUUCCUCUGCGCCGGCGUGGAGACAACCCUGUCCCCCGUCGUCGUCGGUCUCACGGGGCUCGGUCUAUCCCCUUCUGAUAUCGCGCGCAUCGUCUCGCUCGCCCCGGGACAAUUCCGCCAUAGAUCUGUCGUCUCCAAGCUGGAGUACUACCUGCCGCUCUUGGGCUCCAUCGACAACUUGCUCCGGCCGCUCAAACACGGCUCCGGCUUCCUCGGCUCCCACCUCGAGAGGGUGGUCAAGCCCAAUGUGAAGCUCCUGGCAGAGUGCGGGCUAGGUGCUUGUGAUAUUGCCAAGCUGUUCAUUCAAAUACCGAUGAUCUUCACCGCCAGCCCAGAGCGUGCCCUGGAGAUGGUCGCGACCGCCGAACGUAUAGGUGUGCCCCGUGGCUCUGGGAUGUUUAGGCAGGCACUGCAUGCUGUCGCAUUUCUCAGCGAGGAGAAGAUUACUGCCAAAGUGGAACAGUUGAAGAAGACAUUGAGGUGGUCGGAUGCCGAUGUUGGCAUUGCUGUGUCCAAGUUGCCGACUCUUCUGAGACGGUCAAAGGAAGUGCUGCAGCUCAAGUCCGAGUUCCUCCGCUCUAAGGUGGGCUUGGAACCGGCGUACAUUGCUCAUCGACCCGCUAUGCUCACUUACAACCUGGAGGGCCGGCUCAGGCCCCGGUACUAUGUUAUGAGGUUUCUUAAGGAAAAUGGAUUGUUAAGUCACGGCAGAGACUACUAUGCUAUGGUCUCGAUCAGCGAGAAGGUAUUUGUGGAGAAGUUCAUAUGCCCUCACAAGCAAGCUGCACCACACCUUGCUGAAGACUAUGCAGCUGCUUGCACAGGACAGGUGCCUGCUACAUUCAGAUUUACAUGAACCAGGAAGCAGGAAAAUGGAUUGCCAGAGCGCGAGUGGAACUACUAUUCAGCAGCCUUGGUGACAGAAAAUUUUCAUGGAAAAGUUCGUAUGUCCUCACAAGGAAGCUGCCCCCACCUUGCCGAAGACUGUGCUGCCACUUGUAGGGAAGUGCCUUCUAAUUUCAGAAUUACAUGACCAAGAAUGGGCCAUGAGAACUGCGCAUGGCGCAAAAAUGUUUACACUAUGUGUAGUGAGCUGGUAAUCUCUGUCUGUUCAUUGCCUGAGUGGAUGUUGGUUGUCUGCUAUAGUAUGUCAGGUACAUGCUAAUUUGGCAUCGCUAGUCCUGAAUGAAACUGAUAAUUUUAUUGUUAGUCCUUGUAUGUCAAUCAACCAAUCUUGGUGGCUGGGGCCUUGCUAUACCACACGUGAUUCUCAACGCUCUGUUAGUUGAUGACACUCUGAAGCUUCCUUCAGUAACAAGUACUCCUACUUUUAUGACCUGACGUGUGGGGGGUUUUACUCAGAGAAGCUCCUACUUUUCUCUAUCUGAAUUUUGCUAGUUUGGUAAUCCUUCUCGUAUUGUAUGUCCAUUGCAUCAUUCAGUAGAGAAGAAAGAUACACUGCAAUUAACCUGUCCAUCCUGAUAUCAUAUUGUCAUGCAUACUGAGAACUAAGAGUGUGACAUCAGGGCAUUCUGCAAAUGCUUUCAAAUAUAUUAAUGAAGAGUAUAUCUGCAGGACCUAUAUGUUUAUGUUCUCAAUUGCCAUUGCAGCUUUCAAUGCAAUCCUGAGUCAAACUAUCUUUCAAUGAAAAAAGGUUAUCAUUUUUUGCCAUGAAAGAUGAUAUGAAGUCCCAAAAUUGGUUGAACAUCUUUUUUCGUGGGAACAAAUCUGGAAUUGACGUGUUAGUCACUGCUGAGGUUGCAGUUUUGAACUAGUCUGUUGGUUGCUUCCUCUAGUUCUUCUAAGCUGAAACUCUUCAUUCUUCCUGCAGUAGCUUUGUUUAUAAGACAUUAACUGUUGUGAAAGCAGGUCAUUGUUUACUAGUAGUUUAUAUCAUGUUUUUGUUUAUUUUUCUCUUAUAUUCUUGGAUGGUCUACUGGCUGAUACUUUUUCUAGGAGCAUCUGACGUCAAAACUGAAUACUUCAGUAGUUGGCCAGUAGCAUUUUGUUGACAGCCUACCCAUGUAGCACUACGUAACAGAUAUUUCAAAGGCCCUUGUAUUUGUACCGGAGACACAAAUUGAUGCUUGUAUGGUAUGGUGCCGAAAGCAAAGGGCAUUUCAUACAAUAUGAAGGAACUUAUGUUAAGGUAAUCUUAAAAAGGGUCAUGUUAUUACCUGAGCCAAGAGAUGGUCCCAGAGAUGCUAUCUUAACCAAGCUUGGUCUUAACAUUUAAGGUAAUGCAGUAUUUUUUCUCAGUUAUACCCAAUGUCAUCUCUUCGUACACUCUUUUCAGUUAAAUCUCAGUCUAGGCAUGCAAGUACUAUCUGUCAGAUAUAGCGUAGUUAUAGAAUCUUGCAGAAUUUCAAACACAGAAAUUGUAGACUUACUGGUGGUCCUCAAAUUAAGAAUGAAGUCAUGUGAAGAAAGGAUGGUGCACAUAUGUUUAUUCCUGAUAUUAGGCUGUAGAAAUUGGAAGAAAUGAGAUCUCAGCUGUGUGCUUGCAGUAACACAAAGGAGAUGGGCACAUGCUAUUCUUGGCGAAGAGCUCUUAUUUGAAAUGAAGAUCAGUUGUGUGUCUCUUCUCUAGUGCCUAGUUUAGCCUGCGGGAAUUAUAGAAAUGAGAUUAAUGCAAUGAAGGUGAGGGGAAGGGGUCUAUUAAGGAACGAGGUGACUUGCUAGGUGAACUUGAAUUUGAAAAAAAAGUACUUUCAGCAAGUAAGAAUUAGCUGGGCAAUAAAGAGGAGCAUACUGACUGAAUUACUGAAUGUUCUAGAUGAUGGUGCUUUCUUUCUUCCUGGAGAAGAUGCGAUGAAAGUGGAUAUAGACUCACUUCUUUCUUGUUUCCAGGAGAUCAACCAAGCAUGUUGGCUGGGGCUUUGCUAUACCACACGUGAUUCUGAAGGCUCUGUUAGUUGAUGAUGCCCUGCUGCUUCCUUCAGUAACAAGUACUCCCUCCGUCCGGAAAUACUUGUCAUCAAAAUGGAUAAAAGGAGAUGUAUCUAGACGUAUUUUAGUUUUAGAUACGUUCCUUUUUAUCCAUUUUGAUGACAAGUAUUUUCGGACGGAGGGAGUAUUUAUAACCUGACGCAUGCGGGAGUUUUAUUUAGAUAAGCUCCUAAUUUUCUCCUUCUGAAUUUUGCAAGUUAUGCAAUCCUUCUCGUAUGGUCCUAGACUCUUUGUAACCUAUAGGCUAUAUGUAGGUUACCCUAGGUGCAUGCACUGUUCCACUGUCAAAGGCAAUUAAACAACCCAAUGUGCUCAUGCUAUUGUUGUCCUUUGGAGUCAUCAGCAAAUGUUCAGACUUCAGACUAAACUUGAUACAUCUAUAAUUCUACUCGAAAAGAUGAAUAAUUUACUCAUUCCAUUCAAGGAAUUGCAAAUCCAAAAAAUGCAGUGAGUUUUUGUUUGGUGAACCAUGCAGUGAGUUGACACACUAUUAUGUUAGUUAUGGCCAAAAUCAGGGGCGUGCCCAGCAAAUGGAGUUUAAUAUGCCCACCAUAUUAAGUCAAAUACAGAACAGUGAACAUUUGGGGAUUUUUUCAGAGGCUAAAUGGUAUUAGUUAUAUUACAAGUAUCAAUACUGAACCUGAUACUUGCAUGGUAAAUUACUUCCAGUCUUGUUUUAAGCAUCCUCUGGAAUGGAGACUCGUGCUCUGAACUUUUGUUUUGUACGCUGGGAAAUUUCUGGUGUUAAGGGUCUUCAUUCUUACUUUACCUCUAGGAGCAGUGUUGCGGAAUCGGGUACCGAAAUCUGUGUGCAGAAAAGCUGCUGUUCGAUGCCGGUGGGAGCUAUGCAACCUGUGAAUUAUGUCUUGCCAUCUUCAUUCGUACAAUUAUGCGAUGAACCAGAAUUGGAGGACAGGAUUGCACUCACGAGCAGGUACAAACUUACAGCAUUAUAAUAGCUGUUUCUGUUUUACUAGAUUAUAUAAUCAUGUUCUGCAUUGUAGCUGAGGUUUAUUUGUCCUUCGUUAAUCAUUAACCAACUUGUUUUGCUUAUGUUUUUUAGGGUGGUUAUGGAAUGAAUCUAGCCCCCUUUUUUCGCAAGUAGAAUGAAUCUACCCCCUGUGAAACUGGUUGGAAAGAUAUUUAUUGUGCUUGAUAGAUCUAUAUGUCCUGCCAUGGGUACACCGCCUGUGCCACUUCCACGGGUCUCACUGUCUCAGUUAGUGUCAGGGAGAUGAUCGGGGGUCUAUUCAGCACCUGGAGGCUGCAAAAUUUGCAAAUAGCCAAUUGCUAAUGAAAUGGCAGAGAAACAUCAUCACUAAUUCCAUCCUUCAGUGCAUUUUACAAGUGAAAUGGCAGAAAUAUAUAGUGGUGUCACUUCGAUUGCACGCAACCGAAAGUGUUUCUGAACCAGAAUUUGGGAAGAACCCCGAAACAUGUUCAUGUCUUUUGUAGACGAGAUGUAGCAGUUUCUUAUUAGAUGAUGUUUUCCGUGGAGUAUAUUGAUAAUUCCAGGGUGCGUGAUCCGAUAAGCUUCCCAACCAGUCCGCCGAGCGAGCGGAGAUUCUCACCAAGAGAGAGACAGAAAUAGACCAGAAAGCGGUGUCCAUCAGACCUUGAUUGCUGCUGCUGCUCAAGGUGUGAACUAAUAGCAGAUAUAGGUUACUUGAACAAAAUACUAGCUACCUGGAGGUGUGCUUGUAUUAUAUAUGCACGCGCUCCAUGUGAGCUAGCUAAGCUGAACAUGAUAUCUUUAUUGUGUUCUCUACCUAAAAUAAGCUUAUCGUUUACCCCCAAAACCAUGUUAGUUGAUGGAGCAAGCUAAGCUGGACAGGCUGGAUGGUUAAUCAAUAUCUAAUCGUGUUCUCUGCAUAAAAUAAACCUAUCGUUUACCUCCCAAACCAUGCCAUCAAUUGGAACUGCCUCUUUUAAUUCCUCGUGGCUCACAGCCUGACGAGGUUUGCACCAUGAUAGAUUCCUCCCACUUCUUGCAGGUCAGAUCAAUCUCUUAAAUGCAUCGAAUCAGAUGAUUUCCUCUCUUUUCUUUUGGUUCUUCUUGCUUUUCUUCUUCAUCGUAUUUUGUUUGUAUCAACUAUGCACAUAUAUUUUUUCUUUUCUUUUGUAAGCUAGCUAAUACUACCUCCGUCCCAAAAUAAGUGUCUCAACUUUAUACUAAAUUGUACUAAGGUUAAGACACUUAUUUUGAGAUGGAGGGAGUACCAUCGGAUUGAUCUGGUGGAUCGACUCUUUAGGGGCCAGGAAUUAUGGCGGGCCACAGGCAAUAUCUUCAUGAUGACAGCGAUUGGAGUGAGAUCAGUACUAUCAACAGUUAUGCCGUGUUCAUGGGUUACAUCAAGGGCUUGGGUUUCCUGGUGCUUACUUGGACCACCUUCAUACUUCUCGGUGGUUGUCUCUGUGCUACUCGGUGUCUGACAUUCAUCACCCUUGUAUCUUACUAUGCUUCUUCUUUUAACUCAACUCAUUUUUUUGGUUUCUGUGUACGUACGGAGCUUAUUCGUACAAUCAGUUAUUAUUAGAUUUCCCGGGUGGGUUUUUAUAGGUUUAAAAAGCUUUAUAUCUGUGCUUAUAUGAAACAAGAGUUUUACGUCCUUAUCAUUCAUUUCCAGCUGUAUGUGCUAUCCGAUGUCUUGGGUAAUCUUCUUGGCAUGCAAGUCAUUGUAGCAUAUGGUUCAUAUUAGAGAGAACUCCGUAUUUCAACCCUAAAUUGUCACGUAUGUCCAAUAAUUUACCCUAAACUUUGAAAUGCCCUCUCCUCAAACCGUUUUGGUGAGUUGAAGUGGUUUUGACCAGUUGACCACCCAGUCAGCCGCCUAGUCAGCUUCCACGCCACUCAAUAUUUUUGUUGAAUAUGUAUUUUAUUGCAUGUUUAAUCUGUUUGGUAGAAAAGUUUGAAACUUUCCCAGAUUGAUCACCAUGGUAGUGUUGAUUUUACAAAAACAAAUUAUUAUUUUUGGACACUUUCAUCUUUGUCAAAUUUUGACAAAAAAGGGGGCUAUAUGUAUUUUUCUGUAUGUUUUAAUCUCUCUGGCAAAAACGUUUGAAGCUUUCCCAGAAUGAUCACCAUGUUAGUAUUUAUUUUACAGAAAUUUUUCAAUUUUUUCCUUAUUUUUGGGGGUCAAAAUUUGACAAAAAGGGGCUGAAUAUGUAUUGUUUUGUAUUUUUGAAACCAUUUUGCGAGACGGUUUGAAACUUUCCCAAAAUGAUCACCACGGCAGUGUUGAUUUUACNNNNNNNNNNNNNNNNNNNNNNNNNNNNNNNNNNNNNNNNNNNNNNNNNNNNNNNNNNNNNNNNNNNNNNNNNNNNNNNNNNNNNNNNNNNNNNNNNNNNNNNNNNNNNNNNNNNNNNNNNNNNNNNNNNNNNNNNNNNNNNNNNNNNNNNNNNNNNNNNNNNNNNNNNNNNNNNNNNNNNNNNNNNNNNNNNNNNNNNNNNNNNNNNNNNNNNNNNNNNNNNNNNNNNNNNNNNNNNNNNNNNNNNNNNNNNNNNNNNNNNNNNNNNNNNNNNNNNNNNNNNNNNNNNNNNNNNNNNNNNNNNNNNNNNNNNNNNNNNNNNNNNNNNNNNNNNNNNNNNNNNNNNNNNNNNNNNNNNNNNNNNNNNNNNNNNNNNNNNNNNNNNNNNNNNNNNNNNNNNNNNNNNNNNNNNNNNNNNNNNNNNNNNNNNNNNNNNNNNNNNNNNNNNNNNNNNNNNNNNNNNNNNNNNNNNNNNNNNNNNNNNNNNNNNNNNNNNNNNNNNNNNNNNNNNNNNNNNNNNNNNNAUAUGUAUUUUAAUUGGUUUGGCAAAAAUGUUUGAAACUUUUCCAAAACGAUCACCAUGGUAGGUAUGAUUUUAUAUAACUUAUUCAAAGAAAGUUUGAGGAAAAAAAAUACAGUUACCCCAUGGGAAUCAGCGCCACUUUCAUUUUUUUUUUCAAUACUGGGUGACGUGGCAGUUGACUGGGCGGUCAACUGGUCAGAACCACUCCAAUUCAUCAAAACUGGUUUGAGGAAGAGGGCAGAGUUGAAACUACCGGUUUUGCAUGUUUACGGUUCGUAACUUAUACGGUUUCAAAGUUAAGGGUUGAUUCUUAGACUGGUGGGUUCCAACCCGGAGGGAUCAUAAAUGUGCCAAUAGGGUCAUAACCAAAGAAGUCUAAGUAAUUCUGGAUGUCCAUGUUGCGAGGUCCAUGGGAUGGUCCGGGGAUGUCCAUGUUGUGGCCUAAUUGAAUUUCCAUGUCGUCCCAUGUGGGAUUAGUACUUUCCUGCGGGCGAAAAUGAUUUGUAAAUAAUAGCCAUGGAAAUGUUGCAUGCGAUUAAUUACCUACUCCCUCUGUCCCAAAAUAAGUGUCUCAACUUUGUACUAGCUCUAGUACAAAUUUGUAAGCUCGAGACACUUAUUUUCAGACGGAGGGCGUAUUAUAUAAUACAGUAACAUACUUGAGUGGUGUUGUAGUAUUGUGAUUCUGUCAUUGAUGCGAUUAUUUACCUAUUAGUACUAUAUAAUAACAUACUGGUGCUGUAGUAUUGUGAUCCUGUCAUUGACUGUCGGAGUAUUGUCCUCUGUACUCGCCCAUCACUGGAGGACCCAAGGCAAGCUGUUACAAAAAUGAACUGUUACAUGAUAAUAUAUGUUAUCAUCAUAAAUGUACAAGAAAUGCCGAUAGGAUGAUAUAUGUUUCUGUAAAAUCAACACUACCAUGGUAGAUCCCUUGCCUUGAGUGUAUGAGCAUUGUCCGGCGUACAGGAUGAUCUUGGGUAAACGAUCUCCUCAGGCGUUGAGAUCCCUAGUGUGGAGAGAUAGGACUGAGAUCCAUCGCCUUGAGUGUAUGAGCAUUGUCCUGCAUACGGGAUGAUCUCCGGUAAAUGAGUCUCCUCAGGCAUCGAACCCAAGCCAAACACCAUGCCAUGGCCCUGAGAUGUAUGCCCUUGACUGAGCGCCCCUGAAUAAGGCCUACAUAGUACUCCCUCCGUUCCAAAAUACUUGUCGCAGAAAUAGAUGUAUCUAGAACUAAAAAAUGUCUAGAUACAUCCAUUUCUACGACAAGUAAUUCGGAGCGGAGGGAGUAGUAGAGAUUAGUCAUGUUGUAGCAACGGCGUUGUCGUACUCGGACCCUCCCGUCGUGUCCUAGUUGGCUCAUACGCGCCUCACUCAGUCUGGACGGCCGAGCCACACUCAGUCUGGCUGACCGCGCUUCUGGCAUAUCGUAUGCUCCAGUGUCGUCCCGACCACAAACCCAUUUUUUAAUACCAUUGUUGCUGAUGUCCAAAAGGCACUUCAGGUGUGACUUUCCCUUUUGUAGCAUGCCUUGCACCCGCAAGGCGAACUCCGCCACCUCCCCUAUUUGGUUAAACUGAUCACCCUAAAUGAAAUAUGGUUGUUAUGACACUGAAUUUCAGCUACGUGAAACAACAACAGAAAUGUUUGUACCGUGUAGUCACGAAGGUAAGUUGUUGACCGGUCAAUCUUUCCAUGUAACUGCUCCCCGCGUCUGAGAUGUGCUAGCCUCGGAGCUAGAGAACAUGUUAGCAGAAUAUGCGUGUUGUUGCGGUACCACUGCUUGUACACAUCAGUUCUUGUGUCAUCGUGUGGUCUUCAUAAGGAAAUAAUUUUAUCAGCAGGUUUGUGUACAUAAAACAACAGAAAUAUAAAAUUAACUAGCUUGAUGUACUAUAUUUAUUGCGCUUCACUGUUCAACAUGUAUGCCGGACACAACUUCGGUGCCUUAAACCUACCUUUGGGUCACUGACGUGUGGGCCAGUCACCUGUUGGGCCCACAUGUCAUAGACACAAAGGUAGGUGCCUUAAGGCACCAAAGCAUCGUCCAUGUAUGCCCAUUGACUGGGGAAAGUAUCCAGUGCUCCUAGCCUUGGGGUACUCCCAGUGCUCCAAUGUCAAAAAGCAUUUUUAAAAGUUUCAAAAAAUUCUGGAAAAAAACAAGAAUGUUCACAAGGAAUGUCACUACAUCCUCUAAAAAUUUUAGGUCCAAAAUCGAAAUGUACAUUGAGAACCAAAAAAGAGAAAUACAAAUAUGAAUAGUGUCAAUGUUGCUUUUGUCUCUUCUUUACACUAUUCAUGCUAGAUUUCACAUUUUUGUUUCUCAAUGUAUGAUUUGAGUUUGGACCUGAAAUUUUUAGGGCUUGUAGUCAUAUUCAUUGUGUACAUUCACAAUUUUCUCAGAAUUUUUGAAGCAUUAAAAAAAUGUUUAUUGACAUUGGAGUACCGGUAGUACCCCAAGGCUGGGAGCACCGAAUAUUCCCCCAUUGACUGUUGUGUGCAUUCUAGGUCGAAACCACCCCUACCUUUAUUUUCCAGCUUGAAAUCCAUGUACCAAAGUAUGAAGUUUUAGUUAAAAAAGAUGUUAAUGAUUAGAAAACACUAGAGAAAUUAUUUAGGGUGGUCGGAGCUUACUUAUGAAUUUCGUCGUCGACACAUUUCGGUAAGGAUGGUGUGAUAUCCUGAUAGAGGUUGAACUGCUUCAUGAUAUGCUUCGCAUUAUAGAGCUCAACAAACCACAUGUACAAUAAGUCACAGUGAGUGAGCCUAAAGCCGCUAUCUCUCACGCAGUGGUGUUGGUGCAUUAUUGUGAAUUGAAGACCAUAUUAAUUUUAUUCUAAGUUCAUGGGUUCCAUGUGAUUAGUAACUCAUUCAAAACUUCAAACUAGUGGUGGUAUUCGGGGUAACAACCGUGCACGGUGCACCACAUCUGUAGGCCAUUUGUUUUGGGACAUGUGUCCACCGGCUUGCCAUAGUUAAAGGGCUUUAUCCCAUCUUAUCACAGUUGUACGAGCGUGUGGGCUAUAAUAUUUGGGGUCGUCCAACGGAGAGGUGUUCCCAAGACUCUUCCCAAGAUCACAACUGGAGAAACUCAUAGGAAACACAAAGUAACAUAGCUUUCUUACCACCUAUUUUUCAGGUGGCAUCACCCCCCCCCAUAGGUACGUAUGACAGAGCAUAGCAGAGCCGAAGUUGUUUUGGGGGUUCUCAGGUAAAGUUUUUUCUAGUAAUCUUAUAUUCUUAAUGAGGCCGGGGAUAACUAUGUCACCGUGUGAUGAAGGGAAAAUCAUACCGAACAGGAGCAACAAAUACAUAAACAGAUGCCUCUUCAACUUCUCAUGAUCUGGGUGUGCUGGUACGUUUUUUAAAUGAGUCACGAGGCAAAUUGAAUGGGACAUCCCGUGCCCCUCCAGAACAAUUUGAUUCAAGCAUUGUUACCCCAAGAUGGAGUAAGACAUCGUGCCGCCAAGAUGCUGAGCAUGUUGGAGGGACCAACGGCUCACCACUAAUUGACAGACCCGUGAUCAUGGACACAUCUUUCAAGGUAGGCACAAGCUCCCCCCAACGAAAGUGAAAGGCGUGGUUCUCAGGUCUCCACCGGUCAACGAGGGCGGCCAAAAGAGACGGGUCUAACAUGAAUAGGUGAUCAUUAGAUGCAUGCUUAGCAAAAGAAAGUAAUCCACGAGCCUGAAGGUGUGGAACGAAACAAGGCUUGAUAUCCAUUCGUUCUUUAUGGUUCGAAUCUUGAAGGUCCGAGGAGGAUUUUUUCAUGAUGAUUGAACCAAACGUGGCAACGGUGGCGGCAUCGUGCUGCCCUAGCAAAAGGUCUGGCACUUCGGUCAUAACCCGUACACACAUAGUCAUUAGAAACAAAAUUUAACCUCACCAGUAGAAAUAAAACUUAACACCACUUAUACAAAUAAAAGUUAACAUCGUGAGUUCAAAUAAAAUUAAACAUGCGAAGUAGAAAUAGACCUAAACAUCCCGAGUUCAAAUAAAACUUAACAUCUCGACUACAAAUAAACCUAAGUAUCAUAAGUACAAAUAAAAGUUAACCUCAUGAGUAUAAAUAAAAUUAUAUCAUGCGGGGUUGUUGCUUCGGUAUGGGCAUUCCCACCGUAGGUGCUCUGCCAAUGCGACACCACCUUGGUUCUUCUGAUGCUUACUGUCUAUGGUCCAUGUUGUUGCGAUGACUCCAAGACGAACAUCGUCCCUUGGCGGUUCACAUCGACGUCUGGUCCAGAACCCAUUUGUUUAUUCCUUACCACAAUUCUCUAUAGUGUUGAUCAAUGCCUCAGGCCCAGAACUCAGCGGUUUAGGUGUUAAAACAGAUUGUAAGUAUUGAAGUAAAGAGAGAUGUAUGGUUCGAUGUUGAUGUUCUAAUCUGCAGCCGCCUAGAGGGCAUGACUACACGAGUAGCCCAAAAGCUUGGGCUUGUUGCAAGUGCACUCACACAUUGUUUGGCCGAGGGUGACAGAUUGCUUUUUUGAUCCUCUGUGGUGACGUUUCACAAACUUGGCUCGCACGUUGACUUGCCACUUAUUCCUAAGUGCGCCCAUUUGACUACAACUAUGGCUUUGAGAUUCUUUGAAUUCUCGUCCAGAUAUCUUUGCAUCUUUUCAGACCAUGGCUUGUUCAUUGCAACCUGUGCCUUGGCAACCUGGAUUGUCUGCAAAGUACCGGUUACAAGUUUCGUUGAUCAUCGUUGUGAUAGGGAGAGCUCCCACACCUUUAAGAACGCCAUUGUACACCUCUGACAUGUUGCUGGUCACUAUACCGUAGCAAGCCCCAGCGUCGUGAGCCUGCACCCAUUUGUAUAAUUGAGGGCAAUUCUCAACGAUCCGUCAGAUUUAUGGUCGUCCUACGACCCCUCUUGUCUUCUCUCUCCGGCAAGGCCGCGUGCUCUCUCUGUCCAUUGAUUCCUGACCAGGCCACAUUCAUUUUGGCUGCACAUCCUCUUGAAUAGCUUGAACUAAACAUUGUUUUUUCCUAUAUUUUUUUGUCUUCUUCUCUAAAGUCAUGUCAGCCGAGCUCCUUGAGUAUUGUCUUCCUAUACUUUAAUUCUCUGAACUCAUACCUGGAACAAUGUUUUCCUGUCAGGUAAGUAUGGAAGGGUUGAGAAGGAAUCAUUCAGACAAUAGAGAAACCGUAUGCACUUGCAAUGGUGUUCUGUUUCCCUUGUCAGGUAAAUUUCAGAGACAUUUUGCAAGACAUAACUGGAGAAAAGUGUUCUCUCACUUCACAAGAACACUCAGUAUAGGUGACUAAAUUCGCUAAACAUCUUGUCUUGACCAAUUUAUACUGUGCAGUGCAAUAUUAGUAUGUACAUUAAUGUGUUUUCCAUUGAGGAUCUCCAACACCAACGAAACAACUAGCUCAAGGAUCUUUCAAAAGAAUUCAUCAUUAAGCCAGGCAACCACAGCUUGUGCGUAUAGUAAGGAUAACUUCUAAGACCGCCAUACCAGAAUUUUUAUAACAGUUUGCAGAUAUACUUGUAUGUAUACUAAAAAAUAAUAAUAUGAUAGCACACACAUAGUAAAUCUGGAAUCUAGCUUUACAUGUUUAGUUUGUACAUAAUACAUUGAAAAGCUAGUGUCGCAAGCACACAUAGACUGGAAUAUUUGGAGAUAUCUACUACUCUCUCCAUCCGGAAUUAAUUGAGGCUCAAACGGAUGUAUCUAGGAAGUACAGUACUAUAUUGGAAAUUUGGAACAGCGAUAUUGAUUAUUAGAAUUACUGACUUCCAGGUUGUGGCCCUCGCAGAAGCAUGCUUUCUCUCUUCAGUUUUUCUGCCCUGACAGUCUCUAACUUGCGCCUAUCGAUACUCUUCUCUCCAGGUUCUUUUGGAGGCCUGCCUCUUUUUUUAGGUUGAAUAUCACCUGAUGUACUUCCUUGUUUUGAAAGCUCACCUGAUGUACUUCUAUCUUUUCGAGGCCUGCCCCUUUUCUUAGGUUGAUCGCUAGGUUUCAGACAUACUAGAGCAUUUUCUCCUGCUGAUGCUGACGCCUGAAGCAACCCUGGGAGUGGUAGGUUGUUUGACUGUUGGCCAUUUUCCGCUCUGACCACCAUCUG
RNAcentral lists this long non-coding RNA (141044 nucleotides) under Triticum aestivum (bread wheat). RNAcentral describes it as "long non-coding RNA (TAES_LNC011220)". The stretch from base 3724 to 3797 matches the Rfam family "tRNA". The record is from RNAcentral. Lineage: Eukaryota; Viridiplantae; Streptophyta; Magnoliopsida; Poales; Poaceae.